GUGACCAUAAUGUGGUGGCUUCUCUCCCUUAGGUGGUUUGCCAACUGGGGUUGGUGGCUUGUGUUCUGGGAGUGGCUUCUCCCCCUUGGGAGGUUUUUCCAAUGGGGUUGGUUUGUGUUCAGGAGGUGGCUUCUCCACUGGAGGCUUGUGUUCAGGAGGUGGCUUCUCCACCGGAGGCUUGUGUUCAGGAGGUGGCUUCUCCACCGGAGGCUUAUGCUCUGGUGGUGGCUUCUCCACCGGAGGCUUAUGCUCUGGUGGUGGCUUCUCGAAUGGGGGAUGCUUAGGGUAAUCAGCAAGUGAGGGGGCGGUGAGAACCACCAGGCCAAGCAAGACCACUAGCAAGUAUGUAGGAGACAUCUUUGGGUUUAGACUCAGAUGGUGCAAAACUAGGAGAAUUGUCUUUUAUAGCGGAUCGCACCCAAUAAUGAAAUGACACGUGUCUUUAUGACCCAUGUGUAAUGGGGUCGAUUUGGGUCCUACAGUGUUGAAAACUUCGACAUCCACUUUUGGCCUUUUGCUUUCUCUACAGCCGCCUUGCUUUUUCCCUCUUUCCUUUUGUUUUCCUCCUGCCCCAUUCUAUCAACUAAACACAAUUAUGUAGUUGUUUAAUUCUUAAAUGAGAUAUUAUCCGUCAAUCGUAUCAUAUUUUAUCAACAGAGAACGGAGUGCAAUGUGGCAAUCCAAAGAAAGAAGAUCCAUAAUGCAGCUGUAAUUUUAUCGUUUACUUUUAUCUCUUGGACCACUGCAUUUUUGUUAAGAGGUGCAAUAAUACACGUCUUUAUCUGCCAUUCAAUGUUUACAGUAAAGAGAGGGCACAAAACUCUUCACUGCUCUGCAUGUGUCCCAAAAAUGCAAUUGGACAAAUUAUGAUUUGCAUGCUAAAAAGAGGCAAAUGAGGUUAAUUCGCACCAUAAUUAUUUUGUUUUCUGGACCCCGGGGCCCUUUGGUUGGUUUGGGGGUCAGAAAAUGAACAUCAUAGGGGGUUUUUCCCUUAUGUGCAUUUGUAUCUGAUGGCUUUAACUCGCCUUGUUACUACAAAGAAAUUGUCACAUAUAGGAACUUAUUCCAGGCUGAGUAUCUCCGCAUAGACCCUAUAAAAGAAGACAAGUCAUAAUGAACAUCUAACCUUUGUUCAAUUUGAUUCAAUGCCCCAUUGUGUCCACCUCACAAAUCUGAAUUAUUAUAUCCAUUGAAUACAUAAAUUAAUGAAGAAAAUAUGAAACCCAAGAUACAUCUCUGCACAACCUCAACCCUGGUUGCUAUGUUUCCCUUCUAUUCACAUGAGGAUAUUGAUUACGGAAUAGGGAAACCUAGCAAGGGUUUACUCGGCUCUGGUUUGAUGCUAAUUGCCAAACUUGCAACAAGCCCUGAGUUUGAAGCUCACAGAAGAUGUUAUACAGGCAGGGAAAAACCUUCAGAGUUCGCUGCCAAAGAUAAUUAUUAAGGAGAUAUCACCAAGAGAAUUCCAAGGAGUCUGAAUCAAAGACAAAUUGGUCGUUCGUGGAGGUUCUUACUUUCUUUUGGGUAUAACUCACUGAGGGCACUGUCUUUUUUAUUUUCAUUUCACAUUUAGAGUUCUGUUCUGGAAACAUAUAAAAGGAGCAUCAGUUUGUUCUUGGGUAACCCAUAGUCGUGAGUGGGUCCAUUUGCAUGCUACUUAGUUGAAAAGUUGGACCAUUUGCUCCGACGCCUACCUCCUGGAUUCCAUGCUCGGAUAAAACAAGAAUAAAAAAAUAUUUAUAAUUUACAAAUGGGGGAAAGAAAAAAAUGUCAACAACAAACUAGGAAAAAAGAGUAGUAAAAUUCAUGUCACAUGCUAGUGAGAGAAGGGGUUGUUACACUCACUCGAAGUUCUUUUCAAAAUAUCGCAUGGUAUUUUAUUUUAUGUGUGAGCGCAGUUGUGAAUGGAACGUGCAAAAGUCCAAAUUGGUGACCUUUAAUAAAUAUUUAAAACAAAAAACGAAAAAAAGGAGGGAAAAGGGAUCAGAAAAGAUAAAACAAUGUGUACAAAAGCUCAAUUAGUUUGCAAAUUACUGUUUGGAUUUUGAUAGUAUUUUAUUUGAUGUAAAAGAGAAUUUAAGAUAUUUCCGAAACAAAAGCAUUAGUUUGCUCCAUGUCAAUUUCGGCAUUUCUCAUAUGUUUCACACAUACACAGAAGAGCAUCGUUUUUUAAAGCAUGCAUUUAUGUUGGAUUAAUUUGGAUUUUGUGGGAACUGGGGCAAGGAUCACAUGGAAGAGAGGUUGACUUUUUUCAGUACUUCAAUGGUUGAGACAGGUGAAGGCCUGAUUGAUACUGAAGCCUGAAAUUGCGACUCCGUCAUUUGUCAAAACAUAUGACAGCUUCCAUGCUCUCGUUUGGUUGCAUUGUUCUGUGGUCAUGCAUACAUGCCACUUAGUGAUCAGUCUGUAACUGUCAAUCAUUGGGCUUUGACUGAACAACAUCAGCCAUGUAUAAAUACUUGCAAAUCAAACGGUCUUCUUCCUCCCAUAAGGAAUUUCGGUUUAAUUAUGAAGCAUGCAUUUGGCUGACCAUCAUAAACCACUUCUUUAAAUUGAUGAAUGAUAGUUUUUCAUUCAUUCUUUCAUUCGUUCAUAUACAGAGUAUAUAUAGAGGGUAAUCAUCAUUCUAAGAAUGGGAAAGAAUGAUACAAGGAAAUAAUGAUAUAAAGAAAUAACAACUAAUAUUCUAAUAUCUCAACUUUCCUAAUAUCUAAACAUUCCUAAUAUCUCAACACUAAAUGAUAUAAAGAAAGAAUGAUAUAAGGAAAGCAUUCCUAAUAUCUCAACACUCCUCCUCAAGUUGGUGCAUAGAUGUCAAACAUGUCCAACUUGUCUAAAAAUUUUGAGAACAGUUGACUUGAGACAUCUUUGGUGAGGAUAUCGGUCAAUUGAUCUUCUGAUCGAAUCUUAGGCAAUUCCACAAUCUUAUCAUCCAACUUUUCCUUAAUGAAAAAUCUAUCCAUCUCGACAUGCUUUGUACGAUCAUGUUGUACUAGAUUAUGAGCAAUGUCACAUGCUGCUUUAUUGUCACAAAACAAUCGGAUUGGUUGCCUAGAUAGGUAACCUAAAUCCUAUAAGAGGAGUCUUAGCCAUAAUGCCUCACAAAGUCCUAAAGUCAUACCUCUAAAUUCCGCUUCUGCACUUGAACGAGCGACGACAUUUUGCUUCUUACUUUUCCAUGUCACAAGAUUACCACCUACAAAGGUAAAGUAACCAGAUGUAGAUCGCCUAUCAUCCACUGCACCGACCCAAACAGCAUUAUACUUCUAUACUCUGAUGAUCAACAUUUUUAGCGAACAAAAUUCCCUUCCUAGGAGCAUUCUUCAAAUACCUCAAAAUACGCAUGACUACAUUCAUAUGUUGCUCUCCAGGAUUAUGCAUGUAUUGACUCACUACACUCAAUGUAUAAGCAAGAUCUAGUCUUGUAUGAGCUAAGUACAUUAAUCUCCCCACAAGUCUCUGGUAUCUUCCCUUAUCGAUUGAUACUUGAUUAGGCUCAACACACAAUUUCAGACCUUCUUCUAUUGGUGUAUUAAUAGGUUGACAUCCCGACAUUCCAGUUUCCUGUAGAAGAUCUAAGGCAUACUUUCUUUGAGACAGAAAAAUUCCUUCACUUGAUCGAGAAACUUCAAUCCCAAGAAAGUAUUUCAGACGACCAAGAUCUUUCAUUUCAAAUUCUCUAGAUAGAUACUUUUGCAAAGCUUUUCUUUCUUCAGGAUCAUUUCCUGUAACUACAUGUCAUCCACAUAUAUCAUAAGUGUCGUAAUCUUACCAUGUUGCUUUUUCAAGAACAAAGUGUGAUUUGAAUUACUUUGAUGAUAGCCAAAAGCUCUCAUUGAUUUUGUGAACCUUCCAAACCAUGCUCUCGGGGAUUGCUUCAACCCAUACAAUGACUUCUUCAAUUCGCACACCUUCUGACAUUGCUUUUCUGACACCAUGCAUCCUGGUGGAAGAUCCAUAUAUACUUCUUCAGAUAAAUCGCCAUGCAGAAAGACAUUUUUUACAUCGAACUAUUGUAAUGGCCAAUCUAGGUUUGCAGCUAAAGACAAUAAUACUCGAACUGUGUUGAUCUUAGCUACAGGUGCAAAUGUCUCUGUGUAGUCAAUUCCAUAAGUUUGAAUGUACCCACUAGUCUUGCUUUAAAUCGUUCAAUACUACCAUCUGCCUUGUACUUCACAGUAUAGAUCCAACGACACCCAACUAGCUUCUUUCCUGGUGGACAUUCUACGAGUUCCCAUGUUUCAUUUUUCUGCAAUGAUUUCAUCUCUUCAUUCAUGGUUGCUUUCCACUUUGGAUCAGCUAAAGCUUCCUGCACACUAUUAGGAAUAGCUACAGUAGAUAAUUGAUUUACAAAUGACUUAUUUGAUUCAGACAAACCAUGGUGUGGACCCGCAUUUUUCACGUGCGCCUCUACUCGAUCGGCGAGACUCGCUUUCUAUUUGUGAAAAAUUAAUUUUAGAAAAGUUGGAGUCGCCACCUAUUUUAUUUUUAUUUUGAAGGGAAAAUAAAACAAGAAAGAAAAACCCUAAAAAGUGACUCCAUAGUUUUGGAAAAAGCAUGUCUUUGGGAAACCUGAGUCUAGGUCCGGGGAUCAUGUUACUUAUUGGGAAGGUACCUCUAGGAGGUAGCACCCCUCUAAGCCUUAUGAAGGUCUCUACUAACUAAAUUAAGGGAAGUGUGGCAAUAAAUCGAUUGAUCAUAGAUACCUAAGUAGACUAGGUGAUUUUAAAGUGUGGCAUGUCAAACACAAUCAAAUUGCAAUAAAGGAGAGUUAGGGCGCGUACCUGAACCGCUUCUCAAGCGCUAUCAUAAAACAUCAAUGGUUAAUUUAAAUAAUAUAUCAUCCAGCAUGUAUUUUAUUAGAAAUAAUCAAACAAUGAAACAUGUAUAUCAGAACACUCAAGCAUUAUUAGACAUAAGCAUUAUUUCACUAUUCACAGAAUUCAGAAAGUAGGUGAUAGAGGACAUACCUGGAUAGCAUAGAUAAUUUGUAAUGUGCUUCCUCAAGUUGUAAGGGGUUAGAUAACAAAUAAUAAAAUAUAGAAAUCCUAGCAUGCUCGUUAUCUAAUUAGCAUAGCAAAAGUGAUCACAGUAUACAGAAUCAUCAAUUAUCACAUACAUCUUGUAUAUAAUUCCUAAAAAAAAUAGAUAGACAUGAUUUCAACAAGUGUCAAAUGUGGCAACAAAAAUAAAUUUUGAAAAGAUUUUCUUAUGUAGGGGUUUCACCAAUUCCCCAAAUUAAUAUACACGAAUUUAGCUUAGAAUUAUCCCAUUUAUUUGGGACUACAAGCUUUGAUUCGUGUUUUUGUUCAAAACCAAAAAUUUUUGUUGAAAAUCAAGAAGGAUGCGAACCGAACAAGAUAUGGUUGCAUAUUAUUUUUAAAUAAAUAAAUAAAUAAAUAAAGGAGAUUUUGAUCCUGAGGACUUUAAUGAGUUUUUUUUUUUAAAAUAGAUUUUUAAAAUGAUUUUUUUGAGAAAAGUAUUUUAUUUUAAAAUAAAAGGGAUUAAUUUGGGAAAAAAAUAAAAUAUAAGAAAUAAAAUACCAAACAAAACAAAAAUGAAACCUCAAAGUAAAAUUUUUUUAGUAAUUAACAAAAAUGAUAAUGGUGAUGGUAGAGGGCAAUCUUCAUGAUUUUCCAAUGGCCUCAGAAAGAAAAUCAAAUUAAAUGAAGGAUCACUAACAGGCAAGACAUUCUAAAUUAGACAAACUAACAAAGUAUCAAUUCAUGAACUAACCGCUAGGAUUUUGAAAGCAUAUAAGCUAAGAUAAGGGUGAUCAGGAACUAAUAUUAAUGAUUUUGAAAUAAAAACUAAAAAAAAGGAUCAAUUCGGGUAAGGAACUAAAAUUAUAAAAGUACCUAAACUAAUUAUGACGAGUUUGACUAAAUUAAACUAAAAACAUGAACUUUCAAACAUAGAAUUAAUUUUACUAAUGAACCAAAGCAAACUAAAAAUAUGUACUUUCAAGCAUAGAAUUAAUUUUAUUGAUGAACUAAACUAUAACAAAUAUCUAAACUAAAUAUAAUGAAUCAAAUUAAAUUAAAGCAACUUAAAAACGCAAACUUUCAAACAUAGAAUCAAUUUUAUCAAUGAAUUAAAACUAUAAAUGUAUUUGAACUAAAUAGAUGAAUCAAACUAAAUCAGAGCAAAAUUAAAAAAAAAAAAGAACUUUCUAACAUGAAAUCAAUUUUAUCAACAAAUAAAUGAAUGAAUAACAAGUAAUUAAAAGAAUAGCUACUACAUGAAUAACUGAAUGAAUAAAAUUCAAAUGUUUUCAAUCUGAAGCAAUCAAUCAAAAUUAAAUAGGGAUCAAAUCAAAAUAAUCGAAAUCGGAAAAACAAUAUGCAAUCUUUCUAAAGGUUUAACCAGACAAUUGAAUUAAAAUUAUGAAUAGAAUAAAUUAAUAAACCAAAUCGAAACCUAAAUUGUACCUAAAAAGAUUAAUUAAUUAAACUAAGAAAUCAAAAUCAAUAACAAAACUAAACUAAGGAGUAAAUUAAGACAAGACUAAUUAAAUUAAACUCACAAACACGUUUUAACUAUCAUAUGGAUUAAAACAAAAUUAGCAUGGACUUAUGAAUUACGAACAAAAAUAAUCAAAACUAUUUUAAAAAACUCACCUCUAUUAUAAGAAAAAAUCUGCCUUUGAUGCGUUGAGGUGGCUCCCCUCUCUGUGUGGAUCUCUCUGCUCCCCAGAAAAAAAAUGUCUCUUCCUCCGUUCUCUUUUGUUUCAGCAAAAUAAUAUAUCCCCUGCUGUGGAUCUCUCUACUCCCAGAAAAUAAUAUAUUCUCUCCGUGUCCUAAAGUGGACCUAGGGUGCCUAAGUGGACCUAGGGUGCCUAAAUGGGCCUAGGGUGCCUAAAUGGGCCAAGUGUAUCUAAAUAGGCUUAGGGUGCCUAAGUGGGCCUAAGUCUAAGUGAGCCUAAGUCUAAAUCAAGACUACCAAGGAUCAUAAUAAGGGGUUAGGCAAUCCCUUAACCAAAGUCUCCAAGGUGGCUAAAAAAAAGUAAGUAGUAUGAGUAGCUAUGGGUCACCAAGGAACUACUGUGGAGCAUUGAAAACGAAUUUAAAGACAUGUGCCAAAGGGACAAAAUUGAGGGUCUACAGAUGGUUAGACACAUAGUUGCUCAUGGGAUAUUUGACUUUGGUAAACAAUUCAGAUUCAUAUGUGGGUUUAGGAAUACCUUUAUUAUGACGGUGUGGUAAUCGUUUCAUGAAUGGAUCAGGUUGCAAAUUAAGAACACCCUCAGCAAACAACGAUUGGUUUGGUAUUUCAGUGAAGACAUCUUCGAACCCAAAUUGUUGACCACUCAUAUCCAACUCACCCGCUUCCUGGUUCACUAGUUCAGAUUGUCCAAAUUCAUCAUUCUCAUAGAUAUGAUAAUCAUAAUCGAGAGUCUGAAUUUCCUUAUGGUACUCCCCCUGAAGUUCAGACUUAGAUGAAAAAUACAUCGAAUAUUCAUGAAACAGCNNNNNNNNNNNNNNNNNNNNNNNNNNNNNNNNNNNNNNNNNNNNNNNNNNNNNNNNNNNNNNNNNNNNNNNNNNNNNNNNNNNNNNNNNNNNNNNNNNNNNNNNNNNNNNNNNNNNNNNNNNNNNNNNNNNNNNNNNNNNNNNNNNNNNNNNNNNNNNNNNNNNNNNNNNNNNNNNNNNNNNNNNNNNNNNNNNNNNNNNNNNNNNNNNNNNNNNNNNNNNNNNNNNNNNNNNNNNNNNNNNNNNNNNNNNNNNNNNNNNNNNNNNNNNNNNNNNNNNNNNNNNNNNNNNNNNNNNNNNNNNNNNNNNNNNNNNNNNNNNNNNNNNNNNNNNNNNNNNNNNNNNNNNNNNNNNNNNNNNNNNNNNNNNNNNNNNNNNNNNNNNNNNNNNNNNNNNNNNNNNNNNNNNNNNNNNNNNNNNNNNNNNNNNNNNNNNNNNNNNNNNNNNNNNNNNNNNNNNNNNNNNNNNNNNNNNNNNNNNNNNNNNNNNNNNNNNNNNNNNNNNNNNNNNNNNNNNNNNNNNNNNNNNNNNNNNNNNNNNNNNNNNNNNNNNNNNNNNNNNNNNNNNNNNNNNNNNNNNNNNNNNNNNNNNNNNNNNNNNNNNNNNNNNNNNNNNNNNNNNNNNNNNNNNNNNNNNNNNNNNNNNNNNNNNNNNNNNNNNNNNNNNNNNNNNNNNNNNNNNNNNNNNNNNNNNNNNNNNNNNNNNNNNNNNNNNNNNNNNNNNNNNNNNNNNNNNNNNNNNNNNNNNNNNNNNNNNNNNNNNNNNNNNNNNNNNNNNNNNNNNNNNNNNNNNNNNNNNNNNNNNNNNNNNNNNNNNNNNNNNNNNNNNNNNNNNNNNNNNNNNNNNNNNNNNNNNNNNNNNNNNNNNNNNNNNNNNNNNNNNNNNNNNNNNNNNNNNNNNNNNNNNNNNNNNNNNNNNNNNNNNNNNNNNNNNNNNNNNNNNNNNNNNNNNNNNNNNNNNNNNNNNNNNNNNNNNNNNNNNNNNNNNNNNNNNNNNNNNNNNNNNNNNNNNNNNNNNNNNNNNNNNNNNNNNNNNNNNNNNNNNNNNNNNNNNNNNNNNNNNNNNNNNNNNNNNNNNNNNNNNNNNNNNNNNNNNNNNNNNNNNNNNNNNNNNNNNNNNNNNNNNNNNNNNNNNNNNNNNNNNNNNNNNNNNNNNNNNNNNNNNNNNNNNNNNNNNNNNNNNNNNNNNNNNNNNNNNNNNNNNNNNNNNNNNNNNNNNNNNNNNNNNNNNNNNNNNNNNNNNNNNNNNNNNNNNNNNNNNNNNNNNNNNNNNNNNNNNNNNNNNNNNNNNNNNNNNNNNNNNNNNNNNNNNNNNNNNNNNNNNNNNNNNNNNNNNNNNNNNNNNNNNNNNNNNNNNNNNNNNNNNNNNNNNNNNNNNNNNNNNNNNNNNNNNNNNNNNNNNNNNNNNNNNNNNNNNNNNNNNNNNNNNNNNNNNNNNNNNNNNNNNNNNNNNNNNNNNNNNNNNNNNNNNNNNNNNNNNNNNNNNNNNNNNNNNNNNNNNNNNNNNNNNNNNNNNNNNAACCAAAGGAAGCAUGUUCCAGACGUCGAUGCCACAACCAAAUUUCAGACUUUUUCUUCUCCUCCUUAGAUCCAUCUGCCAUCAAGGCUUGUUGCAACUUAUUUGAAUCCUUUGAUUGCAAGUCCAAGUAUAGAGUUUCCCCCGCUUAAUACGACAACCAAUCGUCUGUCUUGUUUGAAUGUCCUUAAUCACACAAAAUUCAGGCCAAAAAAUGACAAUACAAGAUAAGGCUGCAGUGAUUUGAGAAACUAACAAAAGAUUGUAAUCUAAAGAUGGAACAACUAAAACAGAAUCCAAAUUCAAAGUAUCAGUAAGAGUUAAGGAUCCUUCCCCAAUGACUGGGGUUGUGUUACCAUUGGCUGUGGAAACAAUUUUUUGUGAGGAAGGUCUAAGGGGUGAAACCUGUCUAGAAUCAAAAGUCAUAUGAUCUGUAGCACCAGAAUCAAUUAUCCAUGCACUAUUAAUAACAGGUGUAAAAGUAUUUAAAAACUUACCACAAUGAUCUGUAGCGGCUACUAAUGCAGAGACUUUCUCAACAACAUUAGUCUUUGUUUUUAUUUCGGUAACAGUUGCAAUCAAGGUUUUCUUGGAAUUCUUCUUCCGUUGAUCACGAUUAUUAUCAUUAAUAACAAAGUGUUGAUAGCCUAAACAUGAUCUAAAGGUCCAUGGUGCAAACCCUCGGUUCCUCAUUGUUUUCCUGGUCAUACCAAGAGUUGUUGCUUUGAAAUUGUGGGAUAUCCAGACUGGUGGGAUCAGUUUUAUUGCAGUGAGUGCAUUUGAAUGUUGACUUAUCAAUAUUAGGGCUUGUCUUCGGAUGGUUGAUUGCUGUUGGACUACCAUAGCGACAAAAUAUCCAGGAUUUCAAUUCCAGGGCUCUGAUACCAUCUUCAAAUUGAUGAAUGAUAGUUUUUCAUUCAUUCUUUCAUGUACAGAGUAUAUAUAGAGGGUAAUCACCAUUCUAAGAAUGGGAAAGAAUGAUACGAGGAAAUAAUGAUAUAAGGAAAUAAUAACUAAUAUCCUAAUAUCUCAACUUUCCUAAUAUCUCAAUAUUCCUAAUAUCUCAACUUUCCUAAUAUCUAAACAUUCAUAAUAUCUCAACACUAAAUGAUACAAGGAAAGAAUGAUAUAAGGAAAACAUUCCUAAUAUCUCAACACCACUUCAUGAUAUAUAUAGUUUCUUACCCUUAAUCAAUGGUUUCUAAGUGAAUUUAUAUAGAAAGAAAUCCAAACUGUAGACAGCAGUAUUGGUAACACUCAAUAUUCUGUAUAUAAUAGAAUAAAUAGCGUCACAGUGAUCGUCGCCUACAAGCAAGGUACAAAUACCACAAAGAGUGACCCACAUAGACAUUCCCCAACAAGAUGUAGUAGUGACUGACACAUAGCCACAAUUAACACGUAGAAAAGGAUAAGACCGGUGCACAGUAGCUCUUAUUUUACAUACUACUUAUGCCAACCAAAGUCACUCAGUUGGGAUGGGAGGGAGAUGGAGGUUUGUGCGGUGGCUUGUGGGGCGGAGUUGAUGGCUUCUUUCCAGGAGCUUCUGGCUUUUUCAUCGGAGCUGAAGGAGGCUCAAUCUUAUGAGGCGGCUUGUACGAGUCUUCUUUGCUCUCGAAAGGAGGGUGGCCAGGGUUGUGACCAUAAUGUGGUGGUUUCUCUCCCUUGGGAGGUUUACCAAUUGGGGUUGGUGGCUUGUGUUCUGGGAGUGGUUUCUCUCCCUUGGGAGGUUUAGUGGGUGACUUGUGUUCUGGAGGUGGCUUCUCCACCGAAGGCUUGUGCUCCGGUGGUGGCUUUUUGGUUGGAGGGGGCUUGGGGUAAUCAGCAAGAGAUGGGGUGGUGAGAACCACCAGUCCAAGGAACAACACUAGCAAGUAUGUGGGAGACAUUUUUGAGUUUGGGCUGAUCAGAUGAUGCAAAACUAAAGCAUUACGUGACCUUUUAUAGCAAGUAGCUCCCAAUACCUACUUGACACGUGUUACUGUGACCCAUAAAUAUUAUGGGGUCUAUUUGUGCCCUACCGGGUUGAAAACUUGGACAAUUGGGCAAGGACCCGCCUGACUAUGGAGGACUACUGAGGUGUGAUCACAGCUUUAGGAUUUUUCUUCCUCUGCAGCCGUCUUGCCGUUGGCAUGAUUUUCUUAAUCUCAAAUAAAGGCAUAGUUAUAGAGUUGUUUAAUCUCUAAAUGGGAUUUUAUAUAUCUUCAGAUAGCCAUUAAUACAUUUGAUGAAGAAAGAAAGACAAGUGCAUACAACAUGUAUACGACUAGCUUUCAUGGAGUUCAUUUAUGAUCAGUUUUCCUGUACAUGUAAACCAAGAUCAUAUAUGUUUUUGUUCCACAACAAUUUUGGAAUCUUGUUUAUCCGUUUUUAUCAUUAUAAUGUCACAUAGGCUGCCAACUUGGGCGCUAAAUUAAAGAUCCAGUUGGGCAAGUUCGUUUCAGAAUUUCAAUGGUGGAUUCAGGAAUUGUUUUAUAAGAUAUGCAAAAUAGUAGAGGGAUGAAUAGUGUUUCAUUAAGAAAAGAGCCCUGUAAAAAUAUUGUUUAAAGGUGCCAUAGAAACUAUAAUCAAUAAAUAACUUUUUUUCCCCAUGGGUGGUGUUUCUUGUGGGGAUCAGUGACUGGUUUGAGUCAACGCCGUGUCUCUUUAGUCCAGAAAUCAACUAUUUUAUGCAUUGAAUACAUCAACAAAGAAAAUAUGAAAGCCAAAUGACACCUCCCCCGCAAAAACUAAACCCUGGUUGCUAACUUUCUAUGUUUCAGUUCCAUUCACACAAGAAUAUUAGUUCAAGUUUGAGAAAAAUGGCGACUUACCUAGUGAUAACUCGGUCUUGGUUUGCGAUUUGACUUUAACGUCAUGGGUUGAAGCCUCCUACAAUCAUCGUGUAUGCUAGUUCAAAGCUCGUGGAAGAAGUUAUACAGGGAGGGAGAAACCUCCACAGCAAGCUCCAAAAGAGAAUUAUCACAUUGAAAGCUCCAGUUGAACACUGGGUGAAAGCCAUAACAAGAUUGGUUUUCUAUCGCUCUUUUAAGUAAUGGAAGAUUAUUAUCUCUGCUUGUCACUACAACCGUGCAUGCUGCUAGAUCUUUCUAGACACUUCAAACAGUGAAACCAAGUAUGAUUCUUUUUCUCUUGAGUGGGUCCACUUGCAUGCCAAUGAACGAGUUGAAAAGUUGGACAAUUGGCCACAGCGCGCACUUACCUUCUGGAACCGAAGGUCAGUGAAGUGGGGUUCCUUUUGGCCCCUUGUGUUUCUGUUCCAACCUACUCCAGGAACCGAAGUUCAGUGAAGUGGGGCUACUUUUGGCCUCUUGUGUUUCUGUUCCAACCAAACAAAAAUGGGAGGGAAAAAUAGCAUUAUGCUUGUGCUAAAGAUCAACGCAUGAUAGCUGAAUAAGGGAGAAAAAGGCAUUGCUAUCUCAAUUUCAUAAACUUGAUAAGUAGUGACAUUAAUAGUCUUCCUCAUAGAUGGAUACAUGGUUUUAUUUUAUUUAUUUAUUUUUAUUUUUUUGUUUUAUGUCAAUGCUAAUGAAUGAAGUGCAUUAGCUUGUUUUGUGACUAGAACUACAAAUGUCCAAAUUGGAGCUUCUCCAAUAUAUUUCUCAGUGAGUUAUUGAUUAGAACUCUUGGAUUGAGUUCCAAGAUUUGAAUCAGACCCCUCUAGCAGCUUCAGGGGUACGUAGCAACCUAUAGCAUAUUAAUGAAGACUUAGGAUUUAGACUUAGGAAUACAAAUUAAUAUGUACCUCAUGCUCUGACUAGCUUCCCUGCGUAUGCACAAAAUGGAGAUGACUCCCAAAAAAAUAGCAGAAUCGCCUUAGUAUGUUUUUGUGGUUAAGAUGAUUCUCCACUUUAUAUAUCCACAUUGGUUCAUUAUGCAAAUUAAUCAACUAAGCUAUUUUUAUUUUUUCUUAAAUGUGAAAUAGGAGCUCCAAAUUAACCUAACCAUUGGCCUGAUUGAAUUGAUUUCACUUGCAUAAUGUUAUAGUAGAAGUCCGUAAUUUGAAUUUUAUUUUUGCAAAAGGUAACGUAAAUGAAGCAUUGUAAUUAAAUUUAUUUGUAAUUACAAACUAAUUUUAUUUUAUUAAGAAUUAAUUUAAUUACUCAUUUAAAAUAAAAAUCAGUUAUACUUUUACCAAGAUGAUAAUAUUCAUAUUUUUCUAGUUAACAUAUAUAAAAUAGUACACUUUUUCAUAUAAAAAAAUAAUUUAUGAUUUAUUAUAAUGUUACUAUUCACAUUUUACUAAAUUGAUGGUACAUGAUAGUGAGAGAAGGGGGUGUCACACUCAGCUAAAGUUCUUUUCAAAAUAUUGCAUGGUGUUUAAUUUUAUGUGUCGGCGCGCGUGUGAAUGGAACCUGCAAAAGUCCAAAUUGGCGUUUCUCCAUUUUCCACAUAGGAUGGUGACGUUAAUAGACAAAGAUACAAUAUCUGUAGACAUUGCUUAAAAAUCGAUGUGAAGUAUUAGAAAUUACAGGGCACUGUACUGGGGGAGCGGCUGCCCCGCCAAAGGAGGAAGAAUGUAGCAAUUUCUUCUGUUAGCCAGGCCUUAGGAUUUAUGCAUGGGAUGCCUAAUAACAAACAGAGAAAAUAUACUUUUGGGGAAGGUAUCCAACAACAGACACCAUCAUUCAGAUGGUGGGAAGGUAUCCAACAGAUGCCAUCAUUCAGAUGGUAACAUAUAUAUACAUUUAUUAGUGAGUUUUUUUAAUACCUAUAAAAAAAAAUAUACACUUUGAUAUUGUGGCUGAAUCCAUUACAUACUCAACUAACCUUGCUCAUUAGGGAUUUGACUUAACAAGGGCAACGUUGCAGUACAAGCUCAAAACUUUAUGCAGGUGACAUUACAUUUGGUAAAGAAGAGGAAAAUAACGAAAGCCAUCCAUAAAAGCAAAAUUCCACAUGGGAUGAAAUUCACAAGCUUCAUUUACGAUAGAGUCGCAUCCAGGCAAUUAAUUCCACAUUAGACCGCCUGUUGACAUGUGUACCAAUCUUUUUUCAAAAAAUAUUUAUAAAUAAUUGAUACUCACAAAAAUAAUUUAAUAUUUAUAAAGGAUAAAAAAAUAUUUUCAAAUCUAUAACAAUUUAUAAAAUAUUAAUAAAAAAUUAUCUCUUAAACUUAGUAUAGUUUUAUCAGAUUAAACUUUUAUUUUGAACAAAUAAUUUUAAUCUAAGUUUUAAAUUCUAAAAUUAUUUCCUUAAAAUAAAAUUUUAAAAUUCAACACUUCAAUUGAAAUUGUCUUUUUAAAAAAUAUCUUCUUAUUUUAAUCCUUAUAAACUAUAGUUGAUUGAAAAUACUAUUGAAGUUCUCUCUUAAAAAAAAGUCUUAUUUUAAUCUUCAUAAAUUGCCCUUGAUUUGAAAAUAAAUUUUCAGUUAUCAUAUUUUAAAUAAUAUCUAUAUUUAAAAUACUCUAUUUAAAAAAAAAUGAACUAAUUUUAAUUAUAUUAUAUUUUAUUUUUUUAUAUAUUUUUAAUGAUAAACCAAACAUAGAAAAUCAUUUUUCUAAAUAUUUUAAAAUUUCUAAGCAACCAAACAUAAUCUUCAAAAUAAAAGGAAAAUAAGGAGGGACAUUUGAGAAAUGGCGAUUAAAAAAAAGUGUACAAAAGCUCAAUUAAUUUUCUUCUAGUCUUUUAUAUAAAAAAGUAAAGGAAUUGAAAAGUAUUGAUAUGUAAAUUAAUAUUUGGAUUUUAAUAGUAUUUUAUUUGUCUUUCUCUAUCUCAUGUAAAAGAGAAUUUAAGAUAUUUCCUAAAGCAAAGCAUUAGUUAUCUGCAAUCAGUGGUGAUCAUGCCCCAUGUCAAUUUCGGACCCAUAUCUUAAAACUGUAUAAUUUGCAUUCAAACAUUACUGAUUUCUCAGAUGUUUCAUACUCCACAGAAGAGCAUUGUUUGUGAAAGCAUGCAUUUAUGUUGGAUUUUGGAUGAUGUGGGAACUGGGGCAAGGAUCAUAUGGAAGAGUGGUCGAUUUUGUUCUGUACUUUAACAUUUGAAAUAGGAGAAGCUCGGGCAUUUGUGGGGCUUAAUUGAUUUUGAAGCCUGAAAUUGCGUUUCUGUCAUUUUGUAAAAAAUAUGGCAGAUUCCAUGCUCUCAUAUGUUUGGUCUGUGGCCAUGUAUAGAUGCCCCUUAGUGACCAGUUUGUAACUGUCAAUCAUAGUGUUUUGACUCUGGCUCAACAACAUCAGCCAUUGACGGAUUUUCAUACUUGCAAAUCAAAUAGUCUUCUUCCUCCCUUAGGAAUUUCGGUUUAAAUGUUAUUAAGCAUACAUUUGGCUGACAAUUAUUAACCACUUCAUGAUAUGGUUUCUUACCCUUAAUCAAUGGUUUCUAAGUGAAUAUAUGCAGAAGGAAAUCUGAACUGUAGACAGCAGUAUUGAUAACUCUCAAUAUUCUUUAUAUAAGAGAAUAAACAACGUCAUAGUGAUCGUCGCCUACAAGAAAGGUACAUUUCCCAACAAGAUGUAGUUGUGACUGGUACAUGGACGCAAUUAACUCGUACAAAAGAAUAAGACCAGUGCACGGCAGCUCUUAUUUUACAUGCUAAUUAUGCUAACCAAAGUCACUCAGUUGGGAUGGGAGGGAGAUGGAGGUUUGUGCGGUGGCUUGUGGGGCGGAGUUGGUGGCUUCUUUUCAGGAGCUUGUGGCUUUUUCGGAGCUGAAGGAGGCUCAAUCUUAUGAGGCGGCUUGUACGAGUCUUCUUUACUCUCGACAGGAGGGUGGCCAGGGUUGUGACCAUAAUGUGGUGGCUUCUCUCCCUUAGGUGGCUUGCCAACUGGGGUUGGUGGCUUGUGUUCAGGAAGUGGUUUCUCUCCCUUGGGAGGUUUACCAAUUGGGGUUGGUGGCUUGUGUUCUGGGAGUGGUUUCUCUCCCUUGGGAGGUUUAGUGGGUGACUUGUGUUCUGGAGGUGGCUUCUCCACCGGAGGCUUGUGCUCCGGUGGUGGCUUCUCCACCGGAGGCUUGUGCUCCGGUGGUGGCUUCUUGAUUGGAGGGGGCUUGGGGUAAUCAGCAAGAGAUGGGAUGGUGAGAACCACCACUCCAAGGAACAACACUAGCAAGUAUGUGGGAGACAUUUCUGAGUUUGAGCUGAUCAGAUGAUGCAAAACUAGAAGAAUUACGGGACCUUUUAUAGCAAGUAUCUCCCAAUACCCACAUGACACGUGUUACUAUGACCAUAAAUAUUAUAGGGUCCAUUUGUGCCCUACCGGGUUGAAAACUUGGACGCUUGGCCGAGGACACACCUGACUAUGGAGGACUAUUGACGUGUGAUCACAGCUUUUGGAUUUUUCUUCCUGUGCAGCUGUCUAGCGGUUGGCAUUAUUUUCUUAAUCUUAAAUAAAGGCAUAGUUAUAGAGUUGUUUAAUCUCUAAAUGGGAUUUUAUAUAUCUUCAGAUAGCCAUUAAUAUAUUUGAUGAAGAAAGACAAGUGCAUACAACAUGUAUACGGCUUGCUUCAAUCGAGUACAUUUAUGAUCAGUUUUCCUGUGCAAGUAAACCAGUUUUUUGUUCCACAACUAUUUUGGAAUCUUGUUUAUCAGUUUCUAUCAUUAUAAUGUCACAUAGGCUGCAAACUUGGGCACCCAAAGAUCUAGGUGGGCAAAUUUGUUUCAGACUUUCAAUGGUGGAUUCAGUAAUUGUUAAAAGGUGUUUCUUCAUUAAGGAAAGAGUCCGGUAAAAAUAUUGUUAAAAGGUGUCAUAGAAACUAUAAUAAAUAAAUAACUUCUUUUCCCCAUGGGUGGUGUUUCUUCUGGGGAUCAGUGACUGGUUAGGGUCACCCAAAAUGAGUCCAGAUUAAAAUUGGUUCGAGUCAAAGCAGUCUCUUUUGUCCAGAAAUCAACUAUUUUGCGCAUUGAAUGAAUCGAUAAAGAAAAAAUGAAAGCCAAAUCACACCUCCCCUGCAAAACCUAAACCCCGGUUGCUAACUUUCUAUGUUUCAGUCCUAUUCAUAUAGGAAUAUUGGUUCAAGUUUGAGAAAAAUGGCAACUUACCUAGGGUUUACUUGGUUUUGGUUUGCGACUAUUUACGCAACCAACCAUGAGUUUGACUUUAACGUCAUGGGUUGAAGCCUCCUACAAUCAUGUAUGAUAGUUCAAAGCUCGUGGAAGAAAUUAUACAGGAAGGAAGAAACCUCCAAAGCUAGCUCCAAAAGAGAAUUAUCACAUCGAUAGCUCCAGAGAUUCCCAAGGGAACUGAAUCAAAGACAAGUUCCUCACUUUUUCUUCUUUUGAGGCCAAAUAUGAACCAAGGAUCACACGACCUCAUUCAACUUCAUAAGUUUGAUUUCAUGCAGUUGAACACUGGGUGAAGGCCAUGACAAGAAUUGAUUAAAAAAUUCUACCACUCUUUUAAGUAAUGGAAGAUUAUUAUCUCUGAUUGGCACCACAACAGCACAUGCUGCUAGAUCUUUCUAGACACUCCAUGCAAUGAAAGCACAAUGGAUCUUGUAAUGAUAGAAACUAAGCCAUGCUACAGUACUAGAUGAGGGGGUAAAACUAGUAGACAUCUUUCUAGACACUCCAUGCAAUGAAAGCACAAUGGAUCUUGUAAUGAUAGAAACUAAGCCAUGCUACAGUACUAGAUGAGGUGGUAAAACUAGUAGACAUGGCUGGCAGUUGAUUACUACUCAAAAAGUACUCUUUUAUAGCUUGAAACUAACUGUUUUAAACACUUUUGAGUAGUAGUUAAUACCUUUUAACUUAAUUGGCACAUUAAGGAACCUAGCAAGGGUUACUAAUCAACAUUUGGCAAGUUUUGAUGUUUUUGGUAGCUAUUUGAUCAUUGAAACAAGCCAAGAAUGAGGGGGAAUUUUGUGAAGUCCAUGGCAAUGCAAGUUAAAGCUCAAAUACAUGAAGAAUCCAAGCUUUGGAGCACUUCAUAGCCCUUUGCCAAGCCAAUCAAAGAUGCAAGGAAGAAAACCAAAGGAAGAAAUCCAACAAUCAGCAUUUUGGCAUGGCUAUGUGAAAUUUCGCACACCAUGCGAAACCACAAGAGGCAGCCAAAGAAUUUCGCAUGGUAUGCGAAAUCUUCUUGUGCACUGACUCUGUUAGAUUUUUAUCUUCAGAUAUUUUGUGUAAUUUCCUAGUUUCUCCUUGUAACCAACUUAGAUAUUUUCUUUUAUAUCUUUUUUUAUAUUUUUUAGGUAACAUCAUAUAUAAGAGGAGAGACAUAAGGAGGAUAUGGAUGUUUUUCAUAGAACACUUGUAAAUUUUUGGUAGUAAGAAAUAUACAAAGCUUUUUGCUCUGCCUUACCUUCUCAAGGGAUGAGUGGCUAGGUUUUCUUGGAGUGAGGGAAGCUAGGUGAAGGACCUGAAUGCAAAGGUGGGAGUUUUCCUUACUUUAAAUGAAAGUAGUUGUUAAACAUUAAUGGUUUUUAUUUUAAGGUUUAGCUUUAAAUCCCUGAAAAACACCUUGAAUGGCCAAUACUUGGUAAGCUUUUUAGAUUCUAUGGAUGCUUAUUGCUAGAUCCAUGGAUGUCUAUUAGUUAUCAUUUACGAGCCAUUGGAAGGUGAUUCAAGGUGAGGGUCUUUAGUGUUUGAAGCCAUUAAUGGGAAGCAAUUACCAUUUUUUCAUGAAUCCUUUGGAUCAAAUCUUAAUUGCUAAAUAUAAAACCGGUUUCGAGAGAUAACCACCAUCCUUUAUGUUAUUAUCCCCAACGCGAGGAGAAGAUCCGAAAUCUUCCUUUUUAUCUAAGGAACCCGAUCCUAGUGACCUAAAGCUCCAAGAUACCUUUUCUUUGUAGUUAACUUCAUUUAUUGUUUUUGCUUAACUUAAAAUCAAUCUUUGCAACCACAAUUCCAUUUUCUUUAAAAGCUAAUUUUUAUAAGGAAAAACACCAUUUUAUUUCCUUCACUAAGUCAACUGUACGAUGAAAACCCAUCCCUGUGGACGAUCCUAGAGCCACUAUACUAUGUUAGCUAUGCUACCCUAGUGUGAGGUGAUUUAGGUUUUAUAAAUUUUUUUGAUAACACCCAUCUGAGCCAGAAUCAAAUGGCACGACUGAACCAGGGACGAAUCAAAUGACGCCGCUACCAAGGAUGGUGCCAAAGUACAUUGACAUGACUUUUGGUGAACACUUGUGAUCUUCACCACAAGUUUGGUGAUUUUUCUUUUACUAAUUUUUUUUAUUUUAGCUUAUCUUUUAUUUAGUUUUUAGUUAACCUUAAAUUUUUCCUAGAAUUGUAUUUCUUUUGUUUUCUUUGUUUUUGUUUCAGUGAUCUUUAGUUGUGCAUGCCCUAUUGGAUAAGAGAUAUUGAGGGAAUACUUGUGAAGAUUGAAACUCCUCGAGAAACUGAGUUAGAAGUGUGCUUGAACAUCAUGGAUGUUCCACCUGAAGACCAGAAUAGCCAACAUGGUUAAGAGGAUAAUUUCAACACAUACCGAUCCAUGAGGAACCGCAUACAUCCACCUUGUAUGAGUGCACCGUCAGGCAUAAUGCCUCCCACUGAGCAGCUAGUAAUCUGACCUCACAUUGUGCCACUCCUACCUACUUUCCAUGGGAUGGAGAGUGAGAAUCCCUACUCGCAUAUUAAGGAAUUCGAGGAGGUUUGUAAUACAUUCCAAGAAGGAGGAGCUUCAAUUGACUUGAUGAGGCUCAAGCUAUUUCCUUUCACUUUGAAGGAUAAGGCCAAGAUUUGGCUUAAUUCUUUAAGGCCAAGAAGUAUCCAAACUUGGAUUGAUUUGUAAGCCGAGUUUCUUAAGAAGUUCUUCCCUACCCAUAGGACCAAUGGUUUGAAAAGGCAAAAUUUGAACUUCUCAGUUAAAGAGAAUGAGAAAUUCUAUGAGUGUUGGGAGAGCUACAUGGAAGCUAUUAACGUUUGUCCUCACCAUGGCUUUGACACAUGGCUCUUAGUGAGCUAUUUUUACAAUGGUAUGUCUUCUUCAAUGAAGCAACUCCUAGAAACUAUGUGUGGAGGAGACUUCAUGAGUAAGAAUCCGGAGGAAGCCAUGGACUUUUUGAGUUAUGUGGCUGAAGUUUCAAGAGGAUGGGAUGAACCAAAUGCUAGAGAGGUGGGAAGAAUGAAGUCUCAACCUAAUGCUAAGGGUGAGAUGUAUGUUUUGAAUGAAGACAUUGACAUGAAAGCAAAGGUUGCAGCUAUGGCAAGGAGAUUGGAAGAGCUAGAAAUGAAGAACAUACAAAAAGUGCAAGCCAUUUCUGAGACAUCAAUGAAAGCUAUGCCUUGUUCCAUUUGUCAAUCUUAUAAGCACCUAGUGGAGGAGUGUCCUACAAUUCCAGCAGUGAGAGAGAUGUUUGGUGAUCAAGCAAAUGUUAUUGAUCAAUUCAAGCCUAAUAACAAUGCUUCAUAUGGCAACACCUACAAUUCAAAUUGGAGGAACCAUUCAAAUUUCUCUUGGAAACGAAAGCCACCUCAAUACACACAACCUACUCAAGCACCUUAGCAAUCCUCGAAUCUUGAACAAGCUAUUGUGAACCUUAGCAAGGUUGUGGGAGACUUUGUGGGAGAUCAGAAGUCCAUCAAUGCUCAACUGAAUCGGAGAAUUGACAGUGUGGAGAGUACAUUGAACAAAAGGAUGGAUGAGAUGUAAAAUGAUCUGUCUCAAAAGAUAGACAAUGUCCAAUACGUAAUCUCAAGGCUUACCAACCUCAACACAGUGUAAGAGAAAGGAAAGUUUCCUUCUCAACCUCAUCAAAAUCCUAAGGGUAUCCAUGAAGUAGAGGCUCAAGAGGGAGAAUCUUCAAAGGUGAGGGAAGUCAAAGUAGUUAUCACCUUGAAGAGUGGUAAAGAGGUUGAUCAACCCACAUCCAAGCCAAAGCAUAAUGAAGAGAGUGUAGCAGAAAAAGAAAAGAGAGGAAAAUAAAGGAAUUAGAAUAGAGAAAAAUACAAAGAAAGAUGACCAUGAGUCUAGUGUGGAUGAAGAGCCCGAGAGGAUGGUGAUCAAGGAAGAUAUGAUGAAGAAACACAUGCCUCCACCUUUCCCCUAAGCUUUGCAUGACAAAAAAAGAACCAAUAAUACAUCAGAAAAUUUUGAAGUAUUGAGGCAAGUGAAGGUCAAUAUCCCUUUGCUAGACAUGAUCAAACAAGUGUCGACAUAUGAAAAAUUCUUGAAGGACUUGUGCACUGUAAAGAGAGGGUUGAAUGUGAACAAGAAAGCUUUAUUGACCGAGCAAGUGAGUUCCAUCAUACAGUGCAAGUCCUAGUGAAGUACAAAGAUCCGGGUUGCCGUACCAUCUCAGUGAGUAUUGGAAGGACUUGUGUGGAGAAAGCUUUGUUGGACUUGGGAGCAAGUGUGAAUUUGCUAUCCUACUCUGUCUAUAAGCAGUUGGGAUUUGGAGAGUUGAAGCCAAUAUCCAUCACUCUAUCUCUAGCGGAUAGAUCAAUGAAGAUUCCAAGAGGGAUGAUCGAAGAUGUCCUGGUUCAAGUUAACAAAUUCUACUAUCCAGUAGAUUUUGUUGUUCUUGAUAUGGAUCCGGUUGUCAAAUGAACUAAUUAUGUUCCUAUCAUACUUGGAAGACCCUUCCUAGCUACAUCAAAUGCAAUCAUCAAUUGUAGGAAUGGAGUCAUGCAACUCACAUUUGUCAACAUGACAUUAGAGCUCAACAUCUUCCAUUUGUACAAGAAGCAUAUCCAUCAGGAGGAAAAAGAAGGUCUAGAGGAAGUGUGAAUGAUUGACACUUUAGUGGAAGAGCAUUGUGAUCGAGAAUGCAAAAAGAUUUAGUUGAGAAUUUUGGGGAUCUUGAUGAAAGGUUACUUGAACCCUCAGAUUUGCUUGCUACCCUACUCCAUUGGAAGAGAAGAGAAGAAAUUCUACCCUUAUUCAAUGAGGAGGAGACGCAAAGAGCUGCAAAGGAGAAACCCCCAAAACUUAUUCUUAAGCCACUACCCACAGAGUUGAAGUAUGUAUACUUGGAAGAAGACAAGAAGUGCCCUAUUGUUAUAUCUUCAACUCUUACCAUUCAUCAGGAGGAUUGUCUACUUGAAGUCCUUAGAAGAUGUAAGAAGACAAUAAGGUGGCUAAUUUCUUAUUUGAAAGGGAUCAGCCCUUUAGUCUGCACCCAUCAUAUUUACAUGGAGGAUGAAGCUAAGCUAAUUCAUCAACCUCAGAGAAGGUUGAACCCUCACAUGCAAGAGGUGGUUCGAGCUGAAGUUCUGAAGCUACUUCAGACCAGUAUUAUUUACCCCAUAUCAAAUAGCCCAUGGGUGAGUCCUACUCAAGUUGCGCCAAAGAAGUCUGGGAUCAUGGUGGUGCAAAAUGAUAAGGGAGAAGAUGUCUCUACACGCCUCACUACAGGUUGGAGGGUGUGUAUCAAUUACAGGAGGUUGAAUGCAGUGAUAAGAAAGGACCAUUUCUCAUUGCCCUUUAUUGAUCAGGUGCUUGAGAGGGUCUCUGGGCUUUUUUUUUUAUUGUUUCUUGGAUGGCUACUCCGGGUACUUUCAGAUAGAAAUUGAUGUUGAAAACCAAGAUAAGACCAUUUUCACAUGCCCAUUUGGAACCUAUGCAUAAAGGAGAAUGCCUUUCGGCUUAUGCAAUGCACCCGCAACUUUCCAAAGAUGCAUGUUAAGCAUUUUCAGUGAUAUGGUGGAGCGUAUUAUGGAAGUCUUUAUGGAUGAUAUCACCAUUUAUGGAAGUGCAUUUGAUGAAUGCUUGGUCAACUUAGAAGCUGUUCUGAACCGAUACAUUGAGAAAGACUUAGUGCUUAACUGGGAGAAGUGCCAUUUCAUGGUACACCAAGGGAUUGUCCUUGGGCACAUUAUCUCCAAGCAAGGCAUUGAAGUUGACAAAGCAAAGGUUGAACUCAUUGUUAAGUUGCCAUCCUCAACAAAUGUCAAAGGAGUAAGGCAAUUCUUUGGCCAUGUCGGGUUCUAUAGGAGGUUUAUCAAGGAUUUCUCUAAGCUUGCAAGGCCUCUUUGUGAAAUAUUGGUGAAUGAUGUUAAAUUCAUAUGGGAUGAUGGAUUUGAAAGGAGUUUUGAAGAAUUGAAGCUAUUUUUGACAACCGUACCAAUAGUGAGGGCUCCCAACUGGCAACUGCCCUUUGAAGUAAUGUGUGAUGUCAAUGAUUUUGCUAUAGGAUUUUUUCUUGGGCAAAGAGAAAAUGGAAAACCUUAUGUGAUCUACUAUGCGAGGAAGGCAUUGAAUGAGGCACAAAGAAACUACACAACCACCGAGAAAGAAUUGUUAGCUGUAGUUUUUGCCUUGGAUAAGUUUCGCGCUUACUUGGUGGGGUCCUUCAUCAUGGUUUUUACUGAUCACUUUGCUUUGAAGUAUCUGUUGACUAAGCAAGAUGCUAAAGCAAGGCUGAUUAGAUGGAUUCUCUUACUUCAAGAGUUCAAUCUCCAUAUCAAAGAUAAGAAAGGAGUGGAGAAUGUGGUAGCAGACCACAUUUCAAGGCUAGCUAUCGCACAUAAUUCCCAUGCUUUGCCCAUUAAUGACGAUUUUCUAGAGGGGUCUCUCAUGUUGGUGGAAGUUGUCCCUUGGUACGCUCACAUUGCUAACUACCUGGUCACGGGAAAAGUUCCAAGUGAGUGGAAAGCACAAGAUAAGAAGCACUUCUUUGCAAAAAUUCAUGCCUACUAUUGGGAAGAGCCAUUUCUAUUCAAGUAUUGUAUGGAUCAGAUAAUAAGGAAGUGCGUUCCUGAAGAAGAGCAACAGGGGAUCCUUAGUCAUUACCAUGAAAAUGCAUGUGGAGGCCACUUUGCUUAUCAAAAGACAGCCAUGAGGGUGUUGCAAUCGGGUUUCUGUUGGCCAUCACUUUUCAAAGAUGCCCACACCAUGUGCAAGAGUUGUGAUCGAUGCCAGAGGCUUGGGAAGUUGACACGCAGGAACAUGAUGCCUUUGAACCCCACUUUAAUAGUUGAUAUUUUUUAUGUUUGGGGCACUAACUUCAUGGGACCUUUCCCUAUGUCUUUUGGCUACUCUUACAUCUUGGUAGGAGUAGAUUAUGUUUCUAAGUGGGUUGAGGCAGUCCCAUGCAAACACAAUGACCAUAGAGUGGUUCUCAAGUUUCUUAAAGAGAAUAUCUUCUCAAGAUUUGGGGUGCCCAAAGCCAUAAUUAGUGAUGGGGGUACUCAUUUUUGCAACAAGCCUUUUGAAACUCUCCUAGCCAAGUAUGGGGUGAAGCAUAAGGUAGCUACACCUUACCACCCUCAAACUCAUGGACAAGUUGAGUUAGCAAACAGGGAGAUUAAAAACAUAUUGAUGAAGGUGGUGAACACAAACAGAAAAGAUUGGUCAGUCAAGCUUCUUAAUUCACUAUGGGCAUAUAGAACAACUUACAAGACCAUUCUCGGGAUGUCUCCUUAUCGCCUAGUUUAUGGCAAAGCAUGCCAUCUCCCUGUGGAAUUGGAAUACAAAGCUUGGUGGGCAAUCAAGAAGCUCAACAUGGAUUUGAGCAGAGCUGGGUUGAAGAGGUUCUUAGACCUUAAUGAGAUGGAGAAAUUGAGAAAUGAUGCCUACAUCAAUUCAAAAAUUGCAAAAGAAAAAUUGAAGAGGUGGCAUGAUCAGUUGAUUUCCCGCAAGGAUUUUCAAAAUGGACAAAGAGUCUUACUUUAUGACUCUAAACUCCACAUCUUUCCGGGCAAGCUGAAAUCAAGGUGGAUAGGUCAUUUUACCAUUCACCAAGUGCAUUCAAAUGGAGUAGUGGAACUACUCAACUCCAACAAUAUCGAGAACUUCAAAGUGAAUGGCCACCGUCUCAAGCCCUUUGUGGAGUCUUUUUCUCACAACAAGGAGAAAUUCAUCCUCCUUGAUCCACAUCAAGCUUAACAAGACCAAUUUUCUUGAUGGACUUAGUCUUUCUAAAGACUAUCGAGUCCAUAACUUUUUGUUUUAUUUUUUAUUUGAGAUUUUUUCGGUAUUGUUACUUGUUUUGUUUUUUAUUUUUCGUUUUAAUUUUAUUUGGUUUGAUUUAACUUAGGUUUUUGAUGAUCAAUUACAGGGGGGAUUUCAAAUAGAGGAAAAACCAAGAUAAUUCGCACACCCUACGAAAAUUUCGCAAGGCAUGCGAAAUUUAUGGCUUAUUUUGCAUGGGGUGAAAAUUUUCGUACAUCUUACGAACCAAUUUCGAACACUUUGCGAAAAUAAACCAACCCUGCGAAAUCAUUUCGAUUACUCUACGAAAUUUUCGUAGAGCAUGCGAAAAAUUUAGCACACCAAACACCAUUUCGCAUACUAUGCAAAAACCUAAGGGGUCUGCGAAACCAUUUCGCACCUCCAAAUCCAUUUCGCACAUUGUGCGAAAACCAAGAGGCGCUGUGCGAAAAUGAAAAGUCGCCCUGUCAUCCCUUUUUAAACCCCUCGAGCCCUAAAAUCUCCAUUUCGCAAGCACCCCUGUCCUUGCGAAUCCCUCAUUUUCCUCUACUACCUUGCAACCUCGUCCCUUUCCAUUUGAUAUUGUGCCCCGCGCACAUCUCAUUUCAGAGACUCGCACUCCGCGCCCCCUCAAAGCAUGGACUCGAGACCCACCUUCCAUUUCCGACGUGGCACGGACCCAAGGAGCCCUUUCUGCCCCUUCACUAAGACACACACCAAGGCAGAAAGCCUCCUUUGCUCAAGUGCCUAGUGAUUCUCCAUCUUAGGCCUCAGAGGCCUCGGAGGCCCCGUGGAUUCCACCUUCCGAGGGUAGAGCAGCCAUUGGUCCUUCCUCUUCUACUCCUUAGCGUAGAUACGAGACGAGGAGACCACCUACUACACAAGGGGCGACUACUUCGAGCCUUGAGAAUUCAGUACGAUGCCUUCCUGCCAAGAGGGUCAAGACUUCAGGUCCAAGUGAGUCAUCCAGAGCUUCAUAGCCUAAGCCUCCUGUAGAUUCCAAGGUUCCUACUGACAUAUCACCGGAGUCUAUUAUCAGAAGCCCGAUGCUCAUAGCACCGCCCAUUGAGGGCAACUCAGAUUAUAGAGCGAGAUCUUUCCACUUGGAGCUAUAUUUUGAUCAGGAGGCCAUACGACAGCAGCCUGAGCUCCGAGACUCUUAUGGCUUACUGCAGAGGUACCAUCUUGAGGAACUUAUGACUCCUCGUGAGUUUUUUUAUCCCAGAGUAGCACUAAACUUUUACCAGUCCAUGACUACUCGUGGCGUCCCGAGUCCUACCACGAUUCACUUCACCAUUGAUAGACGUCAUGGUAUCCUCAAGGCCAGACAUAUUACAGAGGCUCUACAAAUUCCUUUCGAGCUAGAGGAUCCAUCUGUUUUUCGCUAAUGGUCCCCAGUAUCUCAGAGGGACAUGGUCCGUAUUUUAUCUAGGGGAACAUCUACAGAUUCGAUCUUUCUACGGAAGGAGCUUCGACCUGGGAUGCUCCUCUUAGAUGUGGUGCUAUGCUCCAACCUCUUUCCCUUACAACAUUCGGUACAUAGGUGAUGAGCUAUUUUGGACGCUUUAUUCCGUAUAUCAGAGGGCUUCUACUUUGGCCCGCACCACUUGAUCAUGGUCUCCCUCAUCCACUUUGAGGAGAAGGUUCAUAGGAAGAAGCUUCAGAGGGUGGACACCAUUCCAUUACUAUUCCUGAGGUUACUUUGCCAGGUCUUGGAGUACAUGGGCUUUCCUACUGAGCCUCGGCUCGAGCUUUGCCGCCUUUGUCGAGAGUGAUCCACUCUCGACAAAUGGAAUUAGUUGGCGGGCUAUUCUGCACCUCCAGGAGCCCCUCCCAUGGUAGCACCUCCAAUGUCCCCACAGGCAAAGUAGGGCGAGCUCCCGGCAAAGACUGUACCACCAAUGCCCACACUUGAGGCUAUUUCUGCUGCUCUGCCUAUGACUCCUACUGUUCCACCAGUUGGUCCUUUUACAUCCGAGCCUUCCAUCACCAUCUCGGCUUCGGAGUUUCGCGCCCUUGUGCAUACCUUUCAGACACUCACCACCACACAUACUCCUCUCUUCUAGCAAAUGGUUGAGAUGUGUGCCCAUCAGGACCGGAAGACUACUAUACUCUGCCAAAUUCAGCAGCACCUAAGACUUUUGCCUCAACCUCAACCUAACCAUCCCAUAUCAUCAGAGCCUCUAGCUCCAACUGAGGAUACUAUUCCACCUGAGAACACUACCACAGUAGAGGUCCGGUUUCCACCACCUUAAGAGGCCACCACAGCUACAUCAGAGGAUGUGUCAUCUCCACUUGAGGCUCCCACUACUUGAUCAUAGGACAUAUCUUUAUCUUAUUGUAUUUACAUAUUAUAUUACUAGAGAUUUGUCCUUGUUUUGAUACUUUAUAUUCUGGGAUUGGAUGUAUUGCCUGAUGAUAUCUCAAUUGUACUUUCUCAUAUUAAUAUAUAGACAUCAAUUUUUUUUAGUAUACUUAGCAUUUUUCUAUUUCCUCUACUCAUUACUCUUUUGUUUUUUUUUACUCAUGUGGUUUCUCUUAUACAACUCAGACUCCAUUUCACUCAGGAGGUACCACUUCCUCCCUUUAUUUUCAAUUGCUCUUGAAAUAUUGAGUGCAAUGUUGAUCUUGGUUGGGGGGAGAGUUGAGGAAGGAAGUUUUGUUAAUAAUGCUAGGUUAAUUUGUUAAUUUAGUUACUUUCUGCUUAAUUUUAAAAGUUUUCACUCUACUUUCCAUGGUUAUUAAGGAAAAAUUCUCAAAAUGAAAUGGGAGAAAUCGAAUUCUUGCAUUUUUACUUGAAUCUUAGAAUUUGUAUCAUGCUUAUUAAAGUUGAUGAAUUAUUGAAACUCCUAUUGAAUUCAACCUUAUUUUUUCCACUUUAAUCUUACCACACACGGUGCACAUUAGGUUCCAGUUAUAAGAUAAAAAACUAUCUCACCCCCUAAACUUAGAAAAAUUUACACUUGGUACCUUUGACAUCGUUUUAAUAGUGUUGGGACACCUUAUAAAAGGCCAAUGAGCCUUUAAAAAAAAAAAAAAAAAAAAAAAGAGAAAGAACAAAGUAUUGCACUUGCCUUGAAACCUGAGCAAGAUCCGAGGGGUAUACAGUGAAAGUCUUUAAAACCUGGUGCCCUAAGCCUUGAUUGGUUGGGAGUCACCGACCUCAAUGCUCGUUAUAAGGGUGAAUAGGUGGAGUUUAACAUAUUGUAGGUGCUUGGGUAUUGAAUUUCAAUCUCAAAAGUCCGGGAAAAAAUCUAAGGAGUUAGUGGUCAAAAGAUCCUUAAAGCUUGAUGCCCUAAACCUUGAUUGGUUGAGAGUCAUUGAUGGAUCCCCGCUACAUGGACAUUUUAGAAAACAAUACCUUUAGCAUUGCACGCCUACAAUGAAAAAAAAAUGUGAAAUAAAAGAGGUGCGUUCUUAGCCUAUUGGAGGUUGGUCAGUUUGCUAAAGUUUGAGAAAUCUAGGUUGGGGGGAGAGAAUAGUCCGACAUACUAUAAUAAAAAACUAAUAACCUUAACACUUAGAUUUUUGUGGAAGAGUAAGGAUUGGACCUUUAGGGGUGGAAAUUCUUUUGAUGCUUAAAUUUGCAUAAUGCCUACUCUUUAUAAAUUAUGAUUAGGCAAGAGAUUUGAUGACUCUUGUUCAAAGUUGGGUUUUUCCUCUUUGAUGUUCCAUGAGAGAGUAUAAUCCUCAUCAUGCCACUUGAAAUCUUUUUGGAGUGAUUAACAUGAUUUUGUAAAUUAUUUUACUGUCUAUUUUUCUUUAUCUCUCUUUUAUUGCUAAUGGACUAGCAAUAUGUCAGUUGGGGGGAGUGAUUACUACUCAAAAAGUACUCUUUUAUAGCUUGAAACUAACUGUUUUAAACACUUUUGAGUAGGUGUUAAUACAUUUUAACUCAAUUGGCACAUUAAGGAACCUAACAAGGGUUACUAAUAAGUUUUUGGCAAGUUUUGGUGUUUUUGGUAGCUAUUUGAUCAUUGAAACAAGCCAAGAAUGAGGGAGAAUUUUGUGAAGUCCAUAGCAAUGCAAGUUAAAGCUCAAAUACAUGAAGAAUCCAAGCUUUGAAGCACUUCAUAGCCCUUUGCGAAGCCAAUCAGAGAUGCAAGGAAGAAAACCAGAGGAAAAAAUCCAACAACCAGCAUUUUCGCAUGGCUGUGCGAAAUUUUGCACACCAUGCGAAACCACAAGAAGUAGCCAAAGAAUUUUGCACACCAUGCGAAAUUUCGCAUGGUAUACGAAAUCUUCCUAUGCACCAACUCCGUUAUAUUUUUAUCUUCAGAUAUUUUGUGUAAUUUCCUAGUUUCUCCUUGUAACCAACCUAGAUAUUUUCUUUUAUAUCUUUUUUUUAUAUUUUUUAGGUAACAUCAUAUAUAGGGGGAGAGACAUAAGGAGGAUAUGGAUGUUUUUCAUAAAACACUUUUAAUUUUCUGGUAGUAAGAAAUAUACAAAGUUUUUUGCUCUGCCUUACCUUCUCAUUUUGUUUUCACCUAUCUUUCUAGCCAAACAACCUCUGAGAAUGAUUUCUCAGGGGAUGAGUAGUUAGGUUUUACGUUUCUUGGAGUGAGAGAAGCUAGGUGAAAGACCCAAAUGCUAAGGUGGGAGUUGUCCUUGCUUUAAAUGAAAGUAGUUGUUAAAUAUUAAUGGUUUUUAUUUUAAGGUUUAGCUUUAAAUCCCUUAAAAACACCUUGAAUGGCCAAUACUUGGUAAGCUUUUCGGAUUCUAUGGAUGCUUAUUGCUAGAUCCAUGGAUGUCAUUAGUUAUCAUUUAUGAGCCAUUGGAAGGUGGUUCAAGAUGAGAGUCUUUAGUGUUUGAAGCCAUUAAUGGGAAACAAUUACCAUUUUUUCAUGAAUCCUUUGGAUAAAAUCUUAAUUGCUAAAUAUAAAACUGGUUCGGGAGAUAACCAUCCUUUAUGUUAUUAUGCCCAAUGCAAGGAGAAGAUUUCGAAUCUUCUCAUUUGUCUAAGGAACCCGAUCCUAGUGACCUAAAGCUCCUAGAGACCUUUUCUUUGUAGUUAACUUCAUUUAUUGUUUUUGCUUAACUUAAAAUCAAUCUUUGCAACCACAAUUCCAUUUUCUUUAAAAGCUAAUUUUUAUAAGGAAAAGCACCAUUUUAUUUCCUUCACUAAGUCAACUGUAUGAUGAAAACCCAUCCCUGUGGACGAUCUUAGAGCCACUAUACUAUGUUAUCUAUGCUAUCCUAGUGUGAGGUGAUUUAGGUUUUAUAAAUUUUGUUGAUAACACCCGUCUGAGCCAGAAUCAAAUGGAACCACUGAACCAGGGACAAAUCAACAGCCUAUAUGGGAGGGACACAAGUUUAAUUGAUUUGCAUUUCAGCGUUAUAGAUAAGUAUGUUUUGGAAGAUUUGUUCUGGAAAUACUGCACCAAGUACGAUUCUUUUUCUCUUGAGUGAGUCCAUUUGCAUGCCAAUUAACGAGUUGAAAAGUAGGAGCACCUACCUCGUGCUCAUGGAACCGAAUGUCAGUGAAGUGGGGCUCCUUUUAGCCUCUUGUGUUUCUGUUCCAACCAAGGCGGCGUAGGGAAAAACAACAAUAUGUCUGUGCUAAAUAUCAACGCAUGAUAGAUGUUUUUUUUUUUUUUUUUGGUAUGUCAAGGCUAACGAAUGAAAUGCAUUAGCUUGUUUUGUGACUAUAACUGCAAAUGUCCAAAUUGGAGUAUCUCCAUUUCUCACUUCGGAUGGUUAACUUUAUAAACAAGAUAUAGGAAACAUGUGAACAUCUUGAGGAACAAUUCAAAUUAUUCAUUAGAAGUCCUGGGUUAAGUUCCAAGAUUUAAAUCAGACCCUUCUAGCAGCUUCAAGGGUACUUAGCAACCUAUAACAUAUUAAUGAAGAUUUAGGAUUUAGACUCCGGAAUACAAAUAAAUAUGUAUCUCAUGCUUUGACUAGCUUCCCUACAUAUGCAUAAAAUGGAGAUGACCCAAAAAAAAUAGCAGAAUCUAGCUUCCCUACAUAUGCACAAAAUGGAGAUGACCCAAAAAAUAGCAUAAUCGCCUUAGUUUCUGUGGUUAAGGUGAUUCUCCGCUUAAUAUCCACAUUGACUCAUUAUGCAAAAUCAACUGAGCUAAUUUUAUUUAUUUAUUUAAUGUCAAAUAGGAACUCCUAAUUAACUGAUUACUGUCGAAAAGUGCUAUUUUGUAGACCUAAUUAUAAGGGUUUUAAGCACCUUUGAGUAGUAAUCAUAUUCAUUUAACCUAAUUAAUUCAUUAAGCUCCUUAGUAAUUAGUUCUAACCAUUUUUAGUGGCAAGUUUACAUGUUUUUCAUCAGCUUAUGAACCAAUUCAAGCAUGCCAAUUGAUGGAGGAGCUACUUGGGCGAGUUAAGCAAGGAUUUUGGACGUUUACAGGCUUGAAUUUCAAGUGGAAACACGAGCACAAGCAAUGGGAACACCAUUUCGCAAGGGGAGGCAAUUCACCUUGCCAAAUGACCAAUUUCGCAAGGGGAUUUUCCUCAUGGUGCAAAAUUUGGUCAUUUCGCACCAUGAAGAAACCACCUUGCAAAAUUUCGCAAGGUGGAUUUAGGCACCUUGCGAAAUGCCAAAUUUCACAAGGUGGCUUUUCACCUUGCGAAAUUUGGACCUUUCAUCUUCCCCCCUUGCGAAAUGCCUUUGAAAUCCCCUGUUUUGAGACGCUGUUGAUGAUAUUCCACUGCCGGUUCUCCAAGAUAUUUUGCUUGACUUUUAGCUUUAUAAAUACCUAUUUUACCCUUGUAAUCAACCAAUGAAAAGGUUGCUUUUGUAAUAGCUCUUGUAAUUUAGCUUUUUAUUGUCUUUAAAUAGAGGUGAAGAGCCUCAGACACGAUCAUCUUGUAACCUGUAACUUUAUAAGUUAUAAGAGCACUUUUGUUCAUACGCUUCUUUUCUCUUUUCUUUCUCAUUUUCUUAGUAGCCAAACAUCCUUGGAGGAUGAAAUCCCCAAGGAUGAGAGGCUAAAACCUUUUAGUUUCUUGAAGUAAUGGAUGCCAUGUGAAGCUCCCGUGUCAGGAUGGAGAUUUCCAAGCCAUAAAUGUAAGUAGCUGAGCGUCAUAAAUGUUUUCAUUCAAAGUAAAGCUUUUAAUCCCUCUGACUUGCUUUGAAUGGCCAAUACUUGAUAACCUUUUGGUCUCAAUGGAUUCUUAUUGUUAGAUCCACUGACGUUCAUUAGUUAUCUCCUACGAGCCAUUGUAUUGCAAGUCGAGGAGAUGACCUAUACCAAUAAAAGAGCAUUUAUGAGGUUCAACUACCCUUUUUGUAAGUUUUCAAGGACUAAAACUCAGUUGUUAAACUCAUACCGGUUCGAGAAGUAAGCAUCACCUUAGUUGCUUCCCCAACUCGAGGUGAAAAGUCCCAAAAUCUCCAUUUUUACACAGUGAGUUAAGCAUGGCUAUCCAAAGCUUUAAGAAACUUCUUUUUCCAUCUUUUAACCUAUUUUCAUGUUAGUUUAGUUUACAACACCUUCAUCUUUUUAUGUUUUCAUCUUAACCUAAUUUUUAUUAAGAAAAGUUCACUCCAUCCUCCGAACUUCACCAGUUAAAGUAAAAACCCUUCCCAGUGUUCGAUCCUAGAGCCACUAUGCUAUAGUAGCUUUGCUACUUUAGUGUAAGGACCUUAGGUAUAAAUUUUGUUGAUACCCUUACAUGCCAAGCUACCAAGAGUCGGGUUAUCAUUAACCUAACCAUUGGCCUGUGUAAAUUGAUUUCACAUGCACAAUGUUGUAGUAGAAGUCCAUAUUUUGAAUUUUAUUUUUGUAAAGGUAAGGAAAAUGAAGCAUUGUGUAAUUAUAAAAAUAACUUCAUUGGAAUUCACAAGGUUCACCCAAAAUGGAGCUACAUCUGUAUUCUAUCCUACAGUAGACUAUAUAGAUUGUACAAUAGUAAAUUGCAAAUACAAUUAAUAAGUCUUGUGCUUCCUUACUAAUAAUCCUUUGACAUGAACAUUGCAGCACUAAGGUCCUCUUGGGAAGACACCUUGCACCCAUGAGAGCACUAAGAGGAAGCAAGGCAGAGUCAUGGGUGCAAUGUCAUGACUUGUUGUUGCACCAAGAGAGGCUUGGUGAUGCCAUGGUGUUGCAGUAGCAAGAAUGUUGCCUUGGCAGGGACACGAUCUAGGGAUAGAUGCCAAGAAAGGCUUAGCACUCACAUGAGUUGCACAAAGAUGAAUGUAAUAGAGCAUCAGAGAGACGUCUUGGCAAGUAAAUGAAUGGAUCCAAGAGACAACAACAUGAGGAGUUUCAAAUGGAUAAGGAAUGACUCAAAGACAUUUGAAAGCUACAAGUUGGAUUCUAAUUACGAUUGCAAUUUGAGUUUGAGUAGGAGUUUAGAUUUUGAUUGUAAUUGUAGUAUGAGUUGGACUAGGAUUGCUUAUCCUUAGUCAAUAUAGGAGCGGUUCGUGUCACCCUAUGAAAAGAGUUUGAGUAGGGACUAGGAUUGCUUACUCCUAGUCAAAUAUGGAGUAGGUGGUGCCACACCUAUAAAAAAAAGGGACAACAUGAGAGAGAGAGAGAGAGAGAAAGAGAGAGUGAAUUCACUAAAGAUAUUGUGGGAGUUUUGCUUUGUUACGUCUUGUAUUAUUACUUAGAAUAGGAAUAAAAUACAAGUUGGGGCUAGAGCCCCAUAAUUAAUCUCGUGUGCCUUUGUGGUUAUUCUUUAUUUGUCAUCUCGUGUGGAUUGGAUUAGGUUGACUUAGAGGGCUUCUAAGCACCACCUUUGUGGGUUAUUAUUUAUUUUCCAUCUCUUGUGGAUUAGAUUAGGUUGACUUAGAGGGCUUCUGAGCACCACCUUUGUGGGUUAUUAUUUAUUUUCCAUCUAUUGUGGAUUAGAUUAGGUUGACUUAGAGGGCUUUUAAGCACCACAUUUGUGGGUUAUUCUUUAUUUUCCAUAUCGUGUGGGUUGGAUUAGGUUGACAAGGAGAAAAAUUAUGUGGGAAAUUUGUGUUGGGACACUUACCAUAACCAAGUAAAAUCUACCAAGUCCUUUGUAAUAUCUUCAACAAAUAUUUUAGACUAGUUCUUUCAGUUAGUGUAAAGGAGGAAGAAGUGGUAUUGAUUCUAGAAAUAGGGUGUGUGUAUUUGAACUACAAUCCUUAUGAUCCUUAGGUCUCUAAACCUUCGUGAUGGGCUCCCUGACAUUUCAUAGGUUGUGCUACACAUGCGUUUGAAAUUUAGAGUGCGUUUGACAGUGAUUCCGGGAAGUGUUUUUGGCCUUUCUUACACUUGAAAAUUUUUAUUUUUCAAGUAUUAGAAAUGCUACAAACACUUUUGAAAAUUACUGUCAAACACACUCUUAGGAGCGCACAUAUAUAGUAGAAAACUAGAAAUUGUGGUUUUUUUAGGAUUUACUGUAAUGUCAUUAGGAGGGUAGUAAGUUGAAAUUGAGUAUGAACAAAUAUUUCUUUCUUUGGGAUGUUCUUCUAGUAGGUGCUGAUGAAACUGUUCUUUCUACUGCCAAUGUCACAUAUCAGCCAGAAAUUGAAAAUUUCAGUCAAGGUGUCCUCUGUUUUAGUGGUGAGGAAAGCUAGAAAUUUUAAGGUGAAGUUUUGUUAAAAACCUUAAGUAGCUGGGAUAUCAGGCCUGUUUUGCUUGAAAAAAAAAGUUGCAAGAUAACUCAUAUGCCAAACAGGUUCUGAUAUUGUGAAUCUAUCGGCAGACAUCAGUAAUCUCAUCUUCUGAGAUGGAUGUUGGGGGUGCAUGUGGUGGUGGAGGGGCAAGGUUUCAUUUGGUUUAUUUUGUUGAUGGAUAUUGUCUAGCCACCUGCGCCAAGUUUGAGGGGUGGUGGGUUGUGAUGACCCUACAAUUACUAUUAAUUUCUUCAUCUUUUACCGAUUAAAGUGUCCGAACAGUCGAAGUUACCCUUAUGCAUGUCAACUUGAUCACUUACCUCUUCAAUGGAGUUUAUGCUGGUUCAUUUAGGAACUGAUUUUUAUUGUUAUGUAUUAUAUGCUGAUGUUUAGGUCUCUCCAUCAUCACUAUAUACAAAAAUUCUAGGUUGAUACUAUAGGUUGAGAUUUAUUUUUUAAAUAAAAAAUAAUAAAAAUAAAAAUUAUGGUGAUGUUUAGUUGUUUUAUGGAAAAUUUUAACAAGUAAAAGUUAUUUUUGGGCAAGUUUUCAAACAAAAAGAAAAGUAAAAGUUGUUUUGACAAAAACAUAUAGAAAAAAAAAUCAUAGAAAAUAAAUAAUUUCCCCAUAUUCUAACUUUUUUGAAUUUUUCUCAAUGGGCAAAGGAAUAUCAAAUCAAGUUUGAGUAGGAUUUCUUAAUUUUUAAAAUAACUUACAAUUAAAAAAUUUUGGUGUUUUCAUUUUUGGACAAUUUUUUAUUAAGCAAAUGGACUCUGAGUCAUGCAAGAGAUAUGGUUCAUUAACCGGUCGAACAAUUUUUUUAAAUUAAUUUAAAAGUCAAAUACAUAAUCAAUUUCACAAAAUUUAUAAACAAAAAUAGGUUUAGAGAAGAUCUACACAUAAUUUUACUUUUCUAAUUUUAUUUUAUUUUAUUUUUUGUUGGAAAAUAGUCUUCAAAUCAUGUAAGAUUUAAUAGGUUAAAUUUGUUAACAAUAAAUUUUAAAUUAUAAAAUAUAAUCUGGAACUCAAAAAUCAAUUCAAGUAAUGCUAAAAAAAAAUCAAAUUUGGUAUAGAAUGACUUUGUAAAUUUUUUUACAAAACAAAUGAAUUUUAAAUCAAGUGAGAUUUAAUGCAUUAGAUUUUUAUCAAAUAUAGUAAUUUUAAAAAUAAAUUUGGAACUCAACAAUAGACACAAUAAAUACCAAAAAAUAAUGAACCAAAAUUGGUUUGGAAUAACUCCACAACCUUUUUUUUUUUUUUUUGGUGCACACGAAUUUUCUUACUAGGUAUAUUGCUUUCAAAUUGAGAAAGAUUUACCAUUUAGAUUUUUUUUUAAUGAGUUUAAUGGUAUUUUAAAAUAAUUCAAAAUUUAAAAAAUUGACUAAUUAAUAUUAUAAAUUGAUAAACCAAGACUAUUUCAAAAUGCAUUGGGGGCUAAGGGGGUUGAAAAUAGGGACAAUGGGAUGGGUUUGGGACAUGACACUCAUAUCUCAUUUCCAUUCCAAUUACACAGUUAUCUCCCAUCCUUAUCCCAAACUUGUGUUGGAGCAAGUUGAUUUGUUCCCAUCUUUGUUGACGAAAUGACUAAUAACCUCAUCCCCUCCUUAUCUUAGAUGUACAUUUUGUCAAAUUUGAUCAGGUAUGAUUGAUCCAAGCCCUAACCCUAAUUGGUAAUGAGUGAAUACUACACCUAAUUGCAUUCUUCUUUCAUUGCAAAAUAAUGAGAUUAUAAUAAUCUAGCAAAUAAGAAAAAAUAGUAUGGAAGUUCAAAUUAACACCAUAACUAUCAAUAAUUUUAAGCUUAUAGAUGACUUAAAUGAUUAAAAACUAAUGCAAAAUCCUAAAAAAAAUAAAAAUCAUAUAAAGAAUUCACAAGAGAACAGAAUGAACAAAAACCAAAUAUGAACAUGGGUCAACAUUAGUUAUGGAUUUGGAUUCCUUUCAAGGCCAAUCUUUGAACCAAGACUUCAUCAAAUCAACUACUUCAAAGGCUUUUGUGUUCUUCUUGGGUUGUGCUCUCAAACAAAGACUUCGAGGUGAUGUUCUAGAUGAUUGAAUUACACAUAUUUAGGGUGGAGAGAUUGGAGAAGCUUGAAGAUGCCAACGAUGGGUACAAUUGAGUGGUCAAUAAGAACAAUGUAGCCUAUGACUAGUUUGAUGUCAUGGUACAAGAGUUUUAGGCAUUGAGGUUAAAGCAAGAGCAACAUGGAAUUGAUUUCGGAGUCUUUCAGUUAGUGUAAAGGAGGAAGAAGUGGUGUUGAUUCUAGAAAUAGGGUUUUAAGUGGUGCGUGAUUACUACUCAAAAAGUGCUAUUUGAUAGCCUUUAAUUAAUCCUUUUUAACACUUUUGAGUAGUAGUUUAGGCCUUUUAACUCAAUUGGCAUGUUAAGGAUCCUUUAAAGCAAUUUUGAUCACUUUGUGCAAGUUUUGGUGUUUUUGUUAGUAUUUUGAUCACCAAAGCAAGUCAAGAAUGAGGAGAACUAUGAGGAAUCAUGGGCAAAGCUUAGAAUUCAAUUGCCAAGAGUGAAUCCGGAUUGCAAGGAGAAAAAGCAAAGAGAAUCUGUCAUGAAGCCUAUUCUUGAUGACAGUCGUAGCAGCCACUUUUGGAGCACUUUCUGAAGUCCAAAUGAUGCAAGCUAUAUACCAUUUCAAAGAUCAGGAAGUCAACAAUCCAAUGCUUCAAACGGUGCGCGAUUCGGAGUUGAAACGAAGAAGUUGCAGCCAUUACAAGCCAGUCACUCUAAAGUGUUGCGGAAUCAGCCUUUUGUUGCGAGAAUUUCGCAGCACUUUUGUACAGUAAGGUGUUUCUCCUUCUGACGAUGCACGAACCAUGCCGCGAGAGGGAAGCUAGGAACUUCAAGAUGGAAGCCAACUUUGCAGCCUGGUGAAGAUAGCUUGGUCUUGCGAAAUAAUUUCGCAGCCCUCUUGGGUGUCUGCGAAAUUUCGCAGGCACCACUUUUUUCCUGCGAAAUGGCUCCGGAAGCCUCCCGAAGCUUGCUACCGACAUUGGGAGAUAUUUUCCAUUAGAUUUUUGUUGUCUAAAUUCCAAAAUACUCCUUGUAAACCACCAAUUACAUGAUUCCUUAGUUUUUAAGUUAGUAAAAAGACCAAAUAUCUAUGUAAUAAUUAGUUUUAUAUUAGUUUGCUAUAAAUACCUCUCGGGAGCAUGUUCUCAGAGAGGAGUUCCUUCUGUAACCAUUUUGGUAAGCAAGUAAAGUCUUUUCUUUCUACUGCCUUACCUUCUCACUUUGUAUUUUCAUUUUAUUUCUAAGUUAUGAAUUCUCUGAGGAGCUUUCCCCAGAGAAUGAGUAACUAAACCUCCAAUUCCUUGGAGCUAAGGUUGCCGGGGAAGGUUCCAAGUGCAAGAAUGCAAAGCUCUGUGGUUUUAGCUAGUAAUGAAGAGGAAGUGAAAUCCUUUAGUGAUUUCAAUGUUUUUAGUUAACUUAAAACACCUUGGAGUCACCUGGGCCAACACUUGGUAAGGCAAGUGAUUUCCAACCGUGGAAAUGCACUAGUUUACCCCUUGCGAGCCUCUGGUAGGUGACUUCAAGGUAGGAUUUUCUGGAAUUACCAACACUUGGUAAGCUUUUGGACUCCUAGGAGACAUCCAUUAGUUAUCUCUUGCGAGUUUGUGAAGGGGAAUCCAAGGUUAAAGAUCACCUUGAAUGGUAAGUGCUCGUGAGAGGCAUGAACCAUUGCAAGUUGUAUCAGUGAGAGAAUUAAAGUGAAAUCUAAUUGAAGGAGUCUCUGUACAUCACCGGUUAGAGAAUUGACUAUAAGUUGAAUCUCUAAUGCGAGGAAAUGAACCAUCUGACCGGAGCUAUGUCUUUUGCAUGAGGAACCACCCCAGUGAACCUAAAUCUCCAAGGAAUGCUUUUCUUCCUAAAUUAUUCCAAACUUCUGUUAAGUUAGUUAGUUUAAGUCUAAACCUUUACCAAUCAAACUUUGUGUUUUAUUUCUUAAGCUAACCGUGAAAUGAAACAAAACCAAUUCACUUGGAAUUGGUAUCCUUGAUUGCUUGCAAAUCAUUCCCAGUGAACGAUCCUUAGAGCCACUAUACUAUAGUAGCUUUGUAUUUGCUACCCUAGUGUAUGGUGUUAUAGGUAUAAAUUUUGUUGAUCACUUCCUCAAUCAAGGAACACCAGCUGAACACAAAUCAGCUGAGACACCAAUUGGGCAUGAGUCAAAUGGCGCCGUUGCCGGGGAAUGAGUGUCAAGAUCAUUGUGAUACCAUUUUUGAGCACUUGUGAUUUUCAUCACAAGUUGGUAAAGUUUCUUUCACUUUACUAAUUUUCAUUCUCUCUUUGUUUAUUUACAAUCUAAGUUUAUCUUUUUAAAAUUUAGUCUAGUUUAAUUUUGCUAUUGUAGCCUUGUUUCUCUUGUUGUCCUCUGUUCUUGUUGUCCUCUGUUUUCAUUUUAGUUGCAGCUGAAUACUAGUUGUGUAUGCCAAAGUGGAUACGAGACAUUGGAGGUAGGCUUAUUAAGUGUGAUACACCUCAGAGAGGAGAAUUGGAAGUAAUCUUGAAUAUCAUGGAGGCUGCACCUGAAGAUCAGCAUAGUCACCAAGGUCGUCAAGACAAUCUCAAUGAAUUCAGAUCAAUGAGGGACCGUAUGCAUCCACCUCGUAUGAGUGCACCAUCAUGUAUAGUGCCCCCUACAGAGCAACUAGUGAUCAGACCAUAUCUUGUUCCACUUCUACCAACUUUCCAUGGGAUGGAAAGUGAGAAUCCGUAUGCACACAUCAAGGAAUUUGAAGAUGUUUGUAAUACAUUCCAAGAGGGAGGAGCUUCAAUUGAUUUGAUGAGGCUUAAGUUAUUUCCUUUUAAUUUAAAGGAUAAGGCCAAAAUUUGGCUUAAUUCUUUAAGGCCAAGGAGUAUCCGCUCUUGGACUGAUUUACAAGCUGAAUUCCUCAAGAAAUUUUUUCCUACUCAUAGAACAAAUGGCUUGAAAAGGCAAAUUUCAAACUUCUCAGCUAAAGAGAAUGAGAAAUUCUAUGAGUGUUGGGAAAGAUACAUGGAAGCUAUAAAUGCUUGUCCUCACCAUGGCUUUGAUACUUGGCUACUGGUGAGUUAUUUUUAUGAUGGUAUGUCCUCCUCAAUGAAGCAACUCCUCGAGAAAAUGUGUGGAGAAGAUUUCAUGAGCAAAAAUCCAGAGGAAGCUAUGGAUUUCUUGAGCUAUGUAGCUGAUGUUUCAAGGGGAUGGGAUGAACCAACUAAAGGAGAAGUGGGAAAGAUGAAGUCUCAGUUGAAUGCUUACAAUGCAAAGGCUGGGAUGUAUACUUUAAAAGAGGAUGAUGACAUGAAAGCAAAGUUGGCAGCUAUGACAAGAAGAUUGGAGGAGCUGGAGCUGAAAAGAAUGCAUGAAGUGCAAGCUGUUGCUGAAGCACCAGUGCAAGUGAAGUUGUGUCCCAAUUGUCAAUCGUUUGAACAUUUGGUAGAGGAAUGCCCUGCAAUUUCAGCUGAAAGGGAAAUGUAUAGAGAUCAAGCAAAUGUUGUUGGACAAUUCAGGCCCAAUAACAAUGCUCCUUAUGGAAAUACCUACAAUUCAAGUUGGAGGAAUCAUCCAAAUUUUUCAUGGAAGGCCAGAGCAACUCAAUACCAACAGCCGGAUCCACCAUCUCAACAAUCUUCAAGUAUUGAACAAAUAAUAGCUAAUCUCAGCAAGGUAGUGGGAGAUUUUGUGGGAAAGCAAGAAGCCACCAAUGCUCGAGUGGAUCAAAGAAUGGACAGAGUGGAUCAAAGAAUGGACAGAAUGGAGAGUAUGUUGAACAAAAGAAUGGAUGGAAUGCAAAAUGAUAUGAAUCAAAAAUUUGAUAACAUCCAAUAUUCAAUUUCAAGGCUUACAAAUUUGAAUACACUGCAAGAAAAGGGAAGAUUUCCUUCUCAACCUAACCAAAAUCCCAAAGGUGUCCAUGAAGUGGAAAGCCAUGAGGGAGAAUCAUCACAGGUGAAAGAUGUGAAAGCUUUGAUCACUCUAAGGAGUGGUAAGAAAAUUGAGCAGCCAACACCCAAGCCACAUGUUGAGAAAGAAGAAGAGAUGAAGAAAGGGAAGGAAAUGGAAGAUAAAGGCAGUGAGAUCAGUGAAGAAAAGAAGGACUCUGAUGCAACAAUGAAAGUAAUUCCAGAGAAGGAGCUUCUGAAGGAAGAAAUGCUGAAGAAAUCAACUUUUCCACCUUUUCCUCAAGCAUUACAGGGGAAAAAGGGGGUUAGAAAUGCAGCUGAAAUCCUAGAAGUAUUGAGGCAAGUGAAAGUUAAUAUUCCACUGCUGGAUAUGAUCAAACAAGUUCCAACGUAUGCAAAAUUCCUAAAGGACUUGUGUACUAUCAAAAGAGGGUUGACUGUAAACAAGAAAGCCUUCUUGACUGAGCAAGUAAGUGCAAUCUUACAGUGUAAGUCUCCUUUGAAGUACAAAGACCCUGGAAGUCCUACCAUUUCAGUCAUGAUUGGAGGAAAGGUAGUGGAGAAAGCCUUGCUAGACUUGGGAGCAAGUGUGAAUUUGCUUCCAUAUUCUGUCUACAAGCAACUGGGACUUGGAGAGUUGAAGCCAACAGCAAUCACUUUGUCUCUGGCAGAUAGAUCAGUGAAAAUUCCAAGAGGGGUAAUUGAGGAUGUAUUGGUUCAAGUAGAUAAUUUCUACUAUCCUGUAGAUUUUGUUGUUCUUGAUACAGAUCCUACUGUAAAGGAAGCUAAUUUAGUUCCUAUCAUCCUUGGAAGGCCAUUUCUUGCAACUUCAAAUGCAAUCAUCAACUGUAGAAAUGGGCUUAUGCAACUCACUUUUGGUAACAUGACACUGGAUCUAAAUAUUUUCUAUAUGUCUAAAAAGCAAAUCACUCCAGAAGAAGAAGAGGGUCCAGAAGAGCUAUGUAUUAUUGAUACUUUGGUGGAGGAGCACUGCAAUCAACAUAUGCAAGAUAAGUUGAAUGAAAGUUUUGUGGAUAUUGAGGAAGGUUUUUCUGAAUCUCCUAAUGGGCUUGCUACUCUACAAAGUUGGAGAAAGAUAGAAGGAAUUCUACCUUUGUUCAAUGAAGAAGAGGAGGCAGCUGUUGAAAAAGAAAUUCCAAAACUCAAUCUGAAGCCUUUACCUAUGGAGCUGAAAUAUACAUAUCUUGAAGAAAAUAAUCAAUGUCCUGUCGUAAUAUCUUCAUCUCAAACCAAGUCUCAAGUGAAGGAUGCAAGCUUCAAAUGGGAUCCGGGCAAACUGAAUCAGGAAGGGCAAAAAGUUUUGAUGUAUGACACAAGACUCCAUAUCUUUCCUGGGAAGCUCAAGUCAAGGUGGAUUGGUCCAUUUGUUAUUCACCGAGUAUAUUCCAAUGGAGUGGUGGACUUAUUGAAUUCCAAUGGCAAGGACAGCUUUAGAGUCAAUGGAUAUCGUCUUAAGCCGUUCAUGGAGUCAUUCAAAUCAGAAAAGGAGGCAAUCAACCUCCUUGAACCUCAAAAAGCCUAAGUGAAAUGGGUUUGCUGGACGUGGUUUUACCACAGUCCAAAAAUUUUUGUAAAUUUUGUAAAUUUUCAAGUUGUUUCCAUGCUUUUAAUCUUAGUUUUUGAUUUUAAAUCAUGUUUUUAGGUGUGUUUUAAUCGUUUUAUAUGAUCCCAGGCGGAAGAAAUUUCAAGGGGAUUGAAAAGAAAAAAAUCGGGUCGAAAUUGGAGCCGAAACAGAGCAAAAACAGGGGAAAAACAGAGCUCUGCGAAAUUUCGCAGGGUGAAGGAAACUUCUGCGAAAUUGGCAUUUUGCUGCCAAACCAUUCCGCAGCACUGUAGAAGCCUCUGCGAGUGUAUUUCGCAAUUGCGAAAGUGGAUUUGGCACACGAGUGCCACUUCGCAGCACAGUGACAUCAAUUUCGCAGCUGCGAAACUCACUGCGAAGUUGCUGCGAAAAUGGCAAGUUGCUGCGAAAUUGGCGUUUUGUUGCGAAACGUAAUCUGACCCCUGGGCUUCCGUUUUUCCUAUUUAUACCUGUCAAAAGUGCUGCGAAAAAGGUUUCAAAAAUUAGAGCACCAUUCUCGCAGCCCUUUCAUCUUCUUCGCCAAGCCACGCCGUCCGUUUCUCCGGUCGUCUUCUCCGUUUAGCAGCGCCGGCCAAAGAUCGAUAGCCCAAAAAUGGCACGAACGCGAGGGGCAAAGUCUUCAUCCCCUUCGAACCGCAAAAGGAGUCUGCGAAAGGAGCCAAGUUCAGGCUCUGUUCCAGAACCUGCUCCAAAGCCUUCGCCGUCGAGACCACAACCUUCUCCAGUGAAGCCGGCGCCACCAAAGCCGCCGGCAAGGCGAUAUUUAACCAGGUCAGGUGGUCAGCCAUUGAAGAAGAAAGCCAGAGUUGAGAGCUCUGAACCAAUCGAUUUGACUGAGCAAUCCCCUGAGAAAUCACCAAAUCCUUCACCGGUACAAAUUCCAGUGCCAUCACCGGUUCCCUCGCCAAUUCCCUCACCAGAAGCAACUCCAAUUCCAUCGCCGGUACCAUCUCCGGCACCCCAAGAAAAAGCUCAGGAGCCUCAAGCGCCAAUUCCAGAGCCCCAAAUUGCAGCUGAAGCACCUCUGGAAGAAGUGAUCCGAAGGCCAAUGCUGCCUCAGCCCCCAAUCGAAGGAAACCUGGAUUGCCGAACUCGGGCAUUCCAUUCUGAGCUUUGCUUCGAUUUAACAGCAUUCAGAGUGAGGCCAGAGCUUGCCCAAUCCUUCCAACUGCUGAGGAGAUAUCAUAUGGAGCAUCUGCUAGCUCCAAGGGAUUUUUUCUAUCCCCGGGUAGUCACGGAUUUCUACCAAACCAUGACAACCAAAGAAGUAAGAAAUCCAACUCUGAUUCAUUUCAUAAUUGAUGGAAGGCAUGGUAUUUUGGGAGCAAGACAUAUUGCUGAAGCCCUGCAAAUUCCUUUUGAGCCAACUCAAUUCGACAAUUUUAAAGCUUGGACAAAUCCUACUGAGUUAGAGAUGGUUAGCACACUAACCAGAGGAGCUGCAAAUCGAUCGCAUUUGUUGAGGGGGGAGCUACCUCCAGUUAUGUUUUUGAUUGAUGCCUUUUUGAGGCAUAAUAUCUAUCCCCUGCAGCAUUGGACCCAAAGAAGGGGAAUUCUCCUAGAAGCCUUGUACAAAAUGUCUGAAGGAUUCUUCUUUGGGCCUCAUCAUCUGAUCAUGGCAGCCCUUCUAUACUUUGAGGAGAAGGUUCACAAGAAGAAGCUUCAAAGAGCAGAUUGCAUUCCACUCCUCUUCCCAAGGCUGCUAUGCCAAGUUUUGGAGCAUCUCGGAUACCCCUCUGAGCCUCAGCAGGAAAGAAAGAGAAUAUGCCGUGAGCCUUUUACCCUUGAUAAAUGGAAUAAUAUGACGGCCUACAAAAUUGAUCAGCCUGGGCAGCCUCAGCCAGCAGCAAGGAGAGUCUCCCCAAGACAUAUACCUGAAGGUAUAACACUUGCUACUCCUGCCAUCCCUCGAGCUCCACCAGCUGCACCUGCUCCAUCACAGCCAUCCACAUCAGCUGAGCCGAGGAUGGCCAUCCCUAUAUCCGAAUAUCGAGAGCUGUGCCGUGCAUUGGAGACUCUUACAGCUUCUCAGAGCAAUCUUGCUCAGGAGUUGGCAGCCAUUAAAGCAUGCCAGGAGCAGAUGUUAGCCUCUCAGACUCAACAAGCUGCCAUCCUAAGGCAGCUUCAAGUCCAUUUCGAUCUGCCACAAGCUGUAGAGCCCUCUAUUCCUACUCCACCAGAGCCACACUCUCAGCCUUCAGAGUCUCAUCCUCCAGAACCCGAAGCACCAGCUGAUCCACCUACUGAGGAGGCAGAUCCUUCUGCCUAGCACCAUCACCCCCCUCAUCAGACAUUAUAUAUAUAUUUGCUGUUUAUGUUUUUAUGCAUGUUUGUUUUGUUUUAGUUGAAAAGAAAUCCCAGUAUUUUGGUACUAUAUAUGGGAUUCCUUGUGUUACUUGUCUUUAGUAUUGUAAUCACAUGAACUCAAAGUAAUACAAGUUGACUAUUUCUUGUUAAAAGUUAGCAUUAAAGUUUCCUUAUUUCCUUUUCUCACAUAUUCUAUUCUUUUUGAAACAUGUGGUUUUCCCCAAUCAAUAUUCGAAUUUGAUAUCAGCAUGGAGGUACCACUUCCUCCCUUUUAUUACAGUCACUCAAAUCACAUUGAGGACAAUGCUCAGUUCGGUUGGGGGGUAUGAGGAAGGAAGUAUUCUAAACCUUUUUGGUAUUGCAAUUAUAUUGGUUAAUUAGUUGUAGAUUUUACUUUUUACUAGUGUUACUCUAUUCUCCAUGAAUUUUGAGGAAAAAUUUUCAAAUUAAACCAAGAGAAAUUGAACUGUUGUUUUUCACUUGACUUAGAGUAUGGAUUAUGCUUACUAAAGUGGUUCAAUUGUUGAAACUUCUACUGAAAUUGAAUUGAGUUCUUCCACUUUAAGCUAUCCACACACUGUGCACAUUAGUUUCCGAUUAUAAGAUGAAAAGCUAUUUCCCUCUUGACUUAGUAUAUUUUUGGGACUUGGUAUAUUUGACCUCAUUUGAUAAAAAUUGAAACACCCUGCAAAAGGCCAAUGAGCCUUUGAAAUAAAGAAAGUUGUUUGCUUGCCUUGAAACCCGAGCAAGGUCUGAGGGGUAUAUGGUGAAAAUCUUUAAAGCCUGGUGCCCUAAGCCUUAAUUGGUUGGGAGUCACCGACCUCAAUGCUCGUUACAAGGGUGAAUAGGUAGAGUUAGCAUAUGGUAGAUGCUUGGGUAUUAGAAAUUCAUUCUUAAAAGUCCGGGGAAAAAUCCGAGGAGUUAGUGGUUGAAAGAUCCUUAAAACUUGGUGCCCUAAACCUUAAUUGGUUGGGAGUCAUCGAUGGACCCCCAUUACAUGGACAAGUCAGAAAGAGUACCCCAUAAAGCUACCUUAAAAAAAAAAAAAAAAAAAAAAAAAAAAAAAAAGAUGAAAGUGUGUUCUUUUCUUAUUGAUUUUGGUCAGUUUGCUAAAGUGUUGAAAAGAGAUAGGUUGGGGGGUGAGAUUAGUAGCAUAUUAUUCUCGGAACCUAAGGAACCAAUACACAUAGAUUUUUGUGGAAGAUUGAAGUUUAGUUCUUAGAAAAUGAAAUGAUUUUAAAACUUCAGUUUGCAUAAUGCACUCCCUUGAUUGACAGUGUUUAGCAUAGGUGUUAUGACUCUUGUUGAGAUUUGGGUUUGUAUUUCUUUAAUGAUUCAUGUGAGAAAUAGAUCAUCAUGCCACUUGAGAAUUAUUUUCCUUUUAGCAUGAUGUUGUAAAUUUUAGAUUAGUUUGCUAUUUAUUUUUUAUUUUCUCUCCUAUAUUGCUAAGGGACUAGCAAUAUGUCGGUUGGGGGGAGUGAUUACUACUCAAAAAGUGCUAUUUGAUAGCCUUUAAUUAAUCCUUUUUAACACUUUUGAGUAGUAGUUUAGGCCUUUUAACUCAAUUGGCAUGUUAAGGAUCCUUUAAAGCAAUUUUGAUCACUUUGUGCAAGUUUUGGUGUUUUUGUUAGUAUUUUGAUCACCAAAGCAAGUCAAGAAUGAGGAGAACUAUGAGGAAUCAUGGGCAAAGCUUAGAAUUCAAUUGCCAAGAGUGAAUCCGGAUUGCAAGGAGAAAAAGCAAAGAGAAUCUGUCAUGAAGCCUAUUCUUGAUGACAGUCGUAGCAGCCACUUUUGGAGCACUUUCUGAAGUCCAAAUGAUGCAAGCUAUAUACCAUUUCAAAGCUCAGGAAGUCAACAAUCCAAUGCUUCAAACGGUGCGCGAUUCGGAGUUGAAACGAAGAAGUUGCAGCCAUUACAAGCCAGUCACUCUAAAGUGUUGCGGAAUCAGCCUUUUGUUGCGAGAAUUUCGCAGCACUUUUGUACAGUAAGGUGUUUCUCCUUCUGACGAUGCACGAACCAUGCCGCGAGAGGGAAGCUAGGAACUUCAAGAUGGAAGCCAACUUUGCAGCCUGGUGAAGAUAGCUUGGUCUUGCGAAAUAAUUUCGCAGCCCUCUUGGGUGUCUGCGAAAUUUCGCAGGCACCACUUUUUUCCUGCGAAAUGGCUCCGGAAGCCUCCCGAAGCUUGCUACCGACAUUGGGAGAUAUUUUCCAUUAGAUUUUUGUUGUCUAAAUUCCAAAAUACUCCUUGUAAACCACCAAUUACAUGAUUCCUUAGUUUUUAAGUUAGUAAAAAGACCAAAUAUCUAUGUAAUAAUUAGUUUUAUAUUAGUUUGCUAUAAAUACCUCUCGGGAGCAUGUUCUCAGAGAGGAGUUCCUUCUGUAACCAUUUUGGUAAGCAAGUAAAGUCUUUUCUUUCUACUGCCUUACCUUCUCACUUUGUAUUUUCAUUUUAUUUCUAAGUUAUGAAUUCUCUGAGGAGCUUUCCCCAGAGAAUGAGUAACUAAACCUCCAAUUCCUUGGAGCUAAGGUUGCCGGGGAAGGUUCCAAGUGCAAGAAUGCAAAGCUCUGUGGUUUUAGCUAGUAAUGAAGAGGAAGUGAAAUCCUUUAGUGAUUUCAAUGUUUUUAGUUAACUUAAAACACCUUGGAGUCACCUGGGCCAACACUUGGUAAGGCAAGUGAUUUCCAACCGUGGAAAUGCACUAGUUUACCCCUUGCGAGCCUCUGGUAGGUGACUUCAAGGUAGGAUUUUCUGGAAUUACCAACACUUGGUAAGCUUUUGGACUCCUAGGAGACAUCCAUUAGUUAUCUCUUGCGAGUUUGUGAAGGGGAAUCCAAGGUUAAAGAUCACCUUGAAUGGUAAGUGCUCGUGAGAGGCAUGAACCAUUGCAAGUUGUAUCAGUGAGAGAAUUAAAGUGAAAUCUAAUUGAAGGAGUCUCUGUACAUCACCGGUUAGAGAAUUGACUAUAAGUUGAAUCUCUAAUGCGAGGAAAUGAACCAUCUGACCGGAGCUAUGUCUUUUGCAUGAGGAACCACCCCAGUGAACCUAAAUCUCCAAGGAAUGCUUUUCUUCCUAAAUUAUUCCAAACUUCUGUUAAGUUAGUUAGUUUAAGUCUAAACCUUUACCAAUCAAACUUUGUGUUUUAUUCCUUAAGCUAACCGUGAAAUGAAACAAAACCAAUUCACUUGGAAUUGGUAUCCUUGAUUGCUUGCAAAUCAUUCCCAGUGAACGAUCCUUAGAGCCACUAUACUAUAGUAGCUUUGUAUUUGCUACCCUAGUGUAUGGUGUUAUAGGUAUAAAUUUUGUUGAUCACUUCCUCAAUCAAGGAACACCAGCUGAACACAAAUCAGCUGAGACACCAAUUGGGCAUGAGUCAGUGCGUUAGAGGAUCAAGAAGAAGAAAAAGAAGGAACUGUUGGAAUUAGUAUGAGUGUGAAGAGAAAAGUAUAUAAAUAAGGGGAAGUAAAAGCAAAGUUCAAAAAGCUAUAUUUUUUUAUUGUUGGUGUAUGGUUGCAUGAUUAUCCCUAUAAAUAAUAGGAGUUUUUUGGUAUUCUACUAGUAGUUGAAGCAUAAUUUCAUAAAUUAAUAUUUAGAGCGGGGUGGGGUGAGUUGUGACAAAAUUCAUACCCGUCCCAAACCUUGGUUCAGAUUUUUAAAAUAUUCUCAAACUUAUCAUAUACCCAACUUUUAUAUUUCAUACUUGUCCUAAUAGAGGCACGUUAGGCCGGGUUACUUGAGUAACCUACAUAAUUGUCAUCCCUAGUUGAAAUACACUUUUUGGCAGUGGCCACCAACUGAGCUAGAAGCUUGAUUGAUUGACCUACAAGAUUAGUUCUCAUCAUUUUAAAAAAAGUUCUGGCUUUGGUUGUGAGUGCAAUUGAAUCUAAACUGGCAUUUGCUUAAUGCAUCUACUUCAAUCCUAAACUUCUUACUUCUUAAGCCUCAAUUGUUGUUAGGAUUUUGGAAAACCCAUUUCCUUAAAUUGUAAAUUUAAGAUAAAAUAAAAUAAAAGUGAGACAUUUCUUGAUUGAAUAUUGUUAAAGGUCCCUUGGCAUUAAGACUUGGUUGAAGCCUUGGAAGAUUAGUGGAACUCUCAACAUGUGUUUGAAUCUUGAGGAGAGUGGAUGUAAGCCAAAAUUUUGUCAAACCAUUAUACAAAUUGAGUUUGAAUCCUCAUUUCUUGAUUUCUUAUUUAUUUGCUUUUUCUUAUUAUUACUUGAAUUGUCAUUUGCAUUCAUUAAUGUUAAAAUUGGUUAUAAUUAACCAACACUAAUUCUCUUUCCCCUUCCCUUUCUUGGGUGUAAACCUAGGUUGGAUUAACUAGAUAAAUCUAUUAAGAUGGUAAAAGAAUAAUUAUUCUUAACAUACAUAAGAUCAUCUUCAAUCAAAUGACUCAUUGGCUAAUAUGUUGAAUUUGCUUAUUACUUGCAACUCAAAAUUGUGUUCUAGUUGUGUCAAGUCCCCAGUGUAUGGACAUUAAAUUUGUAGUACGUGAUGAGUAAUUAGAUGGUCCAACUCCAAGAAAGUGAUUGAAAAGUAGUUCAAGAAAGGUGCAAAAGGGAAUUGUUUUGGUAUUUUCGUUUUUAUUCUUGAAGGUGGCAGAGCUAAAAUUUGAGAAAUCAAGCAAAACAUACUGAAAUUACAUUGAAAGAAAGAAGAUGGGAGUUAAUGUCUUGCAGUACAUGAUAAGGACUUCAUGCAUGUAGUGUGACCCAUGUCUUGGACUGAUGCCAACUCACGGUUACACUUAUACCCUUGGUUCUCUCUUUACUACCUUGGCUAACCUAGAUCAGGCUAUGAGAUAGGCUCCUCACCACACCAUUACUUGCCCAUUAAUUAGAGACAUUUUCAAGCAAUGAGGUAACAUGGUGACACCAAGAGGGUCUAUUCCUCGCCCGGAACAAGUCUAGACUUGGUCUCAAAAAAAUGGAGAAAAAUGAGGUGUCGUUAUGUAGAAAUACAACAACCAUGCCUUCCUCAUUACUUAGAUUCAGAAUGUGAAGGUGAAAUUGAGAAACAGAAACUCUUGAAACCAAAAUGAAAAUUGAUACUUUUACGAAGAAUUACAACAACAUUAGAGGAAGACUACAUUCUUCCUCUUUAUUCCUACAUUUCUACACUACUUCUACUCCACUCCAUAUUUCUACAUACAUCUUUAAUCAGUCUUCCCUCCUUUAUAUAGAGCCAUCUUCACACAAAUUUCGCAAGGUAGAAAAGAGGAAUGAAACUUGGAGCAAGGUUCGACUACUGGUUGUAGCUUGUCAAGGCUGGAAGUGAACUUUUCUUGGCUUUCUGGGCAUGGGUAGUAACUUGUGGGUUCCUGUUUGGCAUAAAAAUGGCUAGAACAUGUGGCACUAUCUUGUUGGAUGAUGUGUCAAGCAUGUGGCAGCCAUCUAGUGGCGAUUAUGUCAAUUUUGGGAUGGAGAGUUGGCAUCCAAUUGCAAAGAAAUAUGACGUCUACCAACAUGCAAUGUAAACCUAUGUAGAUCAUAUGAAGAUAGAGAGGAAAAAUAUAGAAAUGGAUAUAUACCUAGAACUAGCUUUUUAUUAAAUGAAACGGAGAGACAACAAUGAAGGAAAAUAAAAUUUUUUGGCUUAUAUCAAAGAGUUCACAUUGUGUUACCCUAGGUUUUCUUAAAACUUACUUUUAUGAUAACAAAAAAGAAAAAACCAUUAUUGUUUAAUCCUUUGUUUUAAACGCAUGUAAGGUGUAAUUAAGUUAGUUCAAUGCAUUAAUUUAAGAAACUUGACCUAUCAAAAGUACAAAAUUAGAUGAAAUCCAUUUCAAUGGUUAAAAUGAUCAAAAUCAAACUUUUUCUAAGUAUUUUUUAAAAGCAUCAAUAGUGAAAGACAAUUUUAUAUUUAGUCGGAGUUUGGACAAAACUGAAAAACACACAAAAUCCAAGCGACCAUCUCUAGCUUGGAUGGUCGCUUGAUCCCACCUAGAGAUGUGCAUGAGUAAAAGGAUUUGAAAAUGGAAAUUGACUAUGUAGUCGAUCAAUUAACUUUGCAACAUCAUAUGCAAUCCUAAUUGCUAGUCAUCUAAUCAAUUAGGUAGUCAAUCAACAGGCCAAAAAUAUGUUUAUAAUGACUAUUUUGUACAAAAACCACCUGUAUAGUUAAAUAUAAUGCAUUUCAUUUAUAAAUCUUCUAAUUCUUGAAUAACGAUCCUAUCAUCCUUUGAAAGUUUUUAUUACACUUUUUUUACUUUUGUUCUAAAACUUACACAUCACCCUUAAUUGUACCAUGAGAACCUAGCUAUUUUUUAUUUUUUUUUUUGUAAUUCAUCAAAGUUAGCUUUUGUAUUCAUUGUUGUAUUAUUUUUAGUAUAACUUAGAAAGCUAGUGUUUUCAAGUGAGUAAAAUUAACUUGUAAAUAUUGUAAAGAUUCAUCGACAUGUAUCUUAAACUAAGUGUACAAGUUAAAACAUUUGCUAGUAGAUUUUCUCAAAAUUUAGAAUAGAGCUUGAGACUAUUGAAAUAGGUGGGGUUGCACCAAACCACAUCACAUCGUUGUUUGCACCUUUUUUCACUCUCUUUUACUUAGUUGCUCUAUAUUUGUUGUCUAGUAAUAUCCUAUAGGCUUGAUGGGUUAGGGAGCAUCCCUUUGUGAAAAAAUUUUAUUCAAUCCUUAGUUGUAUCACGCAUAUAUAAAAUGCCUCAUUGUUUUAAUGGUAUUCAGUCGUGGCAUCACAGAUAUGGGCAUCUAAAUUUUAAAAGUUUGAAACUUUUAUCUAAAGAAAAUAUGGUGCUUUGCCUUUUUGUAAAGCAUGUUGAUGAAAUCCAUGAGAAUUGUGUACUUGGGAAGCAACACCGAGAUGACUUUUUUUUUUUUUUUAUAAUAUUGUUUGUCCAAAUUCCCUACAAAUUAGGCCACCAGAUGUUCAUAAUUCUCCCUUCUUGAAUUUGAAAACUCGGACAAUUGGACAAUGCGACACCUAAGUCCGGUUUCUAAAUGCUAAAGUGAAAGGGUAGGUAUGGACCAUUGAAAUGUGAUCACAACUUUUCUCUGUAGCCAUGUUGUCUCUUUUUUCUUUUGCAUGAUUUUCUUACCUUAACAGAAUCAUAGACUUGUUUAGUCUCUAAAUGGGAUUAAUUUCAUCCAGCUUUAAGCUACUAUAUUAUAUCUAGGUGGAGGACUUUUAAGAGUGCAACCGACAUAGAGCACAUGGAAGUGGGUAUAUGGGACAUGAAAUUUCUUCUUAUAAAGAUUGCAUGAUUUUUAUAUUAGAGUUGUUGAGGCGCUAUGUAUUUAGCUUGUUUUGCAGUUAAAUUAAUUGGAUAAGUAGACAUUGGCGUUUCUAAAUCUACUGUGAAGUGCUUCAUGUACGUGUGAAGUAUUAGAAAUUUCUUUCUUGGCAACUUGUUUUUCUUUGCGGUCUACUGAUAGGUUUGACUAAAAUUAUAUUCCCUGUCAUGCUAAUUAAUUUUCACGUGCAUGCUCAAAAGAAAAGUAUGACCUUAGUGCACCAAAAUCACUUUGAUUAAUUUGUGAUAGGUUUUUGUGCAUCAUGACAUUAGCCUUAUUCAUUUAGAUAAUGUUUAGUUUUUAGAAAGUAUUAAGAAAAGGAAAAUAAAUAUUAAGAAAAAUAUUCUUAUAUUUGAUUGUAUUAUGAAAAAUAUCAUAAAAAAAUCAAAUAUAAUUUAAAUUAAUUAAUAAUUUAUACAUUUUCAAAUUAUUUAAUCUUUAUAUUGAAGAUAUAAUAUAAAUGAAAUGAGUUUUAAGUAUUAUAUAAAAGUGAUUUAUUGAUCUUACAUAUAUAUAUUUCUUUUUUUUUUCCUUCUAUUUUUUCUCUUUAUUUUAUUUUCCUUAUGUUUUCCUCAACAUUUUCCGGAACCAAACAUAGCCUUAGGAAAUCCACAAUUACCUUCAACUGAGUAGAUUCUGUUGUUUUAGCAAUGUUAGGCUGCUAACUUGUGUUGGUACGAACCUAUUAAGCCUAAAGAUGUAAUUAGUUAGGAUAUUCUUUUCCCUCUAGUCUUGUAGCUCCACGUGUACAGUUGGUUAGGACCUCAUUGUAUAUAAUGCUUGCCCUGUUAUUGUAGAAGACAACAAAGAUAAAUAAUAUUAACAUUUUUCCUCUCAUCUCUCUCUGUUUCCCUCUGUUUUCAUCUCCUCUCUCAUCUUGGUAUCAGAGCCUCCAUGGCUUCUUUCAAAGAAACCUCCGAAUCACCUUCUGCUAGCAUUGUUAAUGUGCAAAACCCAUUAUCUCAAUCAAACAACCUUCCUUCACCAGUAGCCACACCCUCUUUUUCUUUCUCGUCUAUGAAUCAACCUCUCACAGUGAAGCUGGAUAAUGGGAACUACCUCAUAUGGAAGAAUUAGCUUCUAAAUGUCAUCAUUGCUAACGGACUCGAUGAUUUCAUUGACGGAUCUCGACCCUGCCCUCCUCGAUUUCUCGAUCUGCAACAACAAACCCUCAAUCCAGAGUACUCAGCUUGGCAGAGAUACAAUCGACUUCUGAUGAGUUGGCUGUACGCAUCCUUGUCCAAAGAUAUAAUGGCUCAGAUUGUUGGGUAUUCAACAGCUAUGGAGAUUUGGAAUGCCCUUAAUCAGAUUUACUCUGCCUCUUCUAUGGCGCGGUUUACUGAGCUUCGCACCAAGCUUCAAACGCUCAAGAAAGAUGGACUCUCAGUUGGUGAAUAUAUUCAAAGGCUCAAAUCCAUUUGCAAUAGUCUUGCAGCAAUAGGAGAACCAGUUUCUGAGAAAGACCAUCUUAUCUAUUUGUUCAAUGGAUUAGAUUGUGAGUAUUAUUCUUUUGUUACCUCCAUUCAAAAUCGAUCUGACCAACCAACUAUUGACAAAAUCCAUAGCCUAUUGCUUAGCUAUGACUUCCGGCUUGAACAACAAAACUCUGUUUCUCUCCAUUCUGCCCAAGUCCAUAUGGCUCAUCUGAACAAGAAACCUUAUAAAUCAACUCCUCAACCUACAUUCAAUCAUAUUCACAUUCAACCUAGAUACUCUUCUCCACCUUUUAAGCCAACCACUAGUCAAUAUCAACCCAACAUUUUGGGCAAACCACAACCACAACCAUGACAGCCUCAACCUCAAUGGAAACCACAUUUUUCAAUCUAAAAUCAAAAGCCUCAGCGCCAAAUUUGUGGUAAAUUUGGACACACUGCUCUUAUUUGCUUCCAUCACACAAAUUUGAACUAUUCACCCCAACCUUCUCCUAAAUCUUUCAAUACUGUUCUCACCACAAAUUCCCAGCUCCCUAAUCCUCCAAAAUUUUCUUACCCUACAAUGGCUCAUCCUGCUGCUACGCAUAACACGGUUCCCGAUACAAAUUGGUACAUGGACUCAGGUGCUACACAUCACUUUACUCUGGACAUCAACGUGCUUGACACUGUGACACCAUUUAGUGGUUCAGAACAGGUGACAGUUGGGAAUGGUAAGCAACUCUGUAUCUCACAUCUUGGUACUGCAAAACUACCAUCUUCGUAUUCUCCUCCUGUUCUACAUCAGGUAUAUCACACUCCAAAAAUUUCAAAUAAUCUUAUUAGUGUUAAAAAAUUGUGUUCUGAUAAUAAAGUUUUUGUUGAAUUUUAUGCCACUCAUUUUCUUGUCAAGGAUCAGGUUUCGAAGAGAGUUCUCCUUUAGGGUCAACUUGAUAAUGGCUUAUACAAAGUUCAGUCGUCAUGCUCUCCUUCUGCUGUUUCCUUUCCUCCUCAAGUUUUCAUAGCCAACAUCAAGUAUCCAAAUCUGUGGCACAAGAGACUAGGCCACCCAGCUUUAUCUGUUGUUAAUCAAAUCUUGGAUUCUUGUAACAUUGCUCGAACACAGAAAAUUUGUUUUAAUUUUUUAAAUUCUUGUCAAUUAGCAAAGAGCCACAGGCUUCCUUUUUCUCUGUCUCCAUCCAUUGCAGAAAAACCUUUUGAGUUAAUUCAUACAGACCUAUGGGGUCUUUCGCUCGUUCGCUCUAUUUCUGGUGCUCUUUAUUUUUUACUUUUCAUUGAUGAUCAUACUCGUUUUACUUGGUUUUAUUUGCUCAAAACAAAAGAUGAAGCAUAUCCUACUUUUCUCAAGUUUCAAGCUCUCAUUGAAAAUCAAUUUAAUACCAAGAUUAAGGCUGUCCAAUCUGAUUGGGGAGGUGAGUUUCGAUCUCUCUCCAUACCGUUUUCAAAUAUGGGCAUUGUCUAUUGUUUAUCGUGUCCAUACACCUCACAACAGAAUGGGCGAGUUGAGCGAAAAAAUCGCCAUGCGAUUGUCCUUUCUUGCUUGCUCUAUGCCCUUAUCUUAUUGGCCUUAUGCCUUUCAAACUGCCACUUACCUUAUUAAUCGUCUCUCUACCCCUGUGCUGCAUCAUCAAUCCUCUUACUUCGCACUCUAUCACAAACUCCCAACUUAUACUCAUCUUAAGGUCUUUGGUUCCUCUUGUUUUCCGUAUUUGCACCCUUAUAAUACCCAUAAACUCCAAUACAGGUCACUAGAGUGUGCUUUUCUUGGUUACAGUUCACACCACAAAGGUUAUCUAUGUCUUGACAUUCAUUCUAGCAGGGUGUAUAUUUCUCGCCAUGUGAUUUUUAAUGAAGAUUCUUUUCCAUUCAAGAAUUUGAAAUCUUCUCUCUCUCAGUCUAUUUCUUCUUCCUCUUCUUUAUAAGUUCCUCUGUUCAUUCUCUUGCCUCCCCUUUCCCCAUCUCCUCUUAUUUCUUCAUCUAUACCUCAUUCUUUUCCCUCUUCUUCUUCUACCUCUAGUACUUGUUCCCCUCUCGUUGCUCCUACCUCUCUUCCUUCCUCUUCACACUCUGUGUCUCCAUCUAUUCCACCUCCUUCUCCACCUUCUCCGAGUGUGGACCUGCUUGCACCUUGUGUGAAUACAAAUUUACAUACUUCUUCUCGCACUCACAAUAUUCAUCCUAUGGUGACUAGAUCUAAGGUUUGUAUCUAUAAACCUAAGUUGUUGUUGAGUGUCUCCAUAGGUUCUCUCACUAAGCCUACUUCCUUUCUUCAAGCUAUUAAAGAUCCUUCAUGGAAGCAAUCCAUGGAAUUCGAGUUUGCUACCCUUCAACACAACAAGACCUGGCAUUUGGUUCCUUCACCUUCCUCAGGCGAAGUAAUCGGUUGUAAAUGGGUCUAUAAGCUAAAGCUUCAGCCUGAUGGCUAAAUUGAGAGAUACAGCCUGCUUAGUAGCUAAGGGUAUCAUCAAAUUGAAGUAUGGACUACUUCGAAACAUUCAGCCUGAUNNNNNNNNNNNNNNNNNNNNNNNNNNNNNNNNNNNNNNNNNNNNNNNNNNNNNNNNNNNNNNNNNNNNNNNNNNNNNNNNNNNNNNNNNNNNNNNNNNNNAGCUUCAGCCUGAUGGCUAAAUUGAGAGAUACAAGGCCUGCUUAGUAGCUAAGGGUUAUCAUCAAAUUGAAGGUAUUGACUACUUCGAAACAUUCAGCCUGAUUGUCAAGCUUUCUACUAUCUGUAUUGUGCUCAGUCUUACUUUUUCCCAGAAUUGGUGUAUUAGACAGCUGGAUGUUCAUAAUGCCUUCUUACAUGGUGACUUAGCUAAAGACGUUUUCAUGGAACAACUGCCUGGAUUUGUUGAUCCUCUCUAUCCUACUCAUGUCUGCAAGUUGGAUAAGUCUCUCUACUGUCUUAAAUAGUCACCUCGGGCUUGGUAUACUAAGCUGAGUACUUCUCGCUACACUUGGGAUUUGUUACUUCUAAGAAUGACUCUUCCUUAUUUAUUUGUCAUUCGUCUCAUGGGUUACUUCUUGUUCUUGUCUAUGUGGAUGAUAUAAUCGUCAUUGGGAGCCACUCUCCUCAGGUUACUCACCUUAUCCAACAGUUGCAUCAUUAGCUUUCUUUAAAGGAUCUUGGUCCUUUACAUUAUUUUCUGGGCUUGGAGGUUCAUCACACCCCUACUGGUAUUCACCUCAGCCAAGCAAAGUAUAUCACUGAUCUCCUUACCCGGGCGGCUAUGUUGGAUGCCAAGCCAUGUCCCACUCCUAUGUCCUCCAACACAUAUCUCUCUUUUCAUGAUGGAGUGGCUCUUGAAAAUGGUUCAGAUUAUCGAAGUUUUGUUGGUGCCCUUUAGUAUUGUACCAUGACACGCCCAGAUAUAGCUUUUGCAAUAAAUAAAGUGUGUCAAUUCAUGCACCAUCCCUCUAAUGUUCACUGGCAGGCUAUAAAACGUAUUCUCCGGUACUUAAAGGGCACAUCUCAUUUUGGUCUCUUCCUACAGCCUUCCUAUGACUUCAACAUCACUUGCUAUACAAAUGCCGACUGGGCUUCCUGUCCUGAUGACAAGUGUAGCACCAGUGGCUACUGCCUCUUUCUUGCCUCUAAUCUGGUUUCUUGGUCAUCUUCCAAACAAAAAGUGGUCUCCCGCUCCAGCGCCGAAUCAGAGUACCGAGGGGUAGCAAAUGGGGCUGCUGAAAUUGCUUGGACUGAAUCUCUUCUUUGUGAACUUUCCAUUACUCCCCCUCCCCUCAUUCUCUGUGACAAUAUCAGUGCCACGUACUUAGCUGCCAAUCCUAUUUUGCAUGCCCGCACCAAACAUGUGGAAAUCGACUAUCACUUUGUCACGGAACGUGUUCUUCAAUGCUCUCUUUUUGUCCAGUUUACACCUUCUGAUGAUCAACUUGCUGAUUGCAUGACCAAGCCUCUCUCCACCCAACGUUUCAUCACUCUACGCUCCAAGCUCACUGUUCUCACUAGACCAAUGAGCUUGAGGGGGGAUGUUAAGCCUAAAGAUGUAAUUAGUUAGGAUAUUCUUUUCCCUCUAGUCUUGUAGCUCCACGUGUACAGUUGGUUAGGACCUCAUUGUAUAUAAUGCCUGCCCUGUUAUUGUAGAAGACAACAGAGAUAAAUAAUAUUAACAUUUUUCCUCUCAUCUCUCUCUCUGUUUCCCUCUGUUUUCAUCUCCUCUCUCAUCUGAACCAAAUGAUCCAUGUUAACCUUGGCUUGGUUUGAUUUGGCUCUAUCUUAGAGAGCUCAAGGAUCACGUCAACUCUGGUUUCUACUAUUCAGGUCCAUUCCCAUAUGAACUGGUUCAAAUUUGAGAAAAUGGUAACAGACCUUUAGUGAUGUUGGUUUGGAGCCAGUUGCCAAACCCGCCCUGAGCUUUACCACUAAUGUCAAGGGAGAAAGCCAUUUGAACAAAAACAAUAGCUUCAAGGGACUGAAUCGUGGAUGAAAUCUGAUCCACAUUUCUUCUCAUUUUGGAAACAAAUGAGAACUUAACUAAGAAGAUUCUACGGCCUCAUAGUGCUUUUCCUGAUCUAAGGUUGGUUCGUUUCCCAAACUGUGAGAUGCACGUGCCAGACUUCAGAACUCUCACGCUCAGGAGUGUAUCCACGUGGUGGACAUAAGAUGGUGGCUUAAGAUCUGGUGUCGGUGGCUUUACUUUACUAGGAGAGUAGUGUGUCUUCAUCUCAUUCACUGCCGGAGGGUGGCGUAAGCAGUGACGCUAAGGUGGGGCACAGUCAAUAUCAUUUGCAUUUGACCAUUAUAGUUUUCUCCCGGCUUUAAAGUAACCUUAUCGUGAUAAAGGAUUACUAGCACUAGUUCAGAUGAUAGUCAUGUUAAAUUCGGACCAUGUUUGUGUCACAUUAUCAGCAACCAUGUGUUUAUGGUUCAUGCUUUCUGCAACUAAAAUUGAUAUAUAACCAGGUGAACUUCAAUCUAAAUUCUGAAAGUACUCAUGUGAUAGAUGGUGCCCGUCUGCAGAGUCCAUCAAUUGAAAAAUGGAGUGAGUGUAUCUAUAAGAGGGAAGGCUUGGAAAAUGUUCAGUUUUCUGGGAAUUCAACAAGGAUCUAAAAUAGAUUGUUUUCUUUGCUGAUUUCAAUGGUUGAAAUUUGAGAAGAUUGUGUCCACAUAACACAACUAUUACUGGUCCUUCUGUUGCAAUUUAUCCUCUAAAGCUCUAGCAUGUCUUCCAAUUCCCACUUCCCUGUUACUCCAGGAAAGCUAUUUCUGUCAUUGUGAAGAAGAAAAGAGAAUGUACAUAUCGAUGCUUUUAAGUGACUGGAGCAUUUAUAUCAGGUGGUCUGCAGCCAUAUAUGCCACUUUGUGAAGAUUGGAACAGUCAAUCACUAGGCUAUAUAUUAGUGUGGCCCAGCCACUUUAAUCAAGGACAAGUCUUCAUACUUAAAGUCAAAUUCUGCCUUUAGUCUCAUUAUAAAUUUCUGUUUAAAUAUUAAGCAAACAUUUGUUUAAUGCGAUUAAGACAGUACUAACUCAAUACCUGUUCUAUUUUUGGAUGCAAAUGCUUGAUGGUUUCAUCAUUGGAUGGGAUAAAGGUGCAUUCAUGAUUAGGAAUACUAGUAGUUAUAUUUUAAUUCUCUUUUUUCUCAAUGAGACUUGUUGGCACAAUUUUGCUGUUGAGAAACCUACCUCUCCAUGGAAAAUAAGUUGUGAUUGAUAGUACUGGAUAUAUUCAAGAAAUCUAAAUAUAGAUAGCACAAAAUAUUAUCGACAUAAAUAGCAUUAACAGCGUACGUAUGUCUCAGUGCUCAUCAGCUAUAAGCAUGGGGCAAACACUUACUAUGAGCAACUUACGUCAAAAUUCCAGAAUAGGACAUAGAAGUGACAGAUAUAGAACAUUGCAUAUGAGUCACAAGAAAGGAAAUUACGGGUGCAUAGCAGCUCUUAUUUUACAUACUACUACUCAUACUGAUCAAAGUCACUCAGUUGGGAUGGGUGGGAGUAGGAGGUUUGUGGGGUGGCUUGUGCGGAGGAGUUGGCAGCUUCUUUCCAGGACCUGGUUGCUUCUCUGCUGGAGUUGAAGGAGGCUUAAUCUUCCGAGGUGGCUUGUAUGAGUCUUCAGCAUUCUCAGCUGGAGGGUGACCAGGGUUGUGACCAUAAUGUGGUGGCUUCUCUCCCUUAGGUGGUUUGCCAACUGGGGUUGGUGGCUUGUAUGAGUCUUCAGCAUUCUCAGCAGGAGGGUGACCAGGGUUGUGACCAUAAUGUGGUGGCUUCUCUCCCUUAGGUGGUUUGCCAACUGGGGUUGGUGGCUUGUGUUCUGGGAGUGGCUUCUCCCCCUUGGGAGGUUUUUCCAAUGGGGUUGGUUUGUGUUCAGGAGGUGGCUUCUCCACUGGAGGCUUGUGUUCAGGAGGUGGCUUCUCCACCGGAGGCUUGUGUUCAGGUGGUGGCUUCUCCACCGGAGGCUUAUGCUCUGGUGGUGGCUUCUCGAAUGGGGGAUGCUUAGGAUAAUCAGCAAGUGAGGGGGCGGUGAGAACCACCAGGCCAAGCAACACCACUAGCAAAUAUGUAGGAGACAUCUUUGGGUUUGGGCUCAGAUGGUGCAAAACUAGGAGAAUUGGCUAGCCUUUUAUAGCGGAUCGUACCCAAUAAUGAAAUGACACGUGUCAUUAUGACCCAUGUGUAAUGGGGUCGAUUUGGGUCCUACAGUGUUGAAAACUUCGACAUCCACUUUUGGCCUUUUGCUUUCUCUACAGCCGCCUUGCUUUUUCCCUCUUUCCUUUUGUUUUCCUCCUGCCCCAUUCUAUCAACUAAACACAAUUAUGUAGUUGUUUAAUUCUUAAAUGAGAUAUUAUCCGUCAAUCGUAUUAUAUUUUAUCAAGAGAGAACGGAGUGCAAUGUGGCUGUAAUUUUAUCGUUUAGUUUUAUCUCUUGGACCACUGCAUUUUUGUUAAGAGGUGCAAUAAUACACGUCUUUAUCUGCCAUUCAAUAUUUACAGUAAAGAGAGGGCACAAAACUCUUCACUUCGCACCAUAAUUAUUUUGUUUUCUGGACACCCCGGGGCCCUUUGGUUGGUUUGGGGGUCAGAAAGUGAACAUCAUAGGGGGUUUUUCCCUUAUGUGCAUUUGUAUCUGAUGGCUUUAACUCGCCUUGUUACUACAAAGAAACUGUCACAGAUAGGAACUUAUUCCAGGCUGAGUAUCUCCUCAUAGACCCUAUAAAAGAAGACAAGUCAUAAUGAACAUCUAACCUUUGUUCAAUUUGAUUCAAUGCCCCCAUUGUGUCCAUCUCACAAAUCUGAAUUAUUAUAUCCAUUGAAUACAUAAAUUAAUGAAGAAAAUAUGAAACCCAAGAUACAUCUCUGCACAACCUCAACCCUGGUUGCUAUGUUUCCCUUCUAUUCACAUGAUUUGAUGCUAAUUGCCAAACUUGCAACAAGCCCUGAGUUUGACACCUAGUAUCGAUGGGCGAAUUUAAAGUCUCCUCCAAACAUAUAUUCCACAGCUUGAAGCUCACAGAAGAUGUUACAGGCAGGGAAAAACCUUCAGAGUUCGCUACCAAAGAUAAUUAUUAAGGAGAUAUCACAAAGAGAAUUCCAAGGGGUCUGAAUCAAAGACAAAUUGGUCGUUCGUGGGGGUUCUUACUUUCUUUUGGGUAUAACUCACUGAGGGCACUGUCUUUGUUAUUUGCAUUUCACAUUUAGAGUUCUGUUCUGGAAACAUAUAAAAGGAGCAUCAUUUUGUUCUUGGGUAACCCAUAGUCGUGAGUGGGUCCAUUUGCAUGCUACUUAGUUGAAAAGUUGGACCAUUUGCUCCGACGCCUACCUCCCGGAUUCCAUGCUCGGAUAAAACAAGAAUAAAAAAAAUAUUUAUAAUUUACAAAUGGGGGAAAGAAAAAAAUGUCAACAACAAACCAGGAAAAAAGAGUAGUAAAAUUCAUGUCACAUGCUAGUGAGAGAAGGGGUUGUUACACUCACUCGAAGUUCUUUCCAAAAUAUCGCAUGGUAUUUUAUUUUAUGUGUCAGCGCAGUUGUGAAUGGAACGUGCAAAAGUCCAAAUUGGCGUUUUUCCUUUUCCCGUGUAGGAUGGCGACCUUUAAUAAAUAUUUAAAACAAAAAACGAAAAAAAGGAGGGAAAAGGGAUCAGAAAAGAUAAAACAAUGUGUACAAGAGCUCAAUUAGUUUGCAAAUUACUGUUUGGAUUUUGAUAGUAUUUUAUUUGUCCAUCUAUAUUUGAUGGAAAAGAGAAUUUAAGAUAUUUCUGAAACAAAAGCAUUAGUGUAAAACUAAAUUAAGGUAUAAUUAAGUUAGUUCAAUGCAUUAAUUUAAGAAACUUGAUCUAUCCAAAGUACAAAAUUAGAUGAAAUCCAUUUCAAUGGUUAAAAUGAUCAAAAUCAAACUUUUUCUAAGUAUUUUUUAAAAGCAUCAAUAUUAAAAGACAAUUUUAUAUUUAGUCGGAGUUUGGACAAAACCAAAAAGCACACAAAAUCCAAGCGACCAUCUCUAGCUUGGAUAGUCACUUGAUCCCACCUAGAGAUGUGCAUGAGUAAAAGGAUUUGAAAAUGGAAAUUGACUAAAUAUUUAGUUGAUCAAUUAAAUUUGCAAUGUCAUAUGCAAUCCUAAUAGCUAGUCAUCUAAUCAAUUAGGUAGUCAAUCAAGUGUUUGUAAUGACUAUUUUGUACAAAAAACCACAUGUAUAGUUAAAUAUAAUGCAUUUCAUUUAUAAAUCUUCUAAUUCUUGAAUAACGAUCCUAUCAUCCUUUGAAAAUUUUUAUUACACCUUUUUUACUUUUGUUCUAAAACUUACAUAUCACCCUUAAUUGUACCAUGAGAACCUAGCUAUUUUUUUUUUUUUUGUAAUUCAUCAAAGUUAGCUUUUGUAUUCAUUGUUGUAUUAUUUUUAGUAUAACUUAGAAAGCUAGUGUUUUCAAGUGAGUAAAAUUAACUUGUAAAUAUUGUAAAGAUUCAUUGAUAUGUAUCUUAAACUAAGUGUACAAAUUAAAACAUUUGCUAGUAGAUUUUCUCAAAAUUUAGAAUAGAGCUUGAGGCUAUUGAAAUAGGUGGGGUUACACCAAACCACAUCACAUCGUUGUUUGCACCUUUUUUCACUCUCUUUUACUUAGUUUCUCUAUAUUUGUUGUCUAGUAAUAUCCUAUAGGCUUGAUGGGUUAGGGAGCAUCCCUUUGUGAAAAAAUUUCAUUCAAUUCUUAGUUGUAUUACGCAUAUAUAAAAUGCCUCAUUGUUUUAAUGGUAUUCAGUCGUGGCAUCACAGAUAUGGGCAUCUAAAUUUUAAAAGUUUGAAACUUUUGUAAAGCAUGUUGAUAAAAUCCAUGAGAGUUGUGUACUUGGGAAGCAACAUCGAGGUGACUUUAUUUUUUUUUCCUUUUAUAAUGCCACACCUAAGUCCGGUUUCUAAAUGCUAAAGUGAAAGGGUAGGUAUGGACCAUUGAAAUGUGAUCACAACUUUUGGCCUUUUCCUUUCUCUGCAGCCAUGUUGUCUCUUUUUUCUUUUGCAUGAUUUUCUUACCAAAACAGAAUCAUAGACUUGUUUAGUCUCUAAGCUACUAUAUUAUAUCUCGGUGGACUUUUAAGAGUGCAACCGACAUAGAGCACAUGCAAGUGGGCAUAUGGGACAUGAAAUUUCUUCUUACAAAGAUUGCAUGAUUUUUAUAUUAGAGUUGUUCACGUGCAAUGUAUUUAGCUUGUUUUGCAGUUAAAUUAAUUGGAUAAGUAAACAUUGGCAUUUCUAAAUCGACUGUGAAGUGCUUCAUGUACGUGUAAAGUAUUAGAAAUUUCUUUCUUGGCAACUUGUUUUUUCCUUGCCAUCUACUGGUAGGUUUGACUAAAAUUAUAUUCCCUGUCAUGCUAAUUAAUUUUCAUGUGCAUGCUCAAAAGAAGAGUAUGACCUUAGUGCACCAAAAUCACUUUGAUUAAUUUGUGAUAGGUUUUUUUGCAUCAUUUAGAUAAUGUUUAGUUCUAAGAAAAAUUUAUAUAAAAAUGGUUUAUUUAUCUUACAUAUAUAUAUAUAUAUAUAUAUUUUUUUUUUUUUCAUUUUUUUUUCUUCUAUUUUAUUUAUUUAUUUUAUUUUCCUUAUGUUUUCCUCACAUUUUCCGGAACUAAACAUAGUCUUACGAAAUCAACAAUUGCCUUCAACUGAGUAGAUUCUGUUGUUUUAGCAAUGUUAGGCUGCUAACUUGUGGUGGUACGAACCAAAUGACCCAUGUUAAUCUUGGCUUGGUUUGAUUUGGCUCUAUCUCAGAGAGCUAAAGGAUCACGUCAACUCUGGUUUCUACUAUUCAGGUCCAUUCCCAGAUGAACUGGUUCAAAUUUGAGAAAAUGGUAACAGACCUUUAGUGAUGUUGGUUUGGAGCCAGUUGCCAAACCCGCCCUGAGCUUUACCACUAAUGUCAAGGGAGAAAGCCAUUUGAACAAAAACAAUAGCUUCAAGAGACUGAAUCGUGGAUGAAAUCUGAUCCACAUUUCUUCUCAUUUUGGGAAAAAAUGAGAACUUAACUACAAAGAUUCUACUGCCUCAUUCAUAGUGCUUUUCCUGAUCCAAGGUUGGUUCGUUUCCCAAAUUGUGAGGUGCACGUGCCACUCUCACGCUCAGGAGUGUAUCCACGUGGUGGACAUCAGAUGGUGGCUUAAUAUCUGGUGUCGGUGGCUUUACUUUACUAGGAGAGUAGUGUGUCUUCAUCUCAUUCACUGCCGGAGGGUGGCGUAAGCAGUGACGCUAAGGUGGGGCACAGUCAAUAUCAUUUGCAUUUGACCAUUAUAGUUUUCUCCCGGCUUGAAAGUAACCUUAUCGUGAUAAAGGAUUACUAGCACUAGUUCAGAUGACCGUCAUGUUAAUUCGGACCAUGUUUGUGUCACAUUAUCAGCAACCAUGUGUUUAUGGUUCAUGCUAUCUGCAACUAAACUUGAUAUAUAACCAGGUGAACUUCAAUCAAAAUUCUGGAAGUACUCUUGUGAUAGAUGGUGCCUGUCUGCAGAGUCCAUCAAUUGAAAAAUGGAGUGAGUGUAUCUAUAAGAGGGAAGGCUUGGCAAAUGUUCAGUUUUCUGGGAAUUCAACAAGGAUCUAAAAUAGAUUGUUUUCUUUGCCGACUUCAAUGGUUGAAAUUUGAGAAGAUUGUGUCCACAUAUCACAACUAUUACUGGUCCUUCUGUUGCAAUUUAUCCUGUAAGGCUCUAACAUGUCUUCCAAUUCCCACUUCCCUGUUACUCCAGGAAAGCUAUUUCUGUCAUUGUGAAGAAGAAAAGAGAAUGUACAUAUCGAUGCUUUUAAGUGACUGGAGCAUUCAUAUCAGGUGGUCUGCAGCCAUAUAUGCCACUUUGUGAAGGUUGGAACAGUCAAUCACUAGGCUAUAUAUUGGUGUGGCCCAGCCACUUCAAUCAAGGACAAGUCUUCAUACUUAAAGUCAAAUUCUGCCUUUAGUCUCAUUAUAAAUUGCUGUUUAAAUAUUAAGCAAACUUUUGUUUAAUGCGAUUAAGACAGUACUAACUCAAUACUUGUUCUAUUUUUGGAUGCAAAUGCUUGAUGGUUUCAUCAUUGGAUGGGAUAAAGGUGCAUUCAUGAUUAUGAAUACUUGUAGUUAUAUUUUCAUUCUCUUUUUUCUCAAUGAGACUUGUUGGCACAAUGUUGCUGUUCAGAAACCUACCUCUCCAUGGAAAAUAAGUUGCGAUUGAUAGUACUGGAUAUGUUCAAGAAAGCUAAAUAUAGAUAGCACAAAAUAUUAUCGAUAUAAAUAGCAUUAACAGCGUACGUAUGUCUCAAUGCUCAUCAGCUAUAAGCAUGGGACAAACACUUACUAUGAGCAACUUACGUCAAAAUUCCAGAAUAGGACAUAGAAGUGACAGAUCUAUAUAUAUAGAACACUGCAUAUGAGUCACAAGAAAGGAAAUUACGGGUGCAUAGCAGCUCUUAUUUUACAUACUACUACUCAUACUGAUCAAAGUCACUCAGUUGGGAUGGGUGGGAGUAGGAGGUUUGUGGGGUGGCUUGUGCGGAGGAGUUGGCAGCUUCUUUCCAGGACCUGGUUGCUUCUCUGCUGGAGUUGAAGGAGGCUUAAUCUUCCGAGGUGGCUUGUAUGAGUCUUCAGCAUUCUCAGCUGGAGGGUGACCAGGGUUGUGACCAUAAUGUGGUGGCUUCUCUCCCUUAGGUGGUUUGCCAACUGGGGUUGGUGGCUUGUAUGAGUCUUCAGCAUUCUCAGCAGGAGGGUGACCAGGGUUGUGACCAUAAUGUGGUGGCUUCUCUCCCUUAGGUGGUUUGCCAACUGGGGUUGGUGGCUUGUGUUCUGGGAGUGGCUUCUCCCCCUUGGGAGGUUUUUCCAAUGGGGUUGGUUUGUGUUCAGGAGGUGGCUUCUCCACUGGAGGCUUGUGUUCAGGAGGUGGCUUCUCCACCGGUGGCUUGUGUUCAGGAGGUGGCUUCUCCACCGGAGGCUUAUGCUCUGGUGGUGGCUUCUCCACCGGAGGCUUAUGCUCUGGUGGUGGCUUCUUGAAUGGGGGAUGCUGAGGGUAAUCAGCAAGUGAGGGGGCGGUGAGAACCACCAGGCCAAGCAACACCACUAGCAAAUAUGUAGGAGACAUCUUUGGGUUUGGGCUCAGAUGGUGCAAAACUAGGAGAAUUGGCUAGCCUUUUAUAGCGGAUCGUACUCAAUAAUGAAAUGACACGUGUCAUUAUGACCCAUGUGUAAUGGGGUCGAUUUGGGUCCUACAGUGUUGAAAACUUCGACAUCCAGUUUUGGCCUUUUGCUUUCUCUACAGCCGCCUUGCUUUUUCCCUCUUUCCUUUUGUUUUCCUCCUGCCCCAUUCUAUCAACUAAACACAAUUAUGUAGUUGUUUAAUUCUUAAAUGAGAUAUUAUCGGUCAAUCGUAUUAUAUUUUAUCAAGAGAGAACGGAGUGCAAUGCAGCUGUAAUUUUAUCGUUUACUUUUAUCUCUUGGACCACUGCAUUUUUGUUAAGAGGUGCAAUAAUACACGUCUUUAUCUGCCAUUCAAUGUUUACAGUAAAGAGAGGGCACAAAACUCUUCACUGCUCUGCAUGUGUCCCAAAAAUGCGAUUGGACAAAUUAUGAUUUGCAUGCUAAAAAGAGGCAAAUGAGGUUAAUUCGCACCAUAAUUAUUUGGUUUUCUGGACACCAUAAAAAGAUGUUAUACAGGCAGGGAAAAACCUUCAGAGUUAGCUACCAAAGAUAAUUAUCAAGCAGAUAUCACCAAGAGAAUUCCAUAGAGUCUGAAUCAAAGACAGAUUGCUCGCUCGUGGGGGUUCUUACUUUCUUUUGGGUAUAACUCACUGAGGUCACUGUCUUUUUUAUUUGCAUUUCACAGUUAGAGUUCUGCUCUGGAAGGUUUGUUCUGGAAACAUAUAAAAGGAGCAUCAUUUUGUUCUUGGGUAACCCAUAGUCGUGAGUGGGUCCAUUUGCAUGCUACUUAGUUGAAAAGUUGGACAAUUUGCUCCGACGCCUACCUCCUGGAUUCCAUGCUCGGUAAAACAAGAAUAAAAAAAAAUAUAUAAUUUACAAAUGGGGGAAAGAAAAAAUGUCGGAAAAAAUAGUAAAAUUCAUGUCACAUGCUAGUGAGAGAAGGGGUUGUUACACUCACUCGAAGUUCUUUUCAAAAUAUCGAAUGGUAUUUUACUUUAUGUGUCAGCGCAGUUGUGAAUGGAACGUGCAAAAGUCCAAAUUGGCGUUUUUAUUUUUCCCAUGUAGGAUGGUGACCUUUAAUAAAUAUUUAAAACAAAAGACGAAAAAAAAAAGGAGGGAAAAGGGAUCACAAAAGAUAAAAUAAUGUUUACAAAAGCUCAAUUAGUUUGCAAAUUACUGUUUGGAUUUUGAUAGUAUUUUAUUUGUCGUUCUAUAUUUGAUGUAAAAGAGAAUUUAAGAUAUUUCCGAAGCAAAAGCAUUAGUUUGCUCUGUGAUGUCCCACAUCGAAUAGGGGAGAAAGUUUCUGGCGCUAUAUAUGUAGAGGCUCCUCUUAACCAAGUAGAUGCGUUUUAAAACCAUGAGGGCCCCCUUAGGUCCAAAGCGGACAAUAUCUACAUGAUUGGGUGUAAGUCAUUACAAAUGGUAUCAGAGCCGAUCCCCGACCCCGGUGUGGGGGUUUGUUUGGCCCUGUAAGGGGUGUUUGUCUGUUUGACCCCACAAUCCCAUGGGACACAACGAGGACGUUGUGUCUGCAUGGGGGGGCGUUUGUGAUGUCCCACAUCGGAUAGGGGAGAAAGUUCCUAGUGCUAUAUAUGUAGAUGUUUCUCUUAACCAAGUAGAUGCAUUUUAAAAUUGUGAGGGCCUCUUUGGGCCCAAAGCGGACAAUAUCUACAUGGUUGAGUGUAAGUCAUUACAUGCUCCAUGUCAAUUUCAGCAUUUCUCAUAUGUUUCACACAUACACAGAAGAGCAUCGUUUUUUAAAGCAUGCAUUUAUGUUGGAUUAAUUUGGAUUUUGUGGGAACUGGGGCAAGGAUCACAUGGAAGAGAGGUUGACUUUUUUCAGUACUUCAAUGGUUGAAAUAUGUGAAGGCUUGAUUGAUACUAAAGCUUGAAAUUGCGACUCUGUCAUUUGUAAAAAAAUAUGACAGCUUCCAUGCUCUCGUUUGGUUGCAUUGUCCGGUCGAGAGGUGCAAAAAGCAUUCUCUCUCUUCUAAUAGUCUUUUCGUUUAAAUCAAGGGAUUUGCCUUCCCGGUCGAGGUCCAAUAGAGGGUAACGGUCACCUACUAAACAUUAAAUGCUCCAACAACUAGUGAACUGAUCGACCCCAGCUCGACUAGUUGAGGUUACUUUUUGGUUUUCUUGUCUCCCGAGGUUAGAAACCUAUAAAUAGAGAGCUUCACUUCAUUUAUGAGUAAGAGAACACCUAAAUUUAUUUGUUUACCUACUUGUUUUUGCCAUAAAAGCUCUCAUUUCUUUUCUUGGUGUAUUAAAUCUCCAUUUGCAUAUCCUUUAGUGCACCUUUGUGAUUCAUUCUAGCCUUGAGUUGUAUUUAAGCCUUUGUUGAGCUAGGUUGAGAGUUUCAUACUUGUUUAUUGAGUGUUAAAGCCUUCAAGUGAGUUAAAACUUGAAGAGAUUGUGUAAGAGCCCAUUGGAGUCGGAAUCCAAGUGUAAAGGUGAUUAAAAGCUUGGUUGAAGCUUCAAGUUAGUGGAACUCUCACUCGGUUAUGAGCUUGAGAAGAGUGGACAUAGACAAGGCAGUGUCGAACCACUAUAAAAUCUGAGUUUGAUUUCUCUAACCUUAUCUCUUUAUAUUUGCUUCUCUUGUGCUUAAAUUUUUUGUGUUUAAAAAGAAUUUUUAAAAACUCAAUUCACCCCCUUCUUGGGAGUUUUUCUCUUUUAAGAUCAGCUUUUAUUUUCUCAAUUGGUAUCAGAACUAUGCCUCUUGUUUAAGACUUAAUCGUCUAAGAGGAAAUGGCUAAUCCAUCAAGUUCAUCUCACAUUGAAAGUUUUGCAACCAAUAGACUUCUUUUUUUUUUUUUGCGGGAACUGAUUAUCCCUAUUGGAAAACUAAAAUGACUUGGUUUUUACAAUCAAUUGAUUUAGAUGUAUGAGAUGCCAUUGAAGAUGACCUAACUUUUCCUUCAAAACUAGUUGAUGGAGUCAUGGUUCCAAAACCUAAGCAAGAAUGGGAUGAGCGUGAUUGAAGAAAUUUUCAAUUAAAUGCUAAAGUCGUUUAUACUUUGCAAUGCUCUAUGGACAGAAAUGAAUAUAAUAGAAUAUGUCAAUGCAAAUCGGUUAAAGAAAUUUGGAGAUUGCUUGAAAUAACUCAUAAAGGAACAAAUCAAGUUAAAGAGUCAAAAAUCAAUUUACUUGUUCAUAGAUAUGAAUUGUUUUUUAUGAAAGAUAAUGAAACUAUUGUUAAGAUGAUCACUAGGUUCACCAACAUUGUUAAUGGUCUUAAAGCCUUGGGAAAGACCUACAAGGAAUCCGAAAACGUGAUGAAGAUCUUGAGGUCACUUCCAUCAAAGUGGCAUACCAAGGUCACCGCAAUUUAAGAAGCAAAAGACUUGAUCAAGCUACCUUUGGAGGAGUUCAUAGGGUCAUUGAUGACAUAUGAAAUCAAUUUGGCAAAGAAGUAACAAAAAGGUGAAGACAAAAAGAAGAAGAACAUAACUCUCAAAGCUACAACUAAGGAAGAAGAAGUUGAAGAAGAAAAACAAAUUGAAGAAGAUGAAGAUUUAGCCCUCAUCACAAGAAAGUUCAACAAAUUCAUGAGGGGUGAAAGGUUUAGAAGAAGAAGGUUCACUUCUAGAAGAGACUUUUCUAAAAAGGAAUCUUCAUCUAAUGGUGACAAAAAGAGAUGGGAAGAGAAAAGAGACUUGGUGUGUUUCAAGUGCAAGAAACCGGGACACAUUAAAUAUGAUUGUCCUCUCUACAAAAGUGAAGUCAAGAGGAAAAAGAAUAAGGCAAUGAUGGCCACUUAGAGUGAAAGUGAAGAUGAAUCAUCCGAAGAAGAAAAUGAGAAAGAAGUGGCAAACAUGUGUUUCAUGGCAAUAGAUGAACUUGAUGAGGUAAAAUCUAACCUUAGUGAUUAAGAUAUACAUGAUGCAUUUGAAGAAUUGUAUGAGGAUUUUUAAAAACUUAGUUUGAAAAAUAUUUCUCUUAAAAAGAAAGUUCAACAACUUGACAAAGAACUUAGAGAAGUAAAAGAAAAAUUUUCAAAUGUUAAAGUUUCUAAAACUCAUCUUGAAAAAGAAAAUGAGAUUCUAAGAAAGAAAAAUGAAUAGUUGAACUCCUCUCUUUCAAUCUUUUCUUCUAGACAAAAAUCUUUUGAAAUGAUUCUAACUAGCUAAAAAUGUGUUUUUGACAAACAAGGGUUAAGAUUUAAAUCUUCAAAAAAUCAAAAGUAUUUUAAAAACUAUUUUGUAAAGGAAUCCACAAGUGCAAGUCCUUCCACUACUUGCAACUUUUGUGGAAGAGAAUGGCACAUUAGUAGUACGCCCUUUAAGAAAUGGUUCUCAAAAGAAUUUAAAUGCAAAAACUAAAAAAGAUUUGGAUUGAGAAAUCCAAGGUCACUAACCCUCAAGGACCCAAAAAGAUAUAGGUACCUAAAUCAACUUGAGUUUUAUGUUGUAAGGUUCAAAGAAUGAUAAGUGGUUCUUAGAUAAUGGUUGCUCAAGACACAUGACCGGAGAUGAAUCCAAGUUUGCUUUUCUUAAAAAGAAAAAUGGAGGAUAUGUUACCUUUGGAGACAAUGCAAAAGAAAGGAUGAUUGGUCAAGGCAACAUUGGUAAUGGCACAUCCUCUCUCAUUGAAAGUGUUUUAUUAGUAGAUGGUUUCAAACAUAACCUUUUAAGCAUUAGUCAAUUUUGCGACAAAGGUUUUUAAGUGAUUUUUUAAGCAUCUCAUUGCAUCAUCAAGGAUAUUCAAAAUGAUAAAACCAUUUUCAUGGGCCAUAGAUGUGAUAAUGUUUAUGCUAUAAAUAUUUCAAAAUAUGAUGGCCAUGAUAGAUGUUUUUCAAGCAUGCAUGAUCAAAGUUGGUUGUGCCAUAGGAGAUUGAGACAUGCUAACAUAGACCUCAUUUCCCAACUCAACAAAGAUGAACUUGUUAGAGGCCUUCCCAAAAUAAUUUUUUAAAAAGAUAAAGUUUGUGAAGCUUGUCAAGUGGGAAAGUAAAUCAAAAACUCUUUUAAAAACAAAAACUUCAUUUCCACAUCUAGGCCACUUGAGUUGUUGCAUAUGGAUUUAUUUGGUCCCUCUAGGACACCAAGUCUUAGAGGAAAUUCUUAUGCAUAUGCUAUUGUGGACGACUUCUCUAGAUACACAUGAGUCUUGUUUUUUAGUCAAAAGAAUAAAGUUUUUUAUGAGUUUUCAAAGUUUUGCAAUAAGAUUCAAAAUGAAAAAGGUUUUUCAAUUACUUAUAUAAGAAGUGAUCAUGGGAGAGAAUUCGAAAAUAUUGAUUUUGAAGAGUAUUGCAAUGAGCAUGGAAUUGACCACAAUUUUUUGGCUCUUAGAACUCCUCAACAAAAUGGGGUAGUUGAAAGGAAAAAUAGAACUCUUCAAAAAAUGACAAGAACCAUACUAAAUGAAAACAACUUACCAAAAUAUUUUUAGGCCAAAACGGUUAACACUUCUUGUUAUGUUUUAAAUAGAGUAUUAUUGAGGCUCAUACUUAAGAAAACUCCCUAUGAGCUUUGGAAAAACAAAAAACCCAACAUUAGUUAUUCCAAAGUCUUUGGAUGCAAUAUUUUAUAAUAAACACCAAAGACAAUCUUGGAAAAUUUGAUGCAAAAUUGGAUGUUGGAAUUUUCCUUGGUUACUCAACUUCAAGUAAAGCUUUUCGAGUUUUAACAAAAGAACCAUGGUUGUAGAGGAGUCCAUCCAUGUUAUUUUUUAUGAAUCUCCAAGAAAGAGAGAGGAUUGAUGAUGAUUUAGGUUUGAAGACCUCUAUAGGAAGAUUGCAAAUCGAAGAUAGAAGACAACAAGAAGAAAAUGGAGAGAAUCCAAAGAAAGAAGGAUCACCAUUGGCACUACCCCCUCAUCAACAAGCGCAAGGUGAAUCAAGUCAAGAGCUUCCUAAAGAAUGGAAGUUUGUCAUCAAUCACCCACAAGAUCAAAUUAUAGGCAAUCCAUCUAGUGGGGUAAGAACUAGAUCCUCUCUUAGAAAUAUUUGCAAUAAUCUAGCUUUUAUCUCUCAAAUUGAGCCUAAAAAUAUAAAUGAUGUUUUAGAUGAUGAAAAUUGGAUAAUUGCAAUGCAAGAAGAGUUAAAUCCAUUUGAAAGAAGUGGAGUAUGGGAAUUAGUACCAAGACCUUCAAAUCAAAGUGUUAUUGGAACUAGAUGGAUCUUUAGAAAUAAAAUGGAUGAAAAUAGCAUAAUUGUUAGAAAUAAAGCAAGAUUGGUAGCCCAAGGUUUUAAUCAAGAAGAAAUGAUAGAUUAUGAAGAAACCUUUGCCCCCGUAGCUAGGUUGGAAGCCAUUAGGAUGCUACUUGCCUUUGCAUGUUUUAAAGACUUUGUUUUAUAUCAAAUGGAUGUGAAAAGUGCUUUUUUAAAUGGUUUUAUAAAUGAAGAAGUAUAUGUUGAACAACCACCCGGUUUUCAAAGUUUCAACUUUCCUAACCAUGUUUUUAAACUUAAAAAGACACUUUAUGGUUUGAAACAAGCACCUAGAUCAUGGUAUGAAAAAUUGAGUAAAUUUCUUUUGAAAAAAAUGUUUUAAAAUGGGAAAAAUUGACACAACUCUUUUUAUAAAAACCAAAGAAAAUGAUAUGCUCUUAGUUCAAAUAUAUAUUGAUGAUAUCAUUUUUGGUGCUACUAAUGUCUCUCUUUAUGAAGAAUUUUCUAAGUGCAUGCAUAGUGAGUUUGAAAUGAGCAUGAUAGGAGAACUCAACUUCUUCCUUGGACUUCAAAUCAAGCAACUAAAGGAAUGAACCUUCAUCAAUCAAGCAAAGUAUAUAAGAGAUCUUCUCAAAAGGUUCAACAUGGAAGAAGCCAAAACAAUGAAGACUCUAAUGAGCUCAUCCAUUAAGCUUGAUAAGGAUGAGAAAGGUAAAUCCAUUGACUCUAUUAUGUAUAGAGGCAUGAUAGGUUCUUUGCUCUAUUUGACCACUAGUAGACCUUACAUUAUGUAUAGUGUGUGUUUGUGUACUAGAUUUCAAUCUUGUCUUAAAAAAUCUCACUUAAGUGUCGUGAAAAGAAUCCUCAAAUAUUUGAAAGGGACAAUGGACAUAGGCUUAUGGUAUCCUAAGAGUGAUAACUUUGAAUUAAUUGGUUUUUUGGAUGCUGAUUUUGUCAGUUGUAGGGUUGAAAAAUAAAACACUAGUGGCACUUUUCAUUUCUUAAGACACUUACUUGUCUCAUGGCAUAAUAAGAAGCAAAAUUUGGUAGCUUUGUCAACAGCAGAAGCUAAAUACAUAGCAACUGGUUUAUGUUGUGCACAAAUCCUUUGGAUGAAAUAAACACUUAGUGAUUUUGAUUUAUCUUUUGAGCAUAUUCCUAUUAAAUGUGAUAAUAGUAGUGCCAUAAGUAUAUCAAAAAAUCUCGUGCAACACUCUAGGACUAAGCAUAUAGAGAUUAGACAUAAUUUUCUUAGAUAUCAUACACAAAAGGAUGAUAUAACACUUGAAUUUGUAAGCAUAAAAGACCAACUUGCCGAUAUCUUUACAAAACCUCUAAGAACAUUUUGUUGAUAUUAGAGGACAAUUAGGAGUGAUUUCUUUAUGAUCUAAUGUGAUGAAUUCUUGAUGAAUAUACUUUUUGAUUGCAUGAAUUUCAUGUCAUAUAUGCAUCAUAUAGAAAUAUACUUAGAUAAUGGUCAAAUUUCGACCAAAAAUCAAAAUUCCCAUGGCAUUAGGCAUAAAAAUUUUGGAAUUUCAACUGAAAAUGGUAGGAGGAGGAUCACAAAAUGAGAAAGUAUGCAAAAAUUGAAAAAUCAAAACGUUGACCAAGCGGUCAAUCGGACUAGACCGAUCGACUAGUUUGUCGAGAUUUAGGAUUUUUAAGAGACUCCAACGCUUCAAUUUUUGCACCGUUCUCCUCUAUUUCUUCACGGUUUCUCUGAUUUUGUCUUUUAGAGACUAAUUUGAGUGCGUUUUGGAUCAAUUGAAGCAUUUUGGAUUGGAUUUUAGGAAGAUUGAAAGUUAAGGUUUCGGAUUUGGGUCGCCUUCUCUUCCUCUCGCGUGUCACAAUCAGCUUUAGCAUUGUUCUCUUUCCAUUUUCACACACCUAGGGUUUCAGUUGUGAGCAUCUCUCUCUCUUUACCAACCACUACUCCCUUGCUUCUUCCAUAUGGCUCCUAGGCGAGAGUCCGCUACUUCUAGGGCACAAGGCAAGCACCCAACUGAGUCGUCUCAGUCAAAGGCACGUCGAAAAGUGAGAUUUGACAUUGCCUUGUUCAGUUCCAUGGAGGACUACCAACUAUACAAGCAACACUUUGCUUAGAGACGAGUAGUUCCCAAGAGAAAUAUUAAUUUUCCUCAACUUCAGCAUUUCGAAUUUAAGGGUCUAUUUACUAGGAUGGUUGGUUGUCUAUUGUCACAAUUUCGGAGCCGGUUUUCCUGACCUUAGUGCGAGUUUUUUACUCGAGGGCGACUUAUGGCAUGGGUGGCAUGAUCAUUUCUACUGUUGGAGGAGUUGAGAUCUGUCUGGACCCAGAGAGCAUCUGCCAUAUUUUCGAUAUUGCUCUGGUUGGACUCAAAGUAUACAAGUCCAAAAUGUGGCCCAUUGUGCCAGGAUUUGAGCUUAGAGAGGUCAUUCAGAGGAUUUGUGAACUUCCAGACGCCCAGGAGAUGGGCAAACCAUUGCCACACAGUUUGACGGUCAUCAACAGGGUGCUACACCAUAUAUUGUGCUCUAUCUUUCUACCACGAAGUGGACAUUGAGAUGAGGUCUCUUAUUAUGAGGCAUUCCUUAUUGACUCCAUUCUAACGGAGAGACGAAUUCAUCUACUAUGUCAUCAUUCACUAAGCCUCCUCACAGUGACAUACCACCUCAUCAGGCACCUCUUGCUCCUGACCAUGCUCCAUUGAUGGAUUUAUUUACUCAUAUUAGCUCUCUAGGCACUCGCAUGAAGGAGUUUGUUGUAGUUAGUGAUACAUGGUUCUACUCCAUAGAGGAUCGCAUGGAUCAGUAUCAGACUGGCUUCACGUCACAGUUUGAGUAUCUCCAAUAGAGGAUUGAGCAUAUUGAGGAUCACUUGAGCAUGAGAAGAUGAUGGCUUUUCUAUGCUCUGUGUUUCCACCUCCACCUCGUCAACCUUGAUUUCUUAGAGACCCAUUGUUUUCAUUUUGUAAUGUUGCCAAAAGGGGGAGAUAUUUAGGAUCUAGGACUCUAUAGGAGACUUACAUGCAUAUCAUUUUCAUAUCAUUGUUUGGAUCGUACAUAUUGGAUAGUGAUACUUUUUACUUAUAUAUGAUAUGCCUAUAUGUUUCAUGUCUUACAUUGUUUCUUAUUGCAAAUUAUCUCUAACAUGUCUUGAUUAUCUUUUUUUUAACUUCAUAAAUUUUGAUUGUUAACCCAUGAUUGGUUUGAGGGGAAGAUUCUUCUUCUCCUAGAUAACCAAGGUUUGUCAUCAUAAAAAAAUUGGAGAUUGUUAGCCCAAGGGUUCUCCUAAUCAUGUUUUGAUGAUAACAAACCAUGCUUAAGUUACUAAUUGGUUUGAAUUAUAAAGAAUUUCAAGUGUUAAUUUGAAAAUUCAUCAAAGAACCUAAUGGAUGCAAGAUCAAGAUUUUUGGAAGACCUUUAAUCAUAAGAAACAUAUGUAAGAUGAAUGCAUGGGUGCACUUAAGAUUUGCAUAUCAUUUCAUGCAUAUUUGGAAAACACGGUUUAUGCUUUAAAGUUACAUUUCCAUCAAAAUUUGAGAUCCAUCAAAUGAACCUUAGGAAAAAUGUUUUAAAAUUGGCAUAUAAUUUUACCUAAAGACCUUGCCUAAGUGUUAGAAGCAAAAGGACAAAAAAAAUAUAGGUUUUCUGGUCAAAAAUGGUGAACCAGUCAAGGCAUUGUCUAAAUCAGCUCAAUCGGCCAAGGUACCGGUCGAUCGGUUUCCCUUUCCCUGUCGAGAUCUAGUCAAGAGGUACAAAAAUCACAAUCUCUGUCUCUUUCUCUCUUUGUCUAUCUUCCAGUAGUCUUUCCUUCCCGGUCGAGGGAUUUGCCUUCCCGAUUGAGGUCCGAUUGAGAGUAAUAGUCACUUGCCAAAUAUUAAAUGCUCCAACAGUUAGUGAACUGGUCGACCCCCACCUUGCCCAGUUGAGGUUACUUUUUGGUUUUCUUGGCUCCCGAUGUUAGAAACCUAUAAAUAGAGAGUUCCACUUCAUUUAUGAGCAAGAGAACACUUGCAUUUAUUUGUUUACCUACUUGUUCUUGCCUUAAAAGCUCUCAUUUCUUUUCUUGGUGCAUUAAAUCUCCAUUUUGAUAUCCUUUAGUGCACCUUUGUGAUUCAUCUUAGCCUUGAGUUGUAUUUGAGCCCUUUUUUUAGCUAGGUUGAGAGUUUCAUACUUGUUAAUUGAGUGUUAAAGCCUUCAAGUGAGUUGAAACUUGUAGAGAUUAUGUGAGAGUCGAUUGGAGCCGAAAUCCAAGUGUAAAGGUGAUUAGAAGCUUGGUUGAAGCUUCAAGUUAGUGGAAUCCUCACUCAAUUAGGAGCUUGAGGAGAGUGGACGUAGCCAAGGAAGUGUCGAACCACUAUAAAAUUUGAGUUUGAUUUCUCUAACAUUGUCUCUUUAUAUUUGUUUAUCUUGUGCUUAAAUUUAUUGUGUUUAAAAAGAAUUUUUAAAUACCCAAUUCACCCCCCUCUUGGGUGUUUUUCUCUUUUAAAAUUAGCCUUUAUUUUCUCACAAACUAUUGUAGUAUAGUGGUUUUUAGGUGUCAUCCAUUAGGAUGAAUUGUUCUCGGUAAUUAAGGCGUGAAUGAGAGGAGAAUUAAUGAUUGUGAUUAAGUAAAAUUGAUUUGAAAAUUCAUGGUGAAAAAUCAAUUUAACAAUGGUUUCUAAUUGAGAAAAACAAUGAAAUGUGAAAUAAAAUAAAAUUAAUAGGAAAUGAAAUUCUCGAAGUUAGAAUUUUCUAAAAAACAAAUUCCAUGGUGAAUGGAUGUUGAGAUCUAAUUUUCAUCAAGUUAGAUUGAAAACCGAAAUUUUCAUAUAAACUGAUUUUUUAUUUAGUUUUAGGUCUAGAUUUAAUUUCCCUUAAAAUUAGGUUAUUUAAUCCAAGAAAUCAAUUCAAAUCAUAUAUUCAAUUCAUCUUAAAUUAUCUUCCAAUUAUUCACACAAUGCAACUAUUCAAUCUCAUCAAAUCUAGCUUUUAAGAAUUUAAUGAAUCUACCUAGUUUGCAUUGUAAUAGUCAUCCAUGACAAUUUGAAGAGAAAAAUAAUUCAAUUAAUCAAUCACUUGGAUCAAAUUACCUUUGCAAUUAAAGUUCAUUUCUCUAAUUCACCACAGAUUUUGUCUCUAGAUCCUCCUUUCUCAAAGAAAAAUGAGAUUUAGCCACACAUGAUUGGAGAUUUGGUCUCAUAAGGCAUGUUUAGCUAGUGAUAAAAUGAGAGAAAAUAAAGAAAAAUAGAGAAUUCGAUUAAGAAAGAAAAUCUAAAAAAUUCUACAAUUAGAAAUGUCCAAAAAGCUUUUUCAUGAGAAAAUCAAGUUUCUAUUUAUAGGCCAAGGUCAAGUGGACACUUGACAUCAUCUAAGAGGUCUUCCGGAAGCUUCUUCAUCAAGAAAUCUGGAGUUUAAUAAUAAAAUGGUCAUUUCACAAGAGCUCAAACAAUUUCGCAUGAUUAUGUGAAAUAAAAAAUGCAACAACAGCAAUUUACAUCUUCUUGGAGCAUUUCGCAUGACUGUGUGAAAUUUUCACAUGAUCAUGUGGAAUCGACUUGACAACUCUCAUUUAGCCUACAACAUAAUUCCACCUUUUGGUCCAUUUUUCAUAGUCAUGCGAAAUGGAAAUAUUUGAUUUUUAAGUUUUCUUUUGUCAUUUCUUUCAUUUCCUUCUCUUGAUUCCACUUCAACUACCUCCGAAUCCUGGUCCAAACCAAUUGCAUUACUUCUUUCAUUAUGCAUUUGGAUCAUCAUCAACAUUAUUUGUUCUCUUCAAUUUGAUUCAUCUCUUUUGUCACCAAUUUAUCAAAAUCAUACCUUGAAAUGACUCCAAAACUUCAUAAAACUUGUUAGUAACUCUUGCAAGGGCAACAACAUAUUAAUUAAGUGUUUUAGGCAUAGUUACUACUCAAAAGAUGCGAAACUCAUGAUAAUUAUUAUAUAAAAUAUGCUCUUUUUGAGUAGUAAUCAACUUUCUUGCAUAAGCAGACCUUUUAGGGUGGAGUACUAAAGACCAAUAUGCUUGUCCUUGUUGUAAUAAAGAAACUUGCUCUUAUUGAUUGCACCAUGGGAGAAAAUUUUGCUACAUGAGUUAUCAUCAAUUUCUUCCCACCAAUCAUAGAUUUAGACGUGACAAGAGGCCUCUUAAUGGCAAGGAGGAACUGACACUCACACUUAUACAAUUAUCGGGCAUUGAUGUGUUGCAACAAUUAGAAUAACUUACACCAAUUAUGUUGGGGAAGUCACAAAAGGCAAACAUGAAAACUAAAAGGAAAAAAGAAAAAUGUUACAUAUCACCACAACUGGAAAGAAAAAAGUAUUUACUUUCAUUUGCCAUAUUGGAAAGCACUUAUUUUACAUCAUAAUAAUUUAGACAUAAUGCAUAUUGAGAAAAAUGUGUGACAAUAUAAUUGAGACAUUGUUCAGUAUUGACGAAGAAACAAGGACAACCUAAAUAGUCAUCUCGAUUUACAAGCUCUAACUAUUAGAAAUGAGAUUCACCCAAUAGAAAGCAGGACCAAAUUUAUUUUGCUUGCAACAUGCUACUCACUCACCCCAAAUGAGAUUAAGGAAUUUUGCAAGUUUUUGAAAUCAAUAAAGGUCCCCAAUGGCUAUUCUUUCAAUAUCUCUCGUUAUGUGCAACUCAAUGAAAGGAAGAUAUAUGAGCUCAAAUUGUAUGAUUGUCAUGUCCUAAUGCAACAACUUCUCUCACUUGUAGUUCGUGGAGUUCUACAUAAGAAUGUUUGUGGAGUUAUCAUAGAAUUGCGUAAUUUUUUCAAGCAAUUGUGCUCAAAGGUGUUAGAAACAAAUCACUUACACCAACUUGAGAACAAUAUUAUUGUCAUACUAUGUAAAAUGGAGCAAAUAUUUCUUCCAUCAUUCUUUGAUAUUAUGGUGCAUUUACUUGUGCAUCUAGUAAGGCAAAGGUUGCAAGACUUGUGCAAUAUUGUUGGAUGUACCUAAUUGAACGAUAUUGUUAUAAUUUCAUAUGAAUCAUUUAAUUUUAUUUUAUAUUAUGUUCAGUUCAUUAACAUGUACAUUGGUCUACAUAUGGAUGAUGAUAGGUACCUAAGCACUUUAAAGUCAUAUGUGCGUAAUAGAACUUUUCUAGAAGGUUCUAUUGUAGAAAGGUACCUUGCAAAAGAAUGUACAACAUUUUAUUCUAGGUACUUGAAUGAUGUGGAAAUAAAGUAUAAUCACAAUGAUAGAAACUUUGUUGGUUUCAACACUAGAGGAGAUGAAAGGGGUUAUCUUUAAACAUAUUGGACAUGCAUUGGGAAAGCCCAUAUUUCAUUAACUUAGUUCAAAAGAGUGGUCACAAGCACAUUUAUAUGUGUUGACAAAUUGCGAAGAUGUCAUACCAUUCAUUGAGUAAAAAAUUUAUUUGAAUUUUAAUUAAAGCUCUAGUUUAUAUCCUUAAUCAAUGUUUUUUAAAUUCACAAGGAGCACAAGCAAACCAUCAAGGCUAGACCACAUAUACGUGUUUGAGACGUAGAUUUAAUUCAUAACAAGGAAUUUAUCAAGUGGUUUGAAAGACAUGUAAGUAUAUUCCUUAUUAUAAGGGAUUUAUUUCACAUUAUGUUUAUAUUGAAUCCAAACCUAUUAUUGAAUUGUAGGUUGAACAAUUACAUAAUGAAGGUCAUAUAUCUGAACACCUUCUCACAUUAUCAUGUGUUCCAAAUUCAUUAGUUACAUGCUUCAAAUGAUAUAUUGUCAAUGGAUUUAGAUCCCACAUUAAAGAACGUGAUAAAAAAGUUUUUAAAAAAAGACUCAGAAUAAUGGAAUUGUUGUAGUUGCAAAAACGUCAAGCUUUACAAGUGCAUGUGAUAUGAGUCCAAUUAUUAGUGAUGCUCUCUACUAUGGUGUUCUAACUAAAGUUGUUGAGUUACAUUAUCUUGGUGAAAAUAAGGUUGUUUUAUUCGAGUUUGAUUGGUGGGAUGUUACAAAUAUUGGAAAAUUGAUAAAAGAUGAUGAGUACAAUUACACAUUUGUUAACUUUGCAUGAAUUCUAACCACGAACGAACGAUUUGUACUUGCAUCUCCAGCAAAGUAAGUGUUCUAUGUGAAGAAUGCGAAUGAAUCAGAUUGGCAUACUAUCAUGGAGAUGCAACCUCAAGACCUCUAUAAGAUGAACGGGAUAGGAUCCAAUGGUGAUUUUGAACCAUUUCAACAAAGUGAACUACAUGAUCACUAAUAUAUCUCAGAUUUAGUUGAUGAAGAUAUAAUCAAGUGGAACAAAAGUGAUGUUUUAGGACUAAUCAUCCUAAAAAAUAUUGUAGUUUCUUAAAAAAAAAAUGAAAAUGAAGAAGAUAAUUGAACCUUUGUCAUACUUUAAAAAGCAACUAUGCAUUGUUCAUUUUGUAUGUUUUGGUUUUCUUCAUUUAAUUUCCUGAUUUUUGUGAUUCAAUGUCAUAUUAUUGAUCUUGAAAUAUUUUUCUAAUUUUUCAUUCUACGAUGGUUUCAACAAGGAUGACAUCAAGUCAAAAAAGGAAAUGUGGUCCCACACACAAUAUUGCAUUACAGGGAUUAAGGUCAGGGAAGAAGGUAAAAGUUGCAUUUAAUGAGUACAAUCAAUUGGUUAAACAGAAAAAUGGAAAACACUUAUCGAGCUACAUAGGGACACUUGUAUCUAACCAACACAAUGUACCUCUCCAAGCUAGUGAUUGGAAAAAUGUUCCAAAUGAUGCAAAAGAGAAAGUAUGGCCUUUGUUUUGGUAUGUUGUAUUUCUCACUAUAUGAUGUCAUUUCACUGUUAUUCUAUUUUGUGACUAACGUUUGAAUCAUAUGUAAGAAAAAUUUGAAGUAGAUAAAGACUGAAAAGAUUACAUGUUGGGUAUAGCCUCAAAUAAAUAUAGAAGCUAUAAAAAUAUGAUGAAUGCAAAAUACUAUGACCCUUGGCAUAAGGAUGCAUGAGGAGAGGUUAAUACAUAAAUCACCAUUUGUCUCUGAUGUUGAUUGGAAGUGGCUUGUCUCUGAUGCAUAAACCAAAUCCCCCACUGAAUGUUUGAUAUUUGAUAGCAGGAAAAACACACCCGCAGCUAUACACCUCCAUCAUUCAGAUAAUUAUAGUGGGGGAGAUGAUUCAUGGUUGCCCUUAUACCCUUUAUUUGCACCAUCUAUUGAGAUUCUUUAUCAUGGCCAGGUUUUACUGCAGCAAUAAGAUAUGGUGGCAACAAUUUUAUCUAUAGGUGCGGUUCCAGACCGCCUCCAUAGGUGCGGUUCCUGACUGCCUCCAUAGGUGCCUCUUCUUGUAAUGUUUGUUCUGGGAAUUACACUUGAAAGCCUUAUCGUGAUAAGGGAUUACAAACACUAGUUCAGAGGACAGCCAUGUUAAACUUCCACUAUGUUUGUGUCACAUUAUCAGCAGCCUAGUGUUUAUUGGUCAUGCUAUCUGCAACUAAUAUAACCCGGUGAACUUCAAUCUAAAUUCUGAAAGUACUCAUGUGACAGAUGGUGCCUUUCAGCAGAUAUCAUCAAUUUAAAAGUAGUGUGUGUGCCUAUAGGUGGGAAGGCCUUGGCAAAUGUUCAGUAUUCCGGUAAUUCAAGAAGGAUAUAUCUAAAAUAGAUUUUCUUCUUGCCCAUUUCAAUAGUUAAAAUUUGAGAAGAUUGUGUCCACAUCACACAAAUAUUAUUGGUCCUUCUGUUGCAAUUUACCUCUGAACAUGUCUUCCAAUUCCCACGGUCCUGUUACUCCAGGAAAACUAUUUCGGUCAUAUUGAAAAAAAAAAUAUUAAAGAAGGUACACAUGCUUUUAAGUGGACUGGGGCAUUCAUAUCAGGUGGUCUGUAUCCACAUAUGCCACUUCGUGAAAGGUGGAACAGCCUAAUCACUAGGCUAUUUAGUGUGGCCCAGCCACGUUAAUCAAGCACAAGUCUUCAUACUUAAAGUCAAAUGGUGUCUUUAGUCUCAUUACACAUCGCUAUUUGAAGAUUAACUCAUCACUAGUGUAAUGCGAUUAAGACAGUCCUAACUCAAUAUUUGUUCUAGUUUUGGAUGCAAAUGCUUGCUGGUUUCAUCAUUGGAUGGGAUAAAGGUGCAAUCAGGACUAUGAAUACGUGCAGUAAUACUUCAUUCUCUUUUUUCUCAAUGAGACUUCUUGGCACAAUUUUGCUGCUCAGCAACCUACCUUUCCAUGGAAAAUCAGUUGUGACUGAUAGUAAUGGAUAUAUUCUAGAAAGCUAAACAUAGAUAGCAUUCAAUAUUAUCGAUAUAACAUUAACAGCGUAUGUCUCAAUGCUCAUCAGCUACAAGCAAUGGACAAACACUUUGAGUAACUCACAGCAGUCAAAAUUCCUAAACAGGACAGACGUGACAGAUCUAUAUAUAGAACACUGCAUAUGAGUCACAGGAAAAGAUAAUACGGGUACAUAGAAGCUCUUAUUUUACAUAUUACUCAUACUGAUCAAAGUCGCUCAGUUGGGAUGGAUGGGAGAAGGAGGUUUGAGGGGUGGCUUGUGCGGGGAAGUUGGCAGCUUCUUUCCGGGAGCUGGUUGCUUCUUUGCUGGAGUUGAAGGAGGCUUAAUCUUCCGAGGUGGCUUGUAUGAGUCUUCAGCAUUCUCAGCAGGAGGGUGACCAGGGUUGUGACCAUAAUGUGGUGGCUUCUCUCCCUUAGGUGGUUUGCCAACUGGGGUUGGUGGCUUGUUUUCUGGGAGUGGCUUCUCUCCCUUGGGUGGUUUGCCAACUGGGGUUGGUGGCUUGUGUUCUGGGAGUGGCUUCUCCCCCUUGGGAGGUUUUUCGAAUGGGGUGGGUUUGUGUCCUGGUGGUGGCUUCUCUCCCUUGGGAGGUUUACCAAUUGGGGUCGGUGGCUUGUGUUCUGGGAGGGGCUUCUCUCCCUGGGGAGGUUUAGUGGGUGGCUUGUGUUCUGGAGGUGGCUUCUCCACCGGAGGCUUAUGCUCUGGUGGUGGCUUCUCGAAGGGGGGAUGCUCAGGGUAAUCACCAAGUGAGGGGGUGGUGAGAACCACCAUGCCAAGCAACAACACUAGCAAGUAUGUAGUAGACAUCUUUGGGUUUGGACUCAGACAGUGCAAAACUACGAGAAAUCGCUAGCCCUUUAUAGCGGCUCGGACCUAAUACUGACAUAAUAUAAAAUAAAUAUUAUAUUUUAUCAAGAGAGAACAGAGUGUAAUUUUAUCAUUAAUACCGAUCGAGGCCAAAGAAAGAAGACCCAUAAUCCAUUUCCCACAAGCAUACACAAUGCAGCUGUAAUUUUAUCAUUUACUUUUAUCCCUUGGACCACUGCAUUUUUGUUGAGAGACACAAUAACACAUUUUUAUCUGUCAUUCAACAUUUACAGUAAAGAGAGGGCACAAAACGCAAUUAGAUAAAUUAUGUUUUGCCUGCUAAAAAGAGGCAAAUAACUUUAUUUGCAACAUAAUUAUUUUGGUUUCUAGUGACCCCGGGGCCUUUCGGUUGGUUUGGGAUCGGAAAAUGAACAUCAUAGGGGGGGUUGUGCCCUUAUGGGCAUAUAUAUCUGAUAGCUUCAACUGGCCUUGUUCCUAGAAAGAAAUUGCCAAAGAUAUAAACUUAUUCCAGGCUGAAAGUAGAUGAGAGUCAUAAUGAACAUCAACCUUUGUUCAGUUUGAUUCAAUGCCCCCAUAGUGUUCAUUUCACAGAUCUGAAUGAUUAUAUCCGUUGAAUACAUAAAUUAAUGAAGACAAAUAUGAAACCCAAGAUACAUCUCUGCAUAACAACCCCAACCCUGGUUGCUAUGUUUCCCUUCUUCUAUUCACAUGAGGAUACUGGUUAUAAUUGUCAAACUUGCAACAAGCCCUUUGACACCUAACGUCAAUGGACGAAUUAAAAGUCUCCUUCAAACGUCUAUUUCACAGCAUGAAGCUUAUAAAGGAUGCUGACAACCUUCAGAGUUAGCGACAAAAGAUAAUUAUCAAGGAGAGAUAGUUCCAUGAGAAUUCCAAGGAGUCUGAAUCAAAGACAAAUUGCUCACUCAAGGGUUCUUAUUUUCUUUUAGGUACAAAUCUCUUGAGUGUUGUUAAAGAAACACGUCACUGUCAUUUUGAUUUGCAUUUAACAUUUCACUUUUGUUCUGGAAGGUUUGUUCCGGAAACAUAUCAAAUGAGCAUCAUUUUCUUCUUCGGUGACACAUGGUCGCGAGUACGUGGGUCCAUUUUCAUGCCACUUAGUUGAAAAGUUGGAAAGAAAAAACAUGCCAACAAGAAGAUAGUGAGAGAAGGGGCACUUCAAGCCUUUAACAUGAACAAACAGUAAAUAAAAGAUGUUUCUCCACUCAUAAAAGUGUGUUAGAUAGCAAUAUAACGAAUCACAUCCAAAAUCUUUACUAGGCUCAAACAUAAAGAAGACUCAUUUUUAAGAAAAGAUAAAAAUGGCAUUGUCUGAUAGUAUCCAAUACACGAGAUGGCACUUAAUUUGUACAAGAUCUGUCAAUGCUGACGCACAUUUUCUGAUUAAAAAAAAACUGAUCAGUCAAAAGCAAUGAAGAGAAGUGAUGACAAUGAAUGAUGCUUCCAAUAUUUUCACCCCUUAUAGUGUUCUUCAUGAUUCAGAUAUAUAAUUGGAAAUAGAACAACCCUAUGCCAUACAUUCGUCUAAGUAUGGUGUCUAAUUUUUUGUGUCAGCGGUUGCGAAUGGAGCGUGCAAAAGUCCAAAUUGGCGUCUCUCCAUUUCCACAUAGGAAGGUGACCUUUAUUGACAAAUACCCAAUAUUUGUAGACAUUCCUUAAAUAUCAUAACUUCUUGUUGAUUUGAAAAUCAUUUUUCAACUACCAUGUUUUAAUAAAUAUUUUUUAAAAUGUAUUUUUAUCAAAGUCCACCAUGAUGGAUAAUAUUCACCAUGCAAUAAUUAAUAAAGUACAAACUAAGCGAAAUGAAAAGCAUUUUCUUUGCUUUGAGUUGAUUUUGGUUGCAUUGAGUUGAUUUUGGUUUCAUGGUUUUUUCAACUCUUAUUUUGAUUGGAAGAUGUCAAGAAAAGAAAACAUAAAGAAAAAUUAAAAGGGAAAAAAGAAGAAAAAUAAAAAAAAAUAGAUUUAAAAGUUAAUAAAUUAUUUUUUAUAUUUAUUUUAAUUCAUUUCACUUAUUUUUCUUUUACUAUAUAAAAUUUAAAUAAUUUAAAUUUUAUAAUUAAUUUAAUUACAUUUCAUUUUCUUCUAUAUUUAAAUAUUGGAAAAAUAUUUUACUUAAUAUUUUUUUCUUUAAUUUCUUUGGCAUUUUGGGAACCAAACUUAGCCUUUAAAAUAAAAAACAAAAAAAAAAUGAAAAUAAGGAGGGAAAAGUGAGAAAAGAUAAAAACAAUAUGUAAAGGAUUUGAAAAGUAUUAGUUUGUAAUUACUAUUUGGAUUUCAAUAGUAUUUUAUUUGUCUUUCUAUAUUUCAUGUAAGAGAGAAUUUAAGAUAUUCCCCAAGGCAAAGCAUUAGUUACCUGCAAUCAGUGGUGAUAAGGCUCCAAGCCAAUUUUGGGCCCCAUAUCUUAAGACAGUACAAUUUCCAUUUCAACAUUUCUGAUUUCUCAGAUGUUUCACAUACCACAGAAGAACAUUGUUUGUGAAAAUAUGCAUUUAUGUUGGAUUUUGUAUGCUGUGGGGACUGGGGCAAGGAUCAUAUGGAAGAGUGGUUGACUUUUUCUGUACUUUAACGGUUGAAAUAGGAUAAGCACGGGCAUUUGUGAGGCUUAAUUGAUUUUGAAGCCUGAAAUUGCGUUUCUGUCAUUUUGUCAAAAAAAUGGCAGAUUCCAUACUCAUAUGUUUGGCCUGUGGCCAUGUACAGAUGCCAUUUAGUGACCAGUUUGUAACUGUCAAUCGUUGCGUUUUGACUCUGCCUCAACAACAUCUGCCAUUGACGGGUUUUCAUACUUGCAAAUCAAAUAGUCUUUCGUCCCAUCAGGAAUUUCGGUUUAAAUAUUAUUAAGCAUACGUUUGGCUGACAAUCAUUAUCCAGUUCAUGAUUUGGUUUCUUACCCUUAAUCAAUGGUUUCUAAGUGAAUAUAUGUAGAAGGAAAUCCGAAGUGUAGACAGUAGUAUCGAUAACUCUCAAUAUUCUCUAUAUAAUAGAAUAAACAGCGUCAUAGUGAUCGUCGCCUACAAGCAAGGUACAAAUACCAAAACGAGUGACUCACAUAGACAUCUCCCAACAAGAUGUAGUAGUGACUGACACAUGGACACAAUUAACUCGUAGAAAAGGAUAAGACCAUUGCACAGCAGCUCUUAUUUUACAUACUACUUAUGCUAACCAAAGUCAAUUAGUUGGGAUGGGUGGGAGAUGGAGGUUUGUGCGGUGGCUUGUGGGGCGGAGUUGAUGGCUUCUUUCCAGGAGCUUCUGGCUUUUUCAUCGGAGCUGAAGGAGGCUCAAUCUUAUGAGGCGGCUUGUAUGAGUCUUCUUUACUCUCGACAGGAGGGUGGCCAGGGUUGUGAUCAUAAUGUGGUGGCUUCUCUCCCUUAGGUGGCUUGCCAACUGGGGUUGGUGGCUUGUGUUCAGGAAGUGGUUUCUCUCCCAUGGGAGGUUUAGCAAUUGGGGUUGGUGGCUUGUGUUCUGGGAGUGGCUUCUCUCCCUUGGGAGGUUUAGUAGGUGACUUGUGUUCUGGAGGUGGCUUCUCCACCGGAGGCUUGUGCUCCGGUGGUGGCUUCUUGGUUGGAGGGGGCUUGGGGUAAUCAGCAAGAGAUGGGGUGGUGAGAACCACCAGUCCAAGGAACAACACUAGCAAGUAUGUGGGAGACAUUUUUGAGUUUGGGCUGAUCAGAUGAUGCAAAACUAAAGCAUUACGUGACCUUUUAUAGCAUGUAGCUCCCAAUACCCACUAAGUAUUGUGGGGUCCAUUUGUGCCCUACGGGGUUGAAAACUUAGACAAUUGGGCAAGGACCCACCUGACUAUGGAGGACUAGUGAGGUGUGAUCAUAGCUUUAGGAUUUUUCUUCCUCUGCAGCCGUCGUGCCGUUGGCAUGAUUUUCUUAAUCUUAAAUAAAGGCAUAGUUAUAGAGUUGUUUAAUCUCUAAAUGGGAUUUUAUAUAUAUCUUCAGAUAGCCAUUAAUAUAUUUGAUGAAGAAAGAAAGACAAGUGCAUACAACAUGUAUACGACUAGCUUUCAUGGAGUUCAUUUAUGAUCAGUUUUCCUGUACAUGUAAACCAGGAUCAUAUAUAUGUUUCUGUUCCACAACUAUUUUGGAAUCUUGUUUAUCAGUUUUUAUCAUUAUAAUGUCACAUAGGCUGCCAACUUGGGCGCUAAAAGAACCAGUUGGGCUAGUUCGUUUCAGAAUUUCAAUGUGGAUUCAGGAAUUGUUUUGUAAGAUAUGCGAAAUAGUAGAGGGAUGAAUAGUGUUUCAUUAAUAAAAGUGUCCUGUAAAUUAGAAGGUGUCAUAGAAACUAUAAUCAAUAAAUAACUUUUUUUCCCCACGGGUGGUGUUUCUUGUGGGGAUCAGUGACUGGUUUAGGUUCACCCAAAAUGAGUUCAGACUAAAAUUGGUUUGAGUCAAUGCCGUGUCUCUUUUUUCCAGAAAUCAACUAUUUUAUGCAUUGAAUAAAUCAUACAAAGAAAAUAUGAACGCCCGCAAAACCUAAACCCUGGUUGCUAACUUUCUAUGUUUCAGUUCUAUUCACGCAAGAAUAUUAGUUUAAGUUUGGGAAAAAUGGCAACUUACCUAGUGAUUACUUGGUUUUGGUUUGCGACUAUUUACGCAACCAACCAUGAGUUUGACUUUAACGUCAUGGGUUGAAGCCUCCUACAGGAAGGGAGAAAGCUCCACAGCUAGCUCCAAAAGAGAAUUAUCACAUUGAUAGCUCCAGAGAUUCCCAAGGGGACUGAAUCAAAGACAAGUUCCUCACUUUUUCUUCUUUUGAGGCCAAAUAUGAACCAAGGAUCACACAACCUCAUUCAACUUCAUAAGUUUGAUUUCAUGCAGUUGAACACUGGGUGAAGGCCAUGACAAGAAUUGAUUCAAAAAUUCUAUCACUCUUUUAAGUAAUGGAAGAUUAUUAUCUCUGAUUGGCAUCACAACAGCACAUGCUCCUAGAUCUUUCUAGACACUCCAUGCAAUGAAAGCACAAUGGAUCUUGUAACGAUAGAAACUAAGCCAUGCUACAGUACUAGAUGAUGAGGUAAAACUAGUAGACACGGGUGGCAGCCUAUAUGGGAGGGACACAAGUCUAAUUGAUUUGCAUUUCAGCAUUAUAGAUAGGUAUGUUUUGGAAGAUUUGUUCUGGAAAUACCGCACCAAGUAGGAUUCUUUUUCUCUUUAGUGGGUCCACUUGCAUGCCAAUUAACGAGUUGAAAAGUAUGAGCACCUACCUCGUGCUCGUGGAACCGAAGGUCAGUGAAGUGGGGCUCCUUUUGGCCUCGUGUAAACUUGAUUCAGAAGUGAAGUUAAUAGUCUUCCAUUCAGAUGGAUACAUGGGAAUUUUUCUCUUUUAUUUAUUUAUUUAUUUUUUUUUUGUGUGUGUAUGUCAAAGGAUAAUGAAUGAAGCGCGUUAGCUUGUUUUCUGACUGGAACCGCAGAUGUCCAAAUUGGAGUUCCUUCAUUUCUUACUUAGGAUUGUUACAUGUAUAAACAAGGUAUAAGAAAUAUGCCAACGUGUCUUGAGGAGUUAUUGAUUAGAAAUAACAAGUCACCCGACUGUAGAGUUCCAAGAUUUGAAUCUUCAGACCCUAUAGCAGCCUCUGGGGUACGUGGCAUCCUAUAGCAUAUUAAUGAAGGCUUUUUCGAUUUAGACUUCACAAUACCAAUUAAUAUGUAUGCACAAAAUGGAGAUGACCCCAAAAAAAACAGAAUCGCCAUAGUUUAUGAGGUUAAGGUGAUUCUCCACUUAAUAUCUACAUUAGCUAAUUAUGUAAAUCAAAUGAACUUCUAUUUUUCCUUUUUUUUUUUGGUUUAUGUCAAAUAGUAGCCCAUAAUUAACCCAACCAUUAGCCUGUUUGAAUUGAUUUCACAUGCACAAUGUUGUAGUAGUUCAUAUUUUGAAUUUUAUUUUUACAAAGGUAGUUAAGGAAAAUGAAGUAUAAUAAUUAUAAAAGCAGACUAUAUACACUACAAUAAUUGUUAGAAUGGUAUCUCAAAUUCUAAUUUAAAAUAUUAUUUUUUGUAAAAGAAAUAUUAUAUAGAAUAUUUCCUAAUUUUAUAAAUGAUUAUAAUUAGAUCUUUAUAAAAUAAGGAAAGUUGGUAAGAAUAUCUUUAUAAAUAUUUUAGGUCAUGAGAGAAAGAAAUGGGAUAAAAAUGUGAUGAAGAGGUGAAAUAAGAGAGUUGAUUAGGAUAUAGAUGUGAAGAAGAAAGGGAUUCAAUAUAUAUAUAUCUUUCAAUUACCACAUUAAAACCCUGUGAACCUUUUAUAUGGUUUACUUUAUUUUUAUAUUCCUCCUUUAAUAUAUUUACAUUAAUGCUUCCAUUGGCACAACAAUAACGAAUUACAAAUACAAGCAACAAGUCCCAUGUUUUAUUACCAAAAGCAGGUAAAAUCCACCUAAUAUAUUACAAUAUAUUCAUCCAAUAUUUUAGACCAAUUCUUCACCAUAAAUAUCAUAAUGUGGCUUUUGUUCUUUCUUAAAUUUAAAUUGAAUUGUCUUAUAUCAAUUUGUUUGUGAUUUUUUCAUUAACUUCACUUUCAUUUGGUUAUCUUUGGUUUUUGAAAAGUAUUAAGGAAUUAAUUAACAAAAUAAUGUUAAGAAAAAUAAUUUUCUCUCUUUUGAUUUUGAUUUUGUAGUAGAAAAAUAUAAUUAAAAUUAUUUAAAAAGUAUGUAAUUUUAAAUUAUUUAAUAUUUAGAUAAAAAAAAUAAGUCUAAUGAGUUUAAAAUAACAUAUAAAAAUAAUUUAUUUAUUUUAAAUUUAUUUUUUAUUUUCCAUUAUGUUCUCUUUCUCUUUUACUUUUUCAUAUUUUUUCUUACGAAGAAUCAAACACAACCUCAUAUUAUAUGUCAAGUGUUUGUCUAUAUUUGAGCAAUGUUAGAUACGGCCAUGGAUUCAUCAAACUAAACUGAUUUUAAUAGAUACUUCACAAAUUGAUUUAUACACUAAAUCAUUGGAUAGCAAUGAUGCAUUGGAAUUAAACGUAGGAUGAAGCUCGAAGAACACUGUUUGUGUAACAACAUAUUUAUGAAAUUAUGCAAAGGAUGAGCUUCGGGGUAGUAGUACAAGGUCAUUAAUGGAGAGCCGUGUUAAACCUUGAUUGUGAUUGGAUUCCGUUAUCAGCAACAGCAACCUUGUUUGUAACCUUGAAAGUCAUUCUGUCCACAUCGAAACUCCAAUUUGACGUUUGUAAUUACCAUUCCUGGAGUGUUCCUUGAUUGAAAUUUAAAUAAUAAUUGCGGCCCACAAGGAAUAUUUUCGAUUCUGUGGGAAUUUGACAAGGUUUGUUAGAGAAGACUGGUGACAUGUUGACUUCAAUGGUUCAAAUAGGAGACGUAUGUGGAUUUGGGGGGUUUAAUUGAAACUGAGUCCCUAUGGCUUUUUAAUAUUUGCAUUGAGCAGUCUCCAUGUGACUUCCUAAUUCCCACCAACCCUCCUGUCCAUGCUGUGAAACUAAAUUGUAAUUUAUCAGCCUUUGUCAAUGGUUUCUAAAUUAAAGAUAUAGACCAUGCAUGUACUUUAAUAAAAGCAAAUCUAAAGUGUAGAUAGCAGCAAUGGUGACACCCAAUAUUCUCCAUAAAAUAGAAUUAGAAUAAGCAGUGUUACAUUGUUCAUGAUCACCUACAAGCAUACAAGAACUUCCAUGAAUAACUCAUAGCAAUUGCCAACAGGGCGUCGUAGAGACUCAUACAUAGAACACUAUCCACCCAGAGGAAAGGACAAGACCAGUGCGCUGCAGCUCUUAUUUUUCACAUGUAUACCACCACUCGUAAUAACCAAAUUCACUCAGUUGGGAUAGGUGGGAGAUGGUGGUUUGUGGGGUGGCUUGUGGGGAGGAGUUGGAGGAGGCUUUAUUUUCUGAGGCGGCUUGUAUGAGUGUGCAGGAGGAUGCCCGGGAGUGUGACCAUAAUGUGGUGGCUUCUCUCCCGUAGGUGGUUUGCCAAAUGGGCUUGGUGGCUUCUCUCCCUUAGGAGGUUUACCAAUUGGGGUUGGUGGCUUGUGUUCUGGGAGUGGUUUCUCUCCCUUGGUAGGUUUGCCAAUUGGGGUUGGCGGCUUAUGUUCUGGGAGUGGCUUCUCUCCCUUGGGAGGUUUGCUAAUUGGGGUUGGCGGCUUAUGUUCUGGGGGCGGCUUCUCUCCCUUGGGAGGUUUGCCAAUUGGAGUUGGCGGCUUAUGUUCUGGGAGUGGCUUUUCUCCCUUGGGAGGCUUGCCAAUUGGGGUUGGCGGCUUAUGUUCUGGGGGUGGCUUCUCUCCUUUAGGAGGUUUGCCAAUUGGAGUCGGCGGCUUAUGUUCUGGAAGUGGCUUUUUUCCCUUGGGAGGUUUGCCAAUUGGGGUUGGCGGCUUAUGUUCUGGGGGUGGCUUCUCUCCCUUGGGAGGUUUGCCAAUUGGAGUCGGCGGCUUAUGUUCUGGGAGUGGCUUCUCUCCCUUGGGAGGUUUUGUUGGUGGCUUGUGUUCUGGAGAUGGCUUCUCCCCUGGAGGCUUGUGCUCCGGAGGUGGCUUCUGAAAUGGCGGGGGCUUGGGGUAAUGAGCAAGAGAUGGAGUACUGGUGAGAACCACCAUUCCAAGCAACAAUACUAGCAAGCAUGUGGGAGACAUCUUUGAGUAGUUGUAGCUAAGAUGGCGCAACACUGUAGGCAUUGGGUGGCCUUUUAUAAAGGGCUGGACCCAACAGCCAUAUGACACGUGUCAUGAUGACAAAUGAAGUUGAGGGGAUCCAGAUGGGUCCUACUGAGUCGAAAACUUGCACUAAUUGAUCUGGUGAGAUGACUAUUUCUGUCCUUUUGCCCUUCUCGGCCACCCUGUGCUGUUUUCCUUUUGCACGAUUUUCGUUGCCAAACAAGCAAAUAAUAUUUCGCCAAGAAAGAGGAGAGUGAAUGUGGAAUGCAUCAAGUCCCAUCAAGGAUGGCAGAGAAGAAAUAGAAGAUUGCCCAACUGUGAUAAACAUAGCAUACACGUAGCACCAGGAACUUCAUUUACUUCCAUCUAAUGGAACAUAACAAUCUUCUAAAGUUUUUGCAUGAUUUUGUUAUAUGUCUCUUAGCCUAAAGUUGGAAAUGCGCAACAAAUUUUGUCACUUCUCUAUUUCCCACUGAUGAUGUUAAUUAGCCUUCAUAGAUAUCAUCCUUUCUACAAAGUGCUUCAUUUGUGUGUUAUUGUAAAGUGUAAGAAAAGUAAUUGAACAUGUUCUUUUUCCUUUCAUAGAUGACUUUUGAUGUGCAUUUUAAAAGCAGCGCUGUGAGUCGGUGACCUUGAUUCACACGGAAACUAAGGCUCCUAUAGGACCCACUUUUAGCUGGUUAGGGGUGAAGAAAAUAUCAACUUUUCAGAGUGAUUUAAGUCAAGGCCAAGCCUCACUGUGUCAUUACUCGUGUGAAUUUUAUAUGCACAUACAUACAUAAAUAAAGUAUGAGACCCAAAUAACACCUUCCCUUUACAAACUUAACCCCAGCCGCUCUCUUUCAAUUCUUUUCACACAAGGGUAUUGACUCUAUAAAGGUCAAGAAAAUCAUAAUUUCCUAGGGUUUACAAGGUAAUUGGCUUAAUGCUAAUGUGAAAACAUAAAAGAUAAUAGUAUAUUGUAAGCUAACGAAUAUUCUAUAGUUAUAAUUAUUUGUGAUGUGCAUAAAUAAAUCUUCAUAUAUAUAAUGGAACAAUGAAUAAAGAACCAAUGAAAAAAUACUAUAUAUCAUUGCUUGGCAUUUAAACCGUAUAUGCUGCUCUUUCUAGCUACUCCAUCCACUGAAAGACAACAAGGUAAUCCAUGUUAUAAUGAUAGAAGAUACUGUCUCUAGGCUUUUUGUGAUGAAAAAUAUAAGAUAUGGGUAGGGUUGACCCUUGUAUGUUUGUCCUAUAAACACUUCAAAGUAACAUAUUUUUCUUCUUUAGCAACUCAUAAUGAUGGGGUUCAUUUGCAUGUCACUGAGUUGAAAAGUUGGACAAUUGCCCAUGUCGCCUUCCUCCUAGAUUCCGUAGUUCACGGGAAGGUAACUCAAGUUUGACAUAUUUUGAAUUCUUUUCACUCGGACGUCUUCAUAACCUGACAAAACAAAAAUGAAAAACAGAGGAUUGGUAUAUUAUUCAUGGUAAGCCUCAAAUUAUAGUAGUAUGAGAAAGGAGAAAAAGAUUUUGGGAACUCCAAUCUGGAUAAUUCUCGUUUCUUCUCUUGAAUAAAAAUUUCACUUACCUAACUUCGUUUGGAGAAAUGGCAUAUUUUAAUUUUGUACGUCAUUGCUAAUAAAUGGAGCAAUUUAGCAUGUUUUGUGACUGAAACUGCAAAUGUCCAAUUGGCAUUUCUUCAUUUCCCACUUAGGAUCUGAUCUUGUAGACCAUAUAACGAUAUGUAUCUGUGCAAGCAUUGAAAACUAAUGUGAACUAUGAGGAGUUACAAGCCACUGGACUGUAGAGCGAGUGCCAAGAUUUAAAUCUUCAGGCUCUAUCUGGGUAAGGGGAGGAUAGCGACCUAACCUUUUACCAAAGGCUUAGAAUUUAGACUUUUGGAAAAAAAUUUCUCAUGUUUUGGCUGGAUUUCUUGUGCUUGGCGCAAAAAGGAGAUGGCCUCAAGAAAUAGCAGACUCACUUUUGUUUUCAGCCCUUAAUAAUUCUCCACUGCUUUCCAUAACUACAUGGGUUAUACAUGCAGUCUGCUGCAAUAUUCCAGUUAUAUUUAUUAUUUCAAAGAGGGUGAAUGACUUCACAUGCAAUAUGUUGCAGUAACAACCCAAAUUUUGGCACACCAUCUUAAGAAUAGAAAAGUAUAAUAAAAGAAAUCAAUCAGAGAAUCACUUUGCAUGCAGUUCAUAGAGUUCGCCCAAAAUGGAGCCACAUGUACGGACAACCCCACAAUAGACAAUCUUCUCUAUACAGUAAUAAAAUACAGAAAUGGUUAAUGAAGCUCUGUAUUUCCUUAUCAUAUAUGACCGGUUGAAAACUCAGCAAGUCUUCCUCAAUCACAGACAGUUGGAGUUGCUUCAUCAAAAUCAUGCCUUCAUUACUGGCUUCAUUUUGGUUUCAAUGUCUGUUCUACCCUUAAAUUGGGUCUCUGCUUACUACCGGGAUAUCCUUUAGCGUCCUGCAAUUCUACUAGAUUAAAGAGAAUGACUUAAUUCUGCAUUCUGCCGUCCCUAGUCCAAGUGGUACUAGAAUUGAUGUUUCCUUUAGUGUCCUUUCUUCAUACUUUCAGGUUCUUCCCUUGUUUCAAUAAUGCUGUUUUCCUUCAUGUUUAACCUCUGUUGAACCACUUAAAACAACACAAUUUGCACACCAAUGUUUCUUUACAGAAAAGACUGUUUGCAAAAAUGCACAUGUUAUAAGGUUAAUGGAAGAAUUAAUUUGGGGAUAAGGGACUAGGAUUGGGCCAAUGAAGUUUGGUGUUAAAUUUUGAUUAUGAUUGCUUUUCAUUAUCAGGUACCUUAUAUUUGCUGAUGCUAUCUGGAACUAAAUUCAAAUCAGACAUUAUCCGAUUACUAACAGGACAUAUCAUGUCCCUCUGCAGAGUUUCUAAACUAACAUGUAUCGAAAUGUGGCCCCAAAAGGAAGGCUAGGAAGAUGGAGGAUUUUGUAGGAAUCGACCAGAAUCAGAUGGAAGAGAGAUAGUCCUGUUGACUUUAAUGGUUGUGAUAGGAACAUGCAUCAUUAUAUGAGAAGUUGCAUGAAUUUAUGUAUCCUGUUAUCGUUCCUUGACGAUUUCCCAAUGCAAUUUCACUGUCCACAAGACUAACCUCUCCAUGCAGUCAAAUGAAUUGUAAUUUCUCUAUUGGUACCAGUAGUACAUUUCAUACCAAACAUAUAGUAAAUAUAAAAUAUAAAUAGAUCAAGGAAAUCUGAAUUGUAGAUAGCACUGCAAGUAACACUCAAUAUUCUCUAUAUAUAAUAAAAUAAACAGUGUCACAAUACUCAUCACCCAGUGGCAAGGGAGAAAAACCUACAAUGAGUACUCAAAUCACCAUUCUCAAACAGAAACAUAGCAGUGACUGAUACAUAGAACCUAUAUGCUCACAGGGAAAGAAUAAGAUGACCAGUGCACAGCGGGCAGCAGCUCUUAUUUUACGUACAACUCAAAUCCCAAACUAACCAAAGUCGCUCAGUUGGGAUGGGUGGGAGAUGGUGGUUUGUGGGAUGGCUUCUGGGUAGGAGCUGGUGGCUUCUGUCCCUUUGGUGGUUUGCCUAAUGAGCUUGGUGGCUUGUGCUCCGGGAGUUGUUUCUCUCCCUCGAGUAGGUUUCGAGUCUUGUCAGAUGGCUUGUGUUCUGGUGGUGGCUUCUCUCCCUGGGGUGGUUUGCCGAAUGGGCUUGGUGGCUUGUGUUCGGGGAGUGGCUUCUCUCCCUGGAGAAGGUUACGAGUUUUGUCAUAUGGCUUUUGUUCUGGUGGUGGCUUCUCUCCCUGGGGUGGUUUGCCGAAUGGGCUUGGUGGCUUGUGUUCGGGGAGUGGCUUCUCUCCCUGGAGAAGGUUACGAGUUUUGUCAGAUGGCUUGUGUUCUGGUGGUGGCUUCUCUCCCUGGGGUGGUUUGCCGAAUGGGCUUGGUGGCUUGUGUUCGGGGAGUGGCUUCUCUCCCUGGAGAAGGUUACGAGUUUUGUCAGAUGGCUUUUGUUCUGGUGGCGGCUUCUCUCCCUGGGGUGGUUUGCCAAAUGGGCUUGGUGGCUUGUGUUCGGGAACUGGCUUCUCUCCCUUGGGAGGUUCAGUUGGUGGCUGCUGUUCCGUAGGUGGUUUCUUCACCGGCGGCUUGUGCUCCGGAAGCGGCUUCUCUACCUGGAGAAGCUUACGAGUUUUGUCCGAUGGCUUGUGUUGUGGUGGUGGCUUCUCUCCCUGGGGUGGUUUGCCAAAUGGAGUUGGUGGCUUGUGUUCGGGGAGUGGCUUCUCUCCAUUGGGAGGUUUAGUUGGUGAUUGGUGUUCCGUAGGUGGUUUCUGAAGUGGGGGAUGCUUGGGGUAGUCAGCAAGAGACGAGGUAGUGAGAACCACCAGUCCCAGCAGCAACACUAGCAAGCAUGUGGAAGACAUCUUUGAGUUCAGGCUGAGAUCUGUGCAAGGAUAACAGAAUUAGGUGGCCUUUUAUAGAGGCCUGGACCCAACACCCAUAUGACACGUGUCAUGCACUCAUGGUGACACAUAAUUCUAUGGGACCAUUUGGGUCCUACAGAAGUUGCAAAGUUGGACUACUGAGGUGUGAUCACAACUUUUGUCCUUAUUGCUUUCUCUGCGGCCAUUGCACGAUUUCCUUUAGCAUCAUUUUCUUGGCUAAAUAAGCGUAUUAUAUUUGUGGCAGACCGUCCACGUGUCAUAAACAGAUAUAUUAUAAUAAUGUAGUAUGCUUUUCUCCAAUGGAACAUGACACUCUUCUAAGUCUUGUUUUAAAUAUUGUGCAGGAUUACUUUAUACGUUGCAGUUCCAAGUCAAAAUUGGUGGGCAAACGUUGGCCUUUUUUCAUUUCACCUAAGAUUAAUGCUCACCUGGGAUAGGCACUACAUGACUUAUCUGCUCUUUUACUGUAAAGUUGCUUUGUGUAUGAGAUACACCUCCCCUGCACACCCUCAACAUUCGUUGCUCUGUUUUCCUUGUGUCCAGACGAGGAUAUUAAUUGGAGGCUGACAAAACGACUGCUAGCCCAGGAUUUACAAGGUCCUGGUUUGAGGCUUCGGUGAAAGUAUUUUUGAAAAGACACACAUAGAGAUAGUGCGUUUGGUGCAAUGCAGCACUGUGAGCCAUUCUGACGCGUUCUUAAUUUCAAAACUAAUGAAUGCUUCAAAAUUUUAAGAAGUGACAUUUCCAAAUAUUUGAGUUCGUUUAAUUGAACAUUGGAUAACUAGUGAUCAUAGAUUAUUAUCUGUGCUUGGCACUAUAAGAGGGUAUAUGCUUCUUUUUCUGGCCCCUCCUUCAAGGGAGGAGGGACAAUGUGAUCUGUAACGUUAGAAGCUAUUCCAUGUCAUCUUUGGGCUCAGUUCAAAACUAAAAGAUAAUGGGGGGGGGGGGGGGGGGCAUAUCAUUUUAUAUUUCUUCUAGAAGGUUUGUUCUGGAAAUAUUUCACAGGAGCAUAUCUUUUUCUUCUAUUACGUCAUCCGCAGCCUCCAAUAGGUCGGUUAACAAGCCACCGAGUUGAAAAGUUGGAAAAAUGGGAACACAGCCCGCCUCUUGUAUUCAGUAGUUAAAUAAAAGGUCACUAGAAGUGAGAUCCCUUUUGGCGUCUUGAUUUUCAAUCCAGCACCUCUGUGACCUGACAAACCAAAAAAACUAAAAAAUAAAAAACAGUACGUGGGUUGGUGUUAAGCAUCAAGACAUGUUAAUGAAAGAAGGUAGAGAAUAGGAUAUUGAAAUCCCAAUCCUGAUAACAUGAUUUUCUUUGCUAACAACCAUAUUAUAUUUUAUCAAGAAAGAGUAAUGCAUGUGGCGUCCAUCAAGACCCAUUAGAGUUCCGCUAAAGCUAUAGUUCUGUCAACGUUAUCAUUUACGUUUCCUCUAGAUAAUGGCAUUUUCCUCUAAAGCUCUUGCACCAUUAGGCUUCAAGUCAAAAUUUCACAUGUGAACUUUGGAAAUUUUCUCCAUUUGCCCCUAAGGAUACAGUUAGAAUUGACUUAAAAUCCUGAUUGAUAUGUACUAUUAACCAAAGAAUAUUGUAUAUAAUAAUUGAAAUAUUGUUGAUUCAUCGUGGAAAUACAUUUUGUAAGGAAAGUUGUUGAGAAUUUAGUAUGCUAUAUGGAGAAAAAAGUCAUGACUUAAGGUUGUGUAUGUAUAUUCUAUAUCAAAUAUUAGGUAGGAAUGUGGGAAAGAGCAGAGUGUAAUGAUAAGAAACAAAGAAAUAUAAGAUAUUCUUGAAAGUGGAAAAUAUAAAAUGGCUAACGAGUCAAAUUUAUGAUGCGUAAGGGGGAUCAUGUCACAUAAGAAAACCAUGGCAUACUAAAGACGUACGUGUGGUAUGGAGUAAUAAUUUUGUUAAAAUAAGUUUCUUGUUGGAGUACAUUAGGUGACUAUUCAUAACGUAUCAAAUUAAAGAGUCAAGUGCAUCAAUGAAGGCAUAUGUAGAAAAUUUGUUUGUGACAUGUACCAUAAAGAUAAGAUUGACUUGAUAGAAUUUAGUCUAAGUAGGAGUUGUUAAAGGUGUCUUAAAUUUCUAAUUGAUGUAUAUUUUUUUCUAAAAAAAUAUUAUAUAGAUAUUUUAAUAAAUGAUUAAUUCUUUGUAAAAAUACUUACAUAAUAAAAAACAUCAUUAAAAAUAUCUUUAUAAAUAUUUUAAGUUACAAGAAGGAAAAAAACCACUGUGAGAUAAUGAUGAACAUGCAACACUGUACCAAGUAAAUAAAAAUGUGAUAAAAAAAAAAGAGAAACACUCGAUAAAGGAAGGCUCGUAUAUAAAGAGUAAUAUUUUUAAUCAUAUGAUAGAAUGAUUUUCUCUCAUUCAUGAAUAUAGGCAAGAUUGGGGAACCAUUAUAAAAUUUUGUACACCUCGUGUAAAUUGAUGUUUGUCUUCAUAUUUUACACCAACAAAUGACAUUGAAGUUGUCAUUGAUAAAAGGGAAAAGGCAUGCCUCCACACCAUGUGCUUGAUUCGAAUGGUUCAAGUUUGAAGAAUUUUCUCCGGAAGAUCUAAAACAUUUUCGCCUUUAAAUUUCAUUUGAUUAUUAAUAUCCGAAAAAAUAGUUAAAUACUCUUUCUAUUUUUGAGUUGUUGAAUUUUUUGAAAGUUUUUAUAUUUGUUAUCAAGAAUUUCUAUUUUAUUAAGGGUGAAUAUUUAUAAAUAAGAUAUUAUAUAAUAUUUGGAUAAGAGAGAAUGGUGGAAUAUAAUAAAGUUUUAAUCCUUCCCAAUUUUGAACCUUUUUUUUUUUUUUUGAUAUAAUCGCCUUUCUCUUGCAAUCCUAUUAUCAGGUACCUUAUAUUUGCUGAUGCUAUCUGGAACUAAAUUCCAAUCAGGCAUUGUCCAAUUACUAAUAGGACAGAUCAUAUCUCUCUGUUUCUAAACUAACAUGUAUCGUAAUGUGACCUCAUAAGGAAGGCUAGGAAGAUGGAGGAUUUUGUGGGAAGCGACCAGAAUCAGAUGGAAGAGAGAUAGCCCUGUUGACCUAAUGGCUGUAAUAGGAGAAGCGUGUGGUUUUAUGGGACUUAACUGAUACUAAACCUGUAUGAUGCUUGGAGUGGUGUUUCUUUCAUUUUGUUAAGAAAAUAUGGCAGCAUACAUGCUUUCAACUGAGUGCAUCAGAGCAUCCAUAACAGAUGGUCUGCAACCCUAGGUGCAUGCCACUUUCUGACUGAUAAUGAAAUUGUCAGGUACCUGGCCUUGACUAAGCUCAACAGCAUCACAUAAAGAGAAGCUUUCAUACUUAGAUUACUGUUUAAAGUUUUUGCUUAUUUGAUUUCUUAAUGCCAUUAUGACAUUAUUGAUUCAAUUCUGCUUCCGAUUUUCGAAGUUCUGGGCAUCUACUGAUUGCAUCAUUAUAUGAGAAGUUGCAUGAGUUUAUGUAUCCUGUUAUUGUUCCUUUGCGAUUUCACUGCUCACGGGACUAACCUCUCCAUUCAGUCGAAAUGAAUUGUAAUUUCUUUACUGGUAGCAGUAGUACUUUUCAUAGCAAAGAUAAUAGAAAAUAUGAAAUAUAAAUAGAAGGAAAUCUGGAUUGUAGAUAGCACCAUAAGUAACACUCAAUAUUCACUACAUAAUAAAUAGACAGUGUUACAUAGGUAGAGAAACCUACAAUGAGUACUCAUCACCAUUCUCAAACAGAAACAUAGCAGCGACUUAUACAUAGAACCUAUAGGCUCGCAGGGAAAGAGUAACAUGAUAAGUUCACAGCGGGUAGCAGCUCUUAUUUUACGUAUUACUCAAAAUCUCAAACUAACCAAAGUCACUCAGUUGGGAUGGGUAGGAGAUGGUGGUUUGUGGGGUGGCUUCUGGGUAGGAGCUGGUGGCUUCUUUGUUGGAGUUGAAGGAGGCAUAUUCUUCUGAGGUGGCUUGUAUGACUCUUCGGCACUCUCUGCAGGAGGGUGCCCAGGGUUGUGACCAGAAGGAGGUGGCUUCUGUCCCUUUGGUGGUUUGCCUAAUGGGCUUGGUGGCUUGUGCUCCGGGAGUUGUUUCUCUCCCUCGAGUAGGUUUCGAGUUUUGUCAGAUGGCUUGUGUUCUGGUGGUGGCUUCUCUCCCUGGGGUGGUUUGCCGAAUGGGCUUGGUGGCUUGUGUUCGGGGAGUGGCUUCUCUCCCUGGAGAAGGUUACGAGUUUUGUCAGAUGGCUUUUGUUCUGGUGGCGGCUUCUCUCCCUGGGGUGGUUUGCCAAAUGGGCUUGGUGGCUUGUGUUCGGGAACUGGCUUCUCUCCCUUGGGAGGUUCAUUUGGUGGCUGGUGUUCCGUAGGUGGUUCCUUCACCGGCGGCUUGUGCUCCGGAAGCGGCUUCUCUACCUGGAGAAGCUUACGAGUUUUGUCAGAUGGCUUGUGUUGUGGUGGUGGCUUCUCUCCCGGGGGUGGUUUGCCAAAUGGACUUGGUGGCUUGUGUUCGGGGAGUGGCUUCUCUCCAUGGGGAGGUUUAGUUGGUGGUUGGUGUUGCGUAGGUGGUUUCUGAAGUGGGGGAUGCUUGGGGUAGUCAGCAAUAGACGAGGUAGUGAGAACCACCAGUCCCAACAGCAACACUAGCAAGGAUGUUGAAGACAUCUUUGAGUUCAGGCUGAGAUCUGUGCAAGGAUAAAAGAUUUAGGUGGCCUUUUAUAGAGGGCUGGACCCAACACCCAUAUGACACGUGUCAUGCACUCAUGGUGACACAUAAUUCUAUGGGACCAUUUGGGUCCUACAGAAGUUGCAAAGUUGGACUAUUGAGGUGUGAUCACAACUUUUGUCCUACUUGCUUUCUCUGCGGCCAUUGCACGAUUUCCUUUAGCAUCAUUUUCUUGUCUAAAUAAGCGUAUUAUAUUUGUGGCAGACCGUCCACGUGUCAUAAACAGAUAUAUUAUAAUAAUGUAGUAUGCUUUUCUUCAACGGAACUUGACACUCUUCUAAGUCUUGUUUUAAAUACUGUGCAGGAUUACGUCAUAAGUUGCUUGUUCCAAGUCAAAAUUGGUGGGCAAACGUUGGCCUUUUUUCAUUUUCCCUAAUAUUAAUGCUCACCUGGGAUAGGCACUACAUGAUUUAUCUGCUCUUUUACUGUGAAGUUGCUUUGUGCAUGAGUUACACCUCCCCUGCACACCCUCAACAUUUGUUGCUCUGUUUUUCUUGUGUCCAGACGAGGAUAUUAAUUGGAGGCUGACAAAACGACUGCUAGCCAAGGAUUUACAAGGUCCUGGUUUGAGGCUUUCACGAAAGUAUUUUUGAAAAGAUACACAUAGAGAUUGCGCGUUCGGUGCAAUGCAACAAUGUGAGCCAUUCUGAAGUCUUAAAUUUCAGAUUAAUGAAUGCUACAAAAUUCUAAGAAGGGCCGUUUCCAAAUAUUUGAGUUCAUUCAUCCGAACAUCGGGUAUAUGCUUCUUUCUCUAGCCCCUCCUUGAAGGGAGGAGGGACAAUGUGAUCUGUAUCGUUAGAAGCUAUUCCAUGUCGUCAUCUUUGGGCUCAGUUCAAUACUAAAAGAUAUGGGCGGGGCCCUUAUCAUUUUAUAUUUCUUCUAGAAGGUUUAUUCUGGAAAUCUUUCACAGAAACAUAUCUUUUUCUUCUCUACGUGAUCCGUGGUUUGAAAGUUGGAAAAAUGGGUCCGUUAACAAGCCACCGAGUUGAAAAGUUGGAAAAAUGGCAACACCGCCAACCUCUUGUAUUCGAUAGUUAAAUAAAAGGUCACUGGAAGUGAGAUCCCUUUUGGCCUCUUGAUUUUCAUUCCAGCAUCUCUAUGGCCUGAUAAAUUAAAAAACUAAAAAAAAAGACAGUACGUGGGUUGGUGUUAAGCAUCAAGAGUCAAGACAUGAUAAUGGAGAGAAAGGAUAUUCAAAUUCCAGUUCUGACAACAUGAUUUUCUUUGCUGAACUACCAUAUUAUAUUUGAUCAAGAAAGAGUAGUGCAUGUGGCCAGGAUCAAGACAUACAUUAAUUUCCACAUGAUGAAGACAGUUUCUGAGAGUUUCUUCUAAAGCUCUUGCGCGAGUAGGCUUCAAGUCAAAAUCUCCCAUGUAAACACUGGUUUUUCUUUCAUUGCCACUAAGGAUGCAGUUAAUAUUGACUUAAGAUCCUACGUGAUAUAUUUUUUUAAAAGAGCUAUAUUGUAGAUAAUAUUUGAAAUAAUGUUGAUUCGUUGUGGAAAUAUAUUUGUAAGGAAAGUUGUUGACAAUUUAAUAUAGUAUAAGAAGAAAAAAGUUAUCAACUAGCUAGAGAUGAGUAUGUAAAGUGAGGCUCACGAUUCAACGCGUAAAUAUAAGAUAUUUUAAGGCUCAAUAGUUAUGAUAUCUAUUUUAUUUUUUGUAUCUCAUAUAUUCAAAGAUAUAGUAAAAUGAUUUUACAUAUAUAUAUAUAUAUAUAUAUGAACAUAACUAUUUGUGCCAAUUGAUUUUUAUCUUUAUUUUGUAUAUUAGUAAUUAUAUUAAAGUUUUUACUAAUAUAAUAACUAAUAUAAAAGCUUUUUCUAAAAGAGUCAACAGAGCAAAACACUUAUUAUAAAAAAUAAUUUUGAUUGAAGGUGGAGUCAAUUAUUCUUUAUUUAACAUGUAAUGCAUACGGCGUGUACUUCAUAACUAAAGUAUAUAAGUGUAACAUCUCUUAUAUAUUCUCAUUCAAUCUCGAAAGUGGAAAUUUUAAAAAGAUUAAACGGUUCAAAUUUGUCGUGCAUAAAGGGGAUCAUGUCACAUAAGCAAACCAUGGCAUACCAAAGACAUAGGUAUGGACUAAGAAUUUUUUUCAAAUAAGUUUCUUAUUAGGGUACAUUAAUAGGUGACUUUUUAUGACAUAUCAAAGGAGUCAAGUGCACCAAUAAAAACAUAUAUAGAAAAUUCAUGCAUGACAUGUAUCACUAAGAGAAGAUUGACUUGAUAGAGUUUAAUCCAAAUAGGAGAUUGUUAAAAGGUGUCUCAAAUUCUUGAUUGAUAUAUAUUUUUUUUAUUAAAAAGGUUAUUAUAUAGAUAUUUCAAUAGACUAUUAAUUCUUUGUAAAAAUAGUUAUAUAAUGAGGAUGGUGAUUAAAAAUAUCUCUAUCAAUAUUUUGGAUUAUAAAAAGAAAAAAAAUGAGAUAAUGAUAAACAUAUAAAACUUGUACAAGUAGAUAAAGAUGUGAUGAAAGACACUUGAUGAAUGAAGGCUUUGUAUUUCAAGAUAUAAAUAUAUGGAGCAAAACUCUUAAUUAUAUGAUCAAAUGAUUCUCUCAUAUUCAUGAAUAUAAGCAGGAUUGGGGAACCAUGAUAGAAUCUUAUAUGCCUCUCCAUGUAGAGUGAUCGAUGUUUAUCUUCAUAUUUUACACCAGUGAAUGACAUUGAAACUCUUAUUGAUAAAAGGGAAAAGGCAUGGCCUCCACCCCAAGAAAAACAAGUAACCUCGGUUUAAAUCACUAGUCUACACCCCGAAGAGAGAACUAGCCAAACCUACUAAAAGAGAAACUUAACAAUUUAGAAAGAAACCGUCCAUGAUAAAGGGCCCCUAAAGGUCCAAUUCAGUGAGGUCGUGAACAAAAACACUUUCAUGUCAAAACAGAGAUAGGUACCACCAAAAUGUAAAGGGAAAGAUGUAAACCACGUCGAACUUUGGUAAUCAAUGGUAAAGAUAGCAUGAUAGCUAAAAGCACUAAAGCUGUGCUUGGUAUGCAAAAAUGAAAAGUGGAAAUCAGCGUCUUAUUCUUUUUCACCUUUAUUCACAUAUUAGGAUAACUAAUAUCUAAUGUUUUUUAUGUCUCAAAUUCUAUUCCAUGUUAUGGUAAACUUUCAUCUUGUUUAGAUCACUUUUGUCUGGUUUGGGCUCAAGACGAUAAGCCUAUAGAGACUUCAUAUUGGGUUGAAUCGAUGCCCUUGAUCUGAUCUGUUCGUUAGAAAAAUCUGAAUUAUUAUAAGCAUUUAGAUAAAAAAUAAAUAAAUGUGAAACACAAACUACUCCCUGCACAACCUUGACCCUAGUUACUCAGUUUCACUGCUCACAGGACUAACCUCUCCAUUCAGUCGAAAUGAAUUGUAACAAGAAGAUUUUUGACAGGAGGACGGUAGUUUAAAAUAAUAAUUUCUAAAGUACUUUUGUGAAAAAAAAUAAUUCCAAACGUGGAUUUUAUCAAGUAAAAAGAAAAAAAAAAGUUAUUUUCUUUUAAAAUCUGUUCUUCUAAAGAUGAUAUAUAUACCAAAAAAAAAAAUUGUUUUCUGAAGGUAAAAUUUUUAAAAUUCAUUUUUAAAAAAAUUUACACACUAAAAUUAUCUUUUCAAGAGAAGAUUUUUUUAAUUUUAAAUAAUUAUUAAUUUAUAAUUAAUUUGUUAUUAAUUAUUUAUUAAUUUUUUUAUUUGAAAAAUGCAUUUAUAAAAAACAAAUUUGUUAUUAAUUUAUUAAAUAAUUUUUACAAAAUAAAUAAUUUUUUUUUAUUUUAAUUUUAAAAUUAAUUUUAUUAUAUAAAUUUUAAAAUUAAAAAUAUUAAUAUUUAAUUUAAAAUUUAACUAUAAAAGGAAUAAAAUAUAGAAAAAUAAAUUAAUUUAUUAUUCAAUAAAUUAAUUUUCAAUAAAAUUUUCAGCAUUAAGAGAUAAAUUUUUAAGUAUUAAUCAAUUUAAAAAGAAAUAAUGAUCAUUUGUAUAUUAAGAUAUUUUAUUUAGUAAUUAUGAAUGAUAAACAACUAAAGUAAUUUGAAAAAAUAAUAAAAUAUUUAAAAAAUAAUAAUUUAAUACACGUAAAAUUAGAAAUGAUUAACUAUUUUUUAUUAAGAAAAAAUUGAGGAAAUAUUUUGUUAUUUAAAAUUUUUUAUUUGUUUUCAAUUUUUAAUGUUAUAGGUUUCAAGAAAAUUGAUCAAAUAAAAAUUAAGAAGUCAUUUUUUCAAAAACUAUAUAUCUAAAUAAAAGCCUUGAAAUUCAAAUACACAAUAUCAUAAAUAUAAACACCAAGUCAAUCCUUAAUUAUCAAAUGUUUUUAAUAUUAAAGAAUCAAAAUCACCUACUAUCAUGAUAAUAAGAAAACCAAUAAUAUUGUUCAUAUAAAUACUAAAAAGCUAACAAAUAUCCCAAACAAUUAAUAAAGUAUCAAACAUGAUAAAAAGUCAAUUAUUAUCAUGAAUGCAAAAAAUCAAUAAUUUUGUUUAUAUGAACCAUCAACAAAGAAAAAAAAAAUCAAUAUCUAAAUAUUAAACAUAAUUUAUAUUUUUAUAAAUAUUAUUGUUGAUAAAUAUCUUAACAAUUAUAAUUUUAGUAAAUAAAAUUAAUUAAUUUUAGUUUAAGAAUUAUUUUUUUAUACUUUCGUAUUCUUAUCAAAAAUCCCCAUUUUGCAUGUCUCCUUUGGCAUGACUUUCUUACCUAAACAAGCAUAUAUAUAUAUAUAUAUAUAUAAAAUAUUUGGUUAAGAAAGAGUACUAAAGUUUAUAUGGCACACAUCAAGAUAGAAACAGAAGUGGAAGAUAAUCCAAAUGUAUGAACAGAUAUAUUAUAUCCAUGUAGUGGUAGUGACUUCAUUAUUUACUUUUAUCUAAUGGAGCAUGACACACUUCUUCUGAAUAUUUUGCACGAUUAUGUUAUGUGUCAGCUUGUUCUAAGUCAAAACUAGUGAUAAAAAUCGGUUUUUUUUGCAUUUCCUUCAUGAAGAUGGCACCUGGAUGGGGCACUACAUGAGUGGCAUAGCACGAAGUGAUUUAUCUGCUCCCUUUACUAUAAAGUGCUUUGUGUAUAAGUUACACCUCCCCUGCACUGCCUCAACAUUUGUUGUUCUGUCUUCCGUCUGUCCAAACGAGGACAAACGUAUGUUGUAGGUUGACAAAACCACAGCUAGCCUAGGAUUUGCAAGGAUCUAGUUUGAUUCGUAUGCAAAAGGAUUGGUGAAAAGAUUCACAAAGAUAAUGCUUUUUGCAAUGCAAUCUUGUUCUAAUUCAACAGUGUGGACCAUUUUCAUGUAAUGCUUCAACUAGAUGUCAGUUUCAUGAAUUUUUGUUCAUCUAAUUGAUCACUGGAUAGGCCAUAACCCGAAGAAAUUCAAAAUUCCCUUCAGUACUGUAGCUAAGGAAAGAUCCCUAUCUACCACUGGGAUUUUAAGAGGGUAAAAAUGUAGGUGGGUGCCUAUAUCAUUUGCACUUCACUAUAGGCCUCUUUGGGAAGAUUUCUUCUGAAGACAUUUCAAAGAAACAUAUUUUUCUCUUCUCUCCGUAAACGGCAGCUGCAAGUCAGUCCAUUCACAGGCCACCGAGUUGAAAAGGCUGGAAAAUUGGCCAAAGCACCCGCCUCCUGGAUUCCAUGGGUAAGGAAAAGGUCACUGGAGGUGUGAUCCCUGUUGGCCUCUUGAUUUCCAUUCCGCCAUCUAUAUGACCUGAUAACCCAAAAACACAGAAGGAAAACGUCACCUGGGUUCAUAGUAAGCAUCAAGUCAUGAUAGAGACCAGACAACAUGACCAACAAAGAGUAGCGAAUGGGGCCAACAUCAAGCCCCAUUACGGUUAGAAGAUGGAAGAAGUAGAAGACAAUCCAAUUCUGAUAGAUUCGGGCAAAUGUAGUGCUGUUCAAACUUAAUCAUUUACUAUUUCUUCAUGAAUCACGGCAUUUUUCUUCUGAAAAUUUUCCAAGAUUAGGCCUCUGAAGAAAAAUUUCAUAUGUAAAUUGGUAUAUUAAGGAAAAGGCGUUACAAAGGUGAAAAAAAACCAAUCAAAUCUUAUAUAUGACAUCUCAAAAAUAUGAACUUGCUAUAAAUAUUUAAAAUCAAAAUCUUGCACAUCACCUCGUAGUACGAACUUGCUAUAAAACUUGAAAAUCAAGAAGAAAGGGGCAGUAUUGGACGAGACUACUUAGCACAUAUUAUUAUGAUGUUUUUUCAUUUUCUUAAUGUUGUUUUUAUGUCUUAAAUUCUAUUAUUCUAUGUUACGGUAAACAUUCAUCUUGUUUGUGUGGAAUAGGAUCACUUUUCUCUGGGUUGAGUCGAUGCCCUUAGUUAAUUUGUUCAUUUGAAUAAACUAAAUUAUUAUAAGUAUUUAGAUAAGAAAAACGUGAUACAUAAAUUACGCCUCUCGGCACAACUUCAACACUGGUUACUCUGUUUCAGUUUCCUCACACAAGAUUAUUGGUUCUAGGGUUUAUUUGGUUUUGGUUUGAUUCUAAUUGCUAAACUUUCUCAAGGAAGAUGUUAUAUAGGGAGUGAGAAACCUUCACUCUUGGCUACCUCCAAGAGAAGAGCAAGUGGUCUGAAUCAAAGAUAUACUGCUCACUUUUUCUUCUUCUAAGGACAGCUAUGACCUUGCUUUAAGGUUCGAAUAGCCUAAUGCAACCUCCCAUUUCUCAAGUCAGCUGAUGAUGUAAGUCACCUUGGCUUUCCACAUUCAUACGGUGAGGACGUUUGUGGGUGUAAUUCUCUUAACAGUUUUCAUUUUAUAUGGAAAAAUUCAUAAUUAAGGGUAAUUACUGAUUCCAUUUGACAGUGACCAAGUUUAAAAUAUUAAUUCAUAUAUUAAAUGCACAUUAAAAAAUCAUGGAAUAAAUAUAUUUACUAAUAUAUAGUUCUUUUGCCAUGUUCUGUCACAGAAGCAUCGAACUUUCCCUAGAAAUUUUUGCAUGGUAUUCUACUUAUGAUUUUGAAAACUCUAGGCACCUGAGGCCACUAAUUGCAUGGUUGGAUGAGGAGCUGCAUGAGAUUAUGUAUCGUGUUGUUCCUUAACUACAAAUAUCAGUUUUAAGUAGCAUCUCCAUGUGACAUUUUCCUGAUGCAAUUUCGCUGUCCACCAACAAAUUUCACCAUGCAGCAAGAUGAAUUGUAAUUUCUUUAUUGUUAUCAACAGCUUUAAUUAAUCUUGAUAUAUAUAUAUAACUUAGUAGAAGUAUAUUAAUCUAGAUUGUAGUUGCACUAAGAUAAUAGGCAAUAUUAUAACAGUGCCACAAUGCUCAUCGCCAAAUAGAAAGGUAGAAAAACUACAAUGAGUAACUCACAACAUUCUCAAACAGGACAUAGCGGCGACUGAUACAUAGAACACUAUUGGCACUCAGGAAAUGAUAAGAUCAGUGCCCAGCAGGCAGCACGUCUUAUUUUACAUACUACUUAAAACUAACCAAAGUCAUUCAGUUGGGAUGGGUGGGAGAUGGUGGUUUGUGCGGUGGCUUUUGGGUAGUUGGUGGCUUCUUUCCUGGAACUGAUGGUUUUUUUGUUGGAGUUGAAGGAGGCUUAAUCGUCUGAGGUGGCUUGUAUGAGUCUUCAGCACUCUCUGCGGGAGGGUGCCCAGGGUUGUGACCAUAAUGGGGUGGCUUCUCUCCCUUAGUUGGUUUGCCAAGUGGGCUGGCUGGCUUGUGCUCCGGGAGCGGCUUCUCUCCCUUAGGUGGUUUGCCAAAUGGGCUUGCUGGCUUGUGCUCUGGGAGCGGCUUCUCUCCCUCAAGAAGUUUACGGGUUUUGUCAGAUGGCUUGUGUUCUGGUGGUGGCUUCUCUCCUUGGGGUGGUUUGCCAAAUGGACUUGGUGGCUUGUGUUCGGGGAGUGGCUCCUCUCCCUUGGGAGGUUUAGUUGGUGGCUGGUGUUCCAUAGGUGGUUUCUCAACCGGGGGCUUGUUCUCCGUUGGUGGUUUAUGAACUGGGGGAUGCUUGGGGUAGUCAGCAAGAGACGGGGUGGUGAGAACCACCAGUCCCAGCAGCAACACUAGCAAGUAUGUGGAAGAGUACAUCUUUGAGUUCAGGCUGAGAUUUGUGCGAGACUUGAAGAAUUAGGUGGCCUUUUAUAGCUGGCUGCACCCAACACUCACAUGACACGUAUCAUGGUGACACAUGUGCUAUGGGUCCAUUUGGGUCCUACAGAAGCUGAAAACUUUUGACUAUUGAGGUGUGGUCACAACUUUUGUCCCUAUUGCUUUCUCCGCAACCGUUUUACAUGUUUCCUUUGGCAUAAUUUUCUAAGCUAAACAAGCAUAUAUCAUAUUUGGUUAAGAAAGAGUAAAGUGUAUAUGGCACACAUCAAGGAAGAGAAACAGAAAAAGUGGGAGACAAUCAAUUGUGAUAAACAGAUAUAUUAUAUUCAUGUAGUACUAGUGACUUUAUCAUUUACUUUUAUCCAAUAGAUCAUCACUCUUUCUUCUAAAUAUUUUGGAGGAUAAUGGUACAUGUUGCUUGUUUCCAAGUCAAAAUUGGUGGCAAAAAUCGGCAUGAUACGAAAGGAUUGGUGAAAAGAUUCACAUAGAUGGUGCUUUGUGCAAUGCAGUCUUGCUCUAAUUCAACAGAGUGGACCAUGGUGAUGUAUUUUAAAUUUUAAAUUUUAAAUUAAUGCAUGCUUCAAAGUUUUAACUAGAUGUCACUUCCAUGGAUUUUUGUUCAUUUAAUUGAGCACAGGAUAGGCUAUCAAACUUGAAGUAAUAUAAAAAUCCCUUCAUUACUGUAACUAAUGAAAGAUCAUUAUCUGCGCUUGGUAUUUUGCCAAGGUAUUUGCUGCUCUUUCUAGCCCUGUCUUACAGUUAAGGACAAUGUGAUCUAGUUAACCUUAGAAGCUAUUCCAUGUCAGAUACAAGAGAUCAAGCACAUUAUCUUUGGGCUCAGUUCAAAACUAUAAUAUAUGGGUGGGGUGGAGGCCCAUAUCAUUUGCAUAUCACCACUAUUGGUUUAGUUUGGAAGGUUUCUUCUGGAAGAUUGCUGCUUUCUGGAAUCAUUUCAAAGAAAUAUAUCUUUUUGUUCUCUUGGUGACGAGCAGCGGCAAUCAAGUCUGUUGACAAACAACCGAGUUGAAAAGUUUGAAAAUUGGUCACAGCCCACGUCCAUGGUUAAGGAAAAGGUCACUGGAAGUGAUCCCUUCUGGGCCUCUUGAUUUCCAUUCUGACAUCUAUAUGACCUGAUAAAUAGAAAGAAAAAAAAACAGAAGAAAAGCGGCACCCGGGUUCAUAGUAAGCAUCAAGACAGGAUACUGAAAGAAGGGAGAAAGGAGAUUGCAAGUCCAAUCCUGAUAAAAUGAUCAACAAAGAGUAUCAAAAUGGGGCCAACAUAAAGACCCAUUGAGGUUAGCAGAUGGCAUGGCAUUUUUCUCCUUAAGUUUUCCAUGAUUAGACUUGAAGUCAAAAUUUCACAUGUAAAUUUGUAUUUCUACAUUUCCCACUGACGACACCCAACUUCAACUUGAGUUAGAAUAACAUUGUGUGAACUUAUCUGGCCCUCAAAAUUUACUGUGAAGUGCUUUCUGCGUGUGAAGAUUCAGAAAAGCACCAAGGGAACAUGUAUGGUCUGCCUUUUUCUGAUGUUAUGUUUGUCUCUAAUUCUGUUCCAUGUCAUGGUAAAUGUUCACAUUGCUUGUAUGGAACACACCAGGAUCACUUUUUCGGGUUUAUUUUGAGGCUUCAUAUUGGGUUCAUAUUGGGUUCAAUGCUUUUAAUGUGUUCAUUAGACAAAUCUGAAUUAUCAUAUGCAUUUAGAUAAGAACAAUAAUGUGAAACCCUAGUUACACCUCCCCUGCAUAACCCCAACCCUGCUUACUCUAUUUCAGUUUACUCACACAAGUUUUACCGGUUCUUAUAAGUCAAGAAAAGGCAACUGAUGUUGGAUUGACUCUCUUCCAUGUAUAAAAAGCAACUUUUAUAUAUACAUAAAAUAACUUCUUCCCCUCACCAAUGUGGGAUAUCAUGGAUUUAUUCUGGAAACACAUCAAAGGAACAUCUUUUCUCUUGGGUGACCCUAAGUGGUGAGUCAGACCAUUUGCAUGCCAUUGAGUUGCACAGUUGGAUAAAUGCACCUACCUCCUGGGCUCCAGAGUUAAAAGGGUGGAUCCCUGGAUCGCAACCCUCUUGGCAUCUUGGUUUCCAUUCCAACAUCCACAUGACUUGACAAAACAAAAAACAGAAUAAAAUCAUCACUAUUUUCAUGCUAAGCACCAAUACAUGAUGGAAAUCAUUGCUUAAAGAUUUGGGGUCAUUUAGGUUUUGACUGCCUCCUAACACCUCACCUAAUCACAAGUUUUUAUGCUUACAAAUCAAAUAUCGUUCUUCAUUAUAUUAAAAUCAUUUUAAGAUUUCAGAUCCAUCUGCUAAUUAUGAUUAUGAUAACAUUAAUUCACCUGUGCUUCUCAUUUUCGACACACAAGGCAUCUAGGUUUGCAGGAUUUCCUUAUUAGAUGAGAUAAAUGAGUACGCAUGGUUAUGUAUGCAGCAUUCAUUAACCAUGGUAUGUGACAUUUAGAAUUAAGAUAGCAAGCAAACUUUCCCUGCAGCUUGAGUAAAUUGUGAUUUCUUAGCCUCUAUGAGUGGUUCCCAAAUCAAAUUAACAUAGUGAAAUAUACGUAGUCCAGUGAAAGGAAAUGUAAAUUAUAAACUAACAGCACUACACUACUGGUAACACUCGAUACUCUCUAUAUAAUGCAAUGAAAUAUACGUUAUACGUUGCUUGUUCCAAGUCAAAAUUUGUGGCCAAACGUUGGCCUUUUUUCAUUUUCCCUAAGAUUAAUGCUCACCUGGGAUAGGCACUACAUGAUUUAUCUGCUCUUUUACUGUAAAGUUGCUUUGUGUAUGAGUUACACCUCCCCUGCACACCCUCAACAUUUGUUGCUCUGUUUUCCUUGUGUCCAGACGAGGAUAUUAAGUGGGGGCUGACAAAACGACUGCUAGCCAAGGAUUUACAAGGUCCUGGUUUGACGCUUCCGCGAAAGUAUUUUUGAAAAUAUACACAUAGAGAUUGCGCGUUCGGUGCAAUGCAACAAUGUGAGCCAUUCUGAAGUUUUUAAUUUCAGAUUAAUGAAUGCUACAAAAUUCUAAGAAGGGCCGUUUCCAAAUAUUUGAGUUCAUUUAUCCGAACAUCGGAUAAGUAAUGAUCAUAGAUUAUUAUUAUUAUCUGACGUUCUUAUAAUGGUUGGCAUUAUAAGAGGGUAUAUGCUUCUUUCUCUAGCCCCUCCUUCAAGGGAGGGACAAUGUGAUCUGUAUCGUUAGAAGCUAUUCCAUGUCGUCAUCUUUUGGCUUAAGUCAAUACUAAAAUAUAUGGGCGGGGCCCCUGUCAUUUUAUAUUUCUUCUAGAAGGUUUGUUCUGGAAAUCUUUCACCGAAACAUAUCUUUUUCUUCUCUACGUGAUCCGUGGUUGGAAAGUUAGAAAAAUGGGUCCGUUCACAAGCCACCGAGUUGAAAAGUUGGAAAAAUGGCAACACCGCCAACCUCUUGUAUUCGAUAGUUAAAUAAAAGGUCACUGGAAGUGAGAUCCCUUUUGGCCUCUUGAUUUUCAUCCCAGCAUCUCUAUGUCCUGAUAAACUAAAAAACUAAAAAAAAAACAGUACGUGGGUUGGUGUUAAGCAUCAAGAGUCAAGACAUGAUAAUGGAGAGAAAGGAUAUUCAAAUUCCAGUUCUGACAACAUGAUUUUCUUUCCUGAACAACCAUGUUAUAUUUGAUCAAGAAAGAGUAGUGCAUGUGGCCAGGAUCAAGACAUACAUUAAUUUCCACAUGAUGAAGACAGUUUCUGAGAGUUUCUUCUAAAGCUCUUGCGCUAGUAGGCUUCAAGUCAAAAUUUCCCAUGUAAACACUGGAUUUUCUUUAAUUGCCACUAAGGAUACAGUUAAAAUUGACUUAAAAUCCUACGUGAUAUAUAUCUUUAACAAAAGUAUAUUGUAUAUAAUAUUUGAAAUAAUGUUGAUUCGUUGUGGAAAUAUGUUUGUAAGGAAAGUUGUUGACAAUUUAAUAUAGUAUAAGAAGAAAAAAGUUAUCAACUAGAGAUGAGUAUGUAAAGUGAGGCUCACGAUUCAACGCGUAAAUAUAAGAUAUUUUAAGGCUCAAUAGUUAUGAUAUCUAUUUUAUUUUUUGUAUCCCAUAUAUUCAAAGAUACAGUAAAAUGAUUUUAUAUAUAUGAACAUAGCCGAUAGUAUCAUGUUAAAACCUUAUAUGACUCUUUGUGCCAAUUGAUUUUUAUCUUUAUUUUGUGUAUUAGUAAUUAGUAUUAAAGUUUUUACUAACAUAAUAAUUGAUAUAAAAGCUUUUUCCAAAAGAGUCAAACAGAGCAAAACACUUAUUAUAAAAAGAAUUUUGAUUGAAGGUGGAGUCAAUUAUUCUUUAUUCAACAUGUGAUGCAUACAGCGGGUACUUCAUAACUAAAGUAUAUAAGUGCAACAUCUCUUAUACAUUCUCAUUCAAUCUCGAAAGUGGAAAAUUUUAAAAGAUUAAAUGGUUCAAAUUUUCCGUGCAUAAAGGGGAUCAUGUCACAUAACCAAACCAUGGCAUACCAAAGCCAUGAUAUGGACUAAGAAUUUUGUUAAAAUAAGUUUCUUAUUAGGGCACAUUAUGUGACUAUUUAUGACAUAUCAAAGGAGUCAAGUGCAUCAAUAAAGACAUAGAAAAUUCAUGCAUCACAUGUACCACUAAGAGAAAAUUGACUUGAUAGAGUUUAGUCCAAAUAGGAGAUUGUUAAAAGGUGCAUCAAAUUCUUGAUUGAUAUAUAUUUUUUUUAUUAGAAAGGUUAUUAUAUAGAUAUUUCAAUAGACUAUUAAUCCUUUGUAAAAAUAGUUAUAUAAUGAGGAUGGUGAUUAAAAAUAUCUCUAUCAAUAUUUUGGAUUAUAAAAAGAAAAAAAAUAUGAGAAAAUGAUAAACAUAUAAAACUUGUACAAGUAGAUAGAGAUGUGAUGAAAGACACUUGAUGAAUGGAGGCCUUGUAUUUCAAGAUGUAAAUAUAUGGAGCAAAACUCUUAAUUAUAUGAUCAAAUGAUUCUCUCAUAUUCAUGAACAUAAGCAGGAUUGGGGAACCAUGAUAGAAUCUUAUAUGCCUCUCCAUGUAGAUUGAUCGAUGUUUAUCUUCAUAUUUUACACCAAUGAAUGACAUUGAAACUCUGAUUGAUAAAAGGGAAAAAGCAUGGCCUCCACCACAAGAAAAACAAGUAACCUCGGUCUAAAUCACUAGUCUACACCCCGAAGAGAGAACUAGCCAAACCUACUAAAAGAGAAACUUACCAAUUUAGAAAGAAAUCUUCCAUGAUAAAGGGCCCCUAAAAGUCCAAUUCAGUCAGGUUGUGAACAAAAACACCUUCAUGUCAAAACAGGAAUAGGUACCACCAAAAUGUAAAGGGAAAGAUGUAAACCAAGUCGAACUUUGGUAAACAAUGGUAAAGAUAGCAUGAUAGCUAAAAGCACUAAAGCUGUGCUUGGUAUGCAAAAAUGAAAAGUGGAAAUCAGCGUCUUAUUCUUUUUCUCCUUUAUUCACAUAUUAGGAUAACUAAUAUCUAAUGUUUUUUUUAUGUCUCAAAUUCUAUUCCAUGUUAUGGUAAACUUUCAUCUUGUUUAAGUGGAAGAGUAGGAUCACUUUUGUCUGGUUUGGGCUCAAGACGAUAAGCCUAUAGAGACUUCAUAUUGGGUUGAAUUGAUGCCCUUGAUCCGAUCAGUUCGUUAGAAAAAUCUGAAUUAUUAUAAGCAUUUAGAUAAAAUAAAUAAAUAAAUGUGAAACAGAGACUAUUCUCUGCACAACCUUGACCCUAGUUACUCAGUUUCACUGCUCACGGGACUAACCUCUCCAUUCAGUCGAAAUGAAUUGUAAUUUCUUUACUGGUAGCAGUAGUACUUUUCAUAGCAAAGAUAAUAGUAAAUAUGAAAUAUAAAUAUAUAGAAGGAAAUCUGGAUUGUAGAUAGCACCAUAAGUAACACUCAAUAUUUACUACAUAAUAAAAGAGAUAGUGUUACAAAGGUAGAGAAACCUACAAUGAGUACUCAUCACCAUUCUCAAACAGAAACAUAGCAGUGACUUAUACAUAGAACCUAUAGGCUCGCAGGGAAAGAGUAACAUGAUAAGUGCACAGCGGGUAGCAGCUCUUAUUUUACGUAUUACUCAAAAUCUCAAACUAACCAAAGUCACUCAGUUGGGAUGGGUAGGAGAUGGUGGUUUGUGGGGUGGCUUCUGGGUAGGAGCUGGUGGCUUCUUUGUUGGAGUUGAAGGAGGCGUAAUCUUCUGAGGUGGCUUGUAUGAGUCUUUGGCACUCUCUGCAGGAGGGUGCCCAGGGUUGUGACCGGAAGGAGGUGGCUUCUGUCCCUUUGGUGGUUUGCCUAAUGGGCUUGGUGGCUUGUGCUCCGGGAGUUGUUUCUCUCCCUCGAGUAGGUUUCGAGUUUUGUCAGAUGGCUUGUGUUCUGGUGGUGGCUUCUCUCCCUGGGGUGGUUUGCCGAAUGGGCUUGGUGGCUUGUGUUCGGGGAGUGGCUUCUCUCCCUUGGCAGGUUCAGUUGGUGGCUGGUGCUCCGUAGGUGGUUUCUUCACCGCCGGCUUCUCUCCCUGGAGAAGGUUACGAGUUUUGUCAGAUGGCUUCUGUUCUGGUGGCGGCUUCUCUCCCUGGGGUGGUUUGCCAAAUGGGCUUGGUGGCUUGUGUUCGGGAACUGGCUUCUCUCCCUUGGCAGGUUCAGUUAGUGGCUGGUGUUCCGUAGGUGGUUUCUUCACCGGCGGCUUGUGCUCCGGAAGCGGCUUCUCUACCUGGAGAAGCUUACGAGUUUUGUCAGAUGGCUUGUGUUGUGGUGGUGGCUUCUCUCCCUGGGGUGGUUUGCCAAAUGGACUUGGUGGCUUGUGUUCGGGGAGUGGCUUCUCUCCAUUGGGAGGUUUAGUUGGUGGUUGGUGUUCCGUAGGUGGUUUCUGAAGUGGGGGAUGCUUGGGGUAGUCAGCAAGAGACGAGGUAGUGAGAACCACCAGUCCCAGCAGCAAUACUAGCAAGGAUGUGGAAGACAUCUUUGAGUUCAGGCUGAGAUUUGUGCAAGGCUAGAAGAAUUAGGUGGCCUUUUAUAGCGGGCUGGACCCAACAACCAAAUGACACGUAUCAUGAUACACAUAUGUGUUAUAAGAUCCUUGUGGGUCCUACAGAAGUUGAAAACUUUGACAAUUGAGGUGUGAUUACAACUUUUGUCCCUAUUGCUUUCUCGUCAGCCGUUUUGCAAGAUUUUUGACAGGAGGACGGUAGUUUAAAAUAAUAAUUUCUAAAGUACUUUUGUGAAAAAAAAUAAUUCCAAACGUGGAUUUUAUCAAGUAAAAAAAACAAAAAAAAGUUAUUUUCUUUUAAAAUCUUUUCUUCAUGAUUCAUAUACCAAAAAAAGAAUUGUUUUCUGUAGGUAAAAUUUUUAAAAUUCAUUUUUAAAAAAAAAAAAUUACACACUAAAAUUAUCUCUUCAAGAAAAUAUUUUUUAAAUUUUAAAUAAUUAUUAAUUUAUAAUUAAUUUUUUAUUAAUUAUUUAUUAAAUUUAUAUGUGAAAAAUGCAUUUAUAAAAAACAAAUUUUUUAUUAAUUUAUUAAAUAAUUAUUUACAAAAUAAAUAAUUUUGCUUUAUUUUAAUUUUAAAAUUAAUUUUAUUAUAUAAAUUUUAAAAUUAAAAAUAUUAAUAUUUAAUUUAAAAUUUAACUAUAAAAGGAAUAAAAUAUAGAAAAAUAAAUUAAUUUAUUAUUCAAUAAAUUAAUUUUCAAUAAAAUUUUCAGCAUUAAGAGAUAAAUUUUUAAGUAUUAAUCAAUUUAAAAAAUAAUAAUAAUCAUUUGUAUACUAAGAUAUUUUAUUUAGUAAUUAUGAAUGAUAAACAACUAAAGUAAUUUGAAAAAAUAAUAAAAUAUUUAAAAAUAAUAAUUUAAUACACUUAAAAUUAGAAAUGAUUAACUAUUUUUUAUUAAGAAAAAAUUGAAGAAAUAUUUUGUUAUUUAAAAUUUUUUAUUUGUUUUCAAUUUUAAAUGUUAUAGGUUUCAAGAAAAUUGAUCAAAUAAAAAUUAAGAAGUCAUUUUUUCAAAAACUAUAUAUCUAAAUAAAAGCCUUGAAAUUCAAAUACACAAUAUCAUAAAUAUAAACACCAAGUCAAUCCUUAAUUAUCAAAUGUUUUUAAUAUUAAAGAAUCAAAAUCACCUACUAUCAUGAUAAUAAGAAAACCAAUAAUAUUGUUCAUAUAAAUACUAAAAAGCUAACAAAUAUCCCAAACAAUUAAUAAAGUAUCAAACAUGAUAAAAAGUCAAUUAUUAUCAUGAAUGCAAAAAAUCAAUAAUUUUGUUUAUAUGAACCAUCAACAAAGAAAAAAAAAAUCAAUAUCUAAAUAUUAAACAUAAUUUAUAUUUUUAUAAAUAUUAUUGUUGAUAAAUAUCUUAAUAAUUAUAAUUUUUUAUAUAUUAAAUUUAGUAAAUAAAAUUAAUUAAUUUUAUAAUAUAAGAUAUAUAUAAUAAUUAAGAGACUAUUUGUCCCAAACAAUUUAUUUAUUUUUUUUUUAGGAAAUUGUCUCUUCAAGAGACGACUUCUCCCAACAUUUUUAAAAAAAAAAAAAAAAACAUCUAUUCAAAAGACGAUUUCUCCUCAUUUUUUAAAAAUGAAUUUUAGAAAUCAUAUUUUCAAAAAUGAAUUUUAGAAAUCAUAUUUUCAAAAGACGAUUUUUUUUUAUAUAAAUUAUUUUUUAAAAUGACGAUUUUAAAAGGAAAUAACGAUCUCUCUCCUACUUGGCAAAAACUAUGGUAAAUUUGGAAUUAUUUCUUCCACAACCAUAGUUUAAGAAUUAUUUUUUUAUACUUUCGUAGACUUAUCAAAAAUCCCUAUUUUGCAUGUCUCAUUUGGCAUGACUUUCUUACCUAAACAAGCAUAUAUAUAUAUAUAUAUAUAUAUAUCACUUUUGUCUGGGUUGAGUCAAUGCCCUUAACUAAUUUGUUCAUUUGAAUAGUCUAAAUUAUUAUAAGCUUUUAGUUAAGAAAAAUGUGAAACAUAAAUUACACCUCUCGGCACAACUUCGACACUGGUUACUCUGUUUCAGUUUAUUCACACAAGAUUAUUGGUUCUAGGGUUUAUUUGGUUUUGGUUUGAUUCUAAUUGCUAAACUUUCUCAAGGAAGAUGUUAUAUAGGGAGUGAGAAACCUUCACUCCUGGCUACCUCCAAGAGAAGAGCAAGUGGUCUGAAUCAAAGAUAUACUGCUCACUUUUUCUUCUUCUAAGGACAGCUAUGACCUUGCUUUAAAAUGUUCGAAUAGCCUAAUGCAACCUCCCAUUUCUCAAGUCAGCUGAUGAUGUAAGUCACCUUGGCUUUCCACAUUCAUACGGUGAGGACGUUUGUGGGUGUAAUUCUCUUAACAGUUUUCAUUUUAUAUGGAAAAAUUCAUAAUUAAGGGUAAUUACUGAUUCCAUUUGACAGUGACCAAGUUUAAAAUAUUAACUCAUGUAUUAAAUGCACAUUAAAAAAUCAUGGAAUAAAUAUAUUUACUAAUAUAUAGUUCUUUUGUCAUGUUCUGUCACAGAAGCAUCGAACUUUCCCUAGAAAUUUUUGCAUGGUAUUCUGCUUAUGAUUUUGAAAACUCUAGGCACCUAAGGCCACUGAUUGCAUGGUUGGAUGAGGAGCUGCAUGAGAUUAUGUAUCCUGUUGCUCCUUAACUACAAAUAUCAGUUUUAAGUAGCAUCUCCAUGUGACAUUUUCCUGAUGCAAUUUCGCUGUCCACCAACAAAUGUCUCCAUGCAGCUAGAUGAAUUGUAAUUUCUUUGUUGUUAUCAACAGCUUUAAUUAAUCUUGAUAUAUAUAUAACUUAGUAGAAGUAAUUAAUCUAGAUUGUAGUUGCACUAAGAUAAUAGGCAAUAUUAUAACAGUGCCACAAUGCUCAUCGCCAAAUAGAAAGGUAGAAAAACUACAAUGAGUAACUCACACAACAUUCUCAAACAGGACAUAGCGGCGACUGAUACAUAGAACACUAUUGGCACUCAGGAAAUGAUAAGAUCAGUGCCCAGCAGGCAGCACGUCUUAUUUUACAUACUACUUAAAACUAACCAAAGUCAUUCAGUUGGGAUGGGUGGGAGAUGGUGGUUUGUGCGGUGGCUUCUUUCCUGGAACUGGUGGUUUUUUUGUUGGAGUUGAAGGAGGCUUAAUCGUCUGAGGUGGCUUGUAUGAGUCUUCAGCACUCUCUGCAAGAGGGUGCCCAGGGUUGUGACCAUAAUGAGGUGGCUUCUCUCCCUUAGGUGGUUUGCCAAGUGGGCUGGCUGGCUUGUGCUCCGGGAGCGGCUUCUCUCCCUUAGGUGGUUUGCCAAAUGGGCUUGCUGGCUUGUGCUCUGGGAGCGGCUUCUCUCCCCCAAGAAGUUUGCGGGUUUUGUCAGAUGGCUUGUGUUCUGGUGGUGGCUUCUCUCCUUGGGGUGGUUUGCCAAAUGGACUUGGUGGCUUGUGUUCGGGGAGUGGCUCCUCUCCCUUGGGAGGUUUAGUUGGUGGCUGGUGUUCCGUAG
RNAcentral lists this long non-coding RNA (118556 nucleotides) under Vitis vinifera (wine grape). RNAcentral describes it as "long non-coding RNA (VVIN_LNC001392)". Lineage: Eukaryota; Viridiplantae; Streptophyta; Magnoliopsida; Vitales; Vitaceae. The record is from RNAcentral.